UACUGGUCUCCGGCCAAAAGAGAGGGAAAAUGAGUGACUUGUGAGACAAUCCUCAUGGCUUUGUUGACAUCAGUUUGGUGGUUGAUUGAGAAUGAAUGAUCAUACAUACAUACAAAUACUUGUUAGAGGGCUUGUUCUGUUGAAUUAUGCUGGCGGCAUAAACUACAAGGCAUUGUUGACGAUUGGAGAAUCAAGCUAUUGUUUCCAUUGCUUUGGCUAAUUGAUCCUUUGUUGUUGAAGCAAAGGCCAAUUGCAGAUGCAAUCUUUGAAGAUGUGAAACGAAGGUAUUUUCUCUUCUCUCUAUUCAGUCCAUUUUUCGUUAUCCUAAAAUAUCAUGAAUGAAACACCUGCAUUUAAAAAAAAAUAGGGAAAAAAAUAACACGCCAAGUAGAUUAAAUCUGCAGGAAAAGAAGGCCAGUAAUUUUACAAUGCUAAAUACGUGCUUUCACUAUACCCUUCAUCUAAUACGGUAUAAUUCAACACUCUAGUGUGAAUUUGUGUUACAUGCACCACGUCCCUCGGAAAUGAUUACAUGCAUGUUUUGUUCCAAGACUGAUCUUGGCUUUUUUUUUUUUAAUUAUUAAUAGUGAUUAGAAAAGAGAAAAAAAUAAAAUUACAUUCAUGAAAAUCUUAAGCCUUCUUCGUAACAGUUGAAACAUCUGCUUGGAACUUCCAUUGAAUCCGUAGAAUCUGGGAUGUAAAGUAAAUGGACUCCACAUUUUUUCACCCCGCAGCACUCGCACUCCAAAGAUGGAAAACGAUCAAAAUCAUCAAAAAAGAAGCGGACUGCCUCAGGAACGCAAUUAUAUUUCCAAAAACCAUUGAAAUCCUCCUCACUGAAAAAAUAGCACCCCAAAAGUAAGUGAGCUGAUUCUACGUAAGCAAGGCGCUUCAGAAAUCUCCGCGUGACAUGCGGAUCACAAUCUUCGGUUUUCAUUUUGAACUCACAAGAAAAUGAAAACCAUCUGUCAUCAUCUACAUGACGGUCUGAAAAUGCUACAAUAGCACUAAAUGAUUGCAGAACUUGGGAAUAAAAAUUAUUGCUCUAGUAAAAAAACACUGCUUAUAUAUAAAAUUCAGAACUUGGGAAUAAACCUGAUAAUGAUUGCAGCGAUGUGCAAUUAUCGGCAUCUAAACAUCGUAUAAGGAAUGGAAGCUUUGGUUCGGAUUUAAGCCUCUCACAAUAGCUUAAGCGGAGGUAAGUCAACACAGAAAUUUGGAUGAUGCUUUCUGGUAUUCUCUCAAUAUUGGUUUUCUCUAGAAGCAAUGUUCCUAGAGAGGACAACUGGCCAAGACAUUCGGGCAAUCUCUGAAGAUUUGAGCAACCACUGAGAUCAAGAAUUUCAAGAGAUUUCAACUUACAUAGGCUGCUUGGGAGACUCUUAAGCCUUUUACAGUCUGAAAGGUCCAAGUACUCCAGCCUAAGUAGAAGCUCAAUUGAUGAAGGCAGUUCUUCAAUUGCAGUUCCACUUAAAAAAAGGCAGCUUAUAUUACAAAAACAUCAUACUUCUUGUUGUUUCGAGAAAAAGAAGCCAUAAUCAACAGAAGCAGUUGAAUUGAUUAGAGAGAGAUUGUGAUCAGAUGAAAACAAUUACUAAGCCAAAAUGAGCGUGACUCUGCAGCAUAUAUUGACCUGAUAUCUCAUUUUCCAAGCUUCCUGGACAAUGAUUCAUGGAAUAUUCAAGGGUUAUUGAAACGCCCACCUAAUUUUUCGACUUGGCAGAUUUUUUCAGUUGAAAUUAUAGGCACGGCGUUAUGAGUCAAGACUAUUGGCACUCUGCCGUUACUUUCGUAGAACUCUUACUGUAUGUUAUGAGUUAGACACGGCGUUAUGAGUAAGACUAUUGGCACUCUUCCUUGAAGUUUCGUGAUAAUUUUCAACUUCAUCUCAUUGUCCAGGCACCGUGCACUGCACGAUAAUUUCACUGCUUUUUAGACUUUUACCUGAAAUUUCCCCAUGAACACCAUAGUUUUCAACACAUGGCUUUUGUCCUUUUAAUUCUCAAAUUGAGUGGGUCAUGACUAUCAACCAUGAGUAGUUGGUUGAUUUUUUAAUAUUUUUCCCCCCAAUUUUUCUCAUUAGUCAUCAUCUCUCAAUUAAUUGCAUUUAAUUUUAAAAUUAUCCUUAUUUAUCAUUUUUGUUUUAAUAAUUCUUAUUCAUAUUCCUUCGGGUUAUUUGUUAAACGUGUGUGAAGUCUAAUUUUUGUUUUUUAAGUAAACUUUUAUCUAAUAUAUGAAAAUAUCUCAAUAGAAAGUAAAUGCUAUAUCCCAAAAUUAUCUCUAUUAAAUAUAGUUAUUUCCUAAAUUGUAAAAUAUAAUCCCUUUGUUCAUUUUGAAUAAAAAAUCUGAUGUAAUUCAAAAAGCAUCUUUUGAAUUAUAGUUUUAGUAGCAGGAGUCAAAUAUGAAAUAAAAUGUUGCAUCAAACAAUGUUAUCAGUAGCAGAAGUCAAAUAUGAAAUAAAAAAUCUGCGUUCGGCUAAUUUAUCAAUAAAAUGCAACUAGAAACUGAUGUAAUUCAAAAAGCGUCUUUUUUUUUUUUUGGUUUUGACCACGAGGUAUCCUGGGGAAGGCCCCAACUGUGGGAGGCACCUUUAAGCCCGUACCACAACCCAGAUUAGAAGUCCCAGAGGCACAUGUUCUCUCAACAAAGGCGACUUCCCUGCGACUCGAACUGGGGAGCAAACCCAGUCAAGCUACUUAAGGGGACUCCAUUGCCAGUGGAACCAACACUUUGUUGGUCAAAAAGCGUCUUUUGUUAGAGUAUUAGUAGCAGAAGUCAAAUAUGAAAUAAAAUGUUGGAGAAAUAUUCGAGGACAAUAAUAAUUGCGGAAAGAGUGGGACUAUUAGCACCCCUUCUAUUUACCCCUUAAAAGCCCUAUUUGGAUAAUUACAAUUAUAUACUAAAUUAAGAUUAUGAUAAUGGACAAACAAGUAGAUACAAUCUAAUUGGAUGCGGAAAUAAUUUCAUCUGAAAUUCUCUAAAGUUUAAACUAAUUUGCAUUUUUUUUCACAUUGAAAGAGGAAUAGGUGAAAAGGGUAAAACUGUAGAAGAAUCUUAUAACAUUUUCCAAGAAAAAAUCUUUAUGACACAUUUUGAGCUUGUUGCAAUUUUUCAAUCCUGAACUUUAAGCAUACGAAAAGUGGAUUCUCUGAUUUCCACCAUUUGUGAGGAUGACAAAUCGAUAUUAUUCCAGUUGAUUUAUGUGUAAAUCUUGUGAAUCUCAUUACCAAAGGAUCCUUAGCAAUCCUCGCCCCUCUCUAGUUAGGAUAUUCAAACCUAACGUCAAAUUGGUUUUUUCUUUUUUAAUCUAAACCAUCAUGAAGGUGGGGGAUUAGGCCAGACCUCUACCUACAAUGAAAAAAAAAUUAGAUGAUGAAAAUAAUAUGAAGAGGGGACAUCAACCAAAACUUCUUUAAAAAAAAAAAGGAAAACAAACUAUAAAAGAAACCAACAAAGGGAAAUCAAUGUUGAACAUAAAGGAACUCGAGAGCAUCUAAAUGAAGAAUGACAAAUAGACCAGAUAUAAGAUCCCCAGAGCUGAAGAAUCGCUGAUGAGUCUUAUGAGUACAUGCUUAAUCAACCAUGAAGUCAGUGGCUGAAGUGGCCUCCCAAAAGACAUGUUUGAUAGUAAUAAAAGGACUAGAAGAUAAAGCAUGAAUCCAACCCAGGAGAUAAGCAAAUUCUUAUUGCACUGAACCAUGUGAAGUAGCUAAAGAAACCACAGUGGCCAAGUUAGAUUCCAACUCUAGAACAGUAAACCCAAGCUGAGCACAAGAUCUAAUCCUUCAAGCAUAGCCAACAGCUCAGCAAACAGUAUUGAUUGGUGCCCUAAGAAAGAACCAAAAGCAACUAAUACUACUCCCGAAUGAUCAUGUAGAACACUUUCAGCAGCAGACAUACCAGAGGUGCCCCUAGAGUAACCAUCCGCAUUUAACUUCAUCACGCCAGGCGGUAGCCUCAACUAGGAAACCAAGCGAUCGGUCAAAGAGGAGGCAAAAUAUCUACAAACCCUCUCUAAUAUGGGUAUCCAAAACACCCCUCAAUUGGGAUAACUUAAAACCAAAAACAGAGCUAGCGAGUCUAAGGCCCGAAACCACUCAAAAAGCAAUGACAACUAGAAUCGAAUCUAAAAGCAUUUCAAGGCUUUAAGACAUGCCACAGGAUGAAGCAUGAGAGAAGGACUCGAAAAUGUCUCGAAGAAUGGGCACAAUGCCGCCAGUGAACAAGCAACGUAUGAGGAGAUAGAAAGGAAGGUAUCAAAGACCAAUCAUCGAGUAAAAUCGUUGUCAGAUUUGCCCAACUAAUGAGCAAUUCACAAAAUAACUGCCUGAAUAUCUUAAUGGUGCAAGCCCAAGGCAUCAUUCGCAGCUAAGAAACCAUACAACAACCACAAUAACAAAAAAAACCUCAUUAGGAAUAUGUUGCUGCCAAAUAUAAGUAAAAAUCUCAUUCCAGAUCCGAGACCCACGAACAAGCUCCCAAAUAGUCUUUAUAGAAAAAUUCCCAUCCCUAGAUAGAGUCCAAUGAAGAAUAUUCGGUCUAACACCAAAAAUAGUGAUCAACAAAAUCUACUCAACAAUUGAAGUAGAACAGACAAUAGCCUGCUCCUAUCCUAAACUGCUCCUCGCCAAAAGAAUGACACAGGAACCAUAGAAGCAGUACCAAUGUUAAAAAGAAAGAGAAGUAUAAAGCACAAACAACAAUCAUACAAGAAAUUAUUAUCACUAGAUCUAAUUAGCCAGUGUAUAUGAGGCUUAGCAACAUAACAAAUGGAGCAAAAAUGUCGACAAAAUGGGGAAAUAGAAUAGUGAAAACGAACCAUUUUGGGAUGUUAGGUUUUGCAAUACUUGGACUUCAUGAGUGAAGCCCAAAGAGAUUGCUGGUCCCGAAAUCUCUACCACAUUUUCAACUCAAAUGCAUCUGCCAGAUUUGAAAAAGAAAAUGAAUUCCCAAACCACUUUCAUCCACAAGGAAGUAAACAUAUGGUAAUUUGCACCAGUAGAUGCGUCGUCUUGAAUUUGUAUCUCCUAAUAAGAAAUUGGUGAACUAUUACUCGAGAUGAUUAAUGACUACCGUAGGCAAUCAGAGGACUUGGAAGAUAUGUAACGGUAUGGAAGAAGCACAUGCCAUAAAAGUACAAGCUUACCCUCAAAAGAGAGAAGCCAGUUAUCUCACCCUAAAAUCCAAUCUCCAAUUUAGAUCAUAUCAUCAAAGUACCAGAUCCAUGUGCAAUACACUUAGCAUCCUAGAUAAGUAAAAGUAAGCUGGUACUGCUGGAACCCAACAUCAAAUCAAUUCUUAUAUGACAAUUGAGAUAACAAGUCUCAAAGGUUCAUAUUAAAAAAUGUUGAAAUAAAUUCUCCUUUUUAAUUAUGUUUAAUGUGAAGAUAGAGAGACAAUUGUACAGGACUUUGAAUUAUAUGUAAACUAUUGUAAAAAAAUAAAAUAAAUAAGUAAUAGUUGUGUUGGAUUUUUUAAUCUAGGAUUGUUAAAUCCUUAACCCAACGCCAGGAUUAUAUGUGAAUAAUUAUGUGUUGCAAACUGUCAUAUAAAAUUAAGCCCAAUUAAAAGAGAUCUAUUAAGAUUUUUAGUAUUAUGGGCUUCAAUGUAUCUAAUAGGCUAUGGGCCUUUAAUGUAUAGAUAAAACGACCUGCCCCGAAACCUCAGAACGAGUCAUCUAAUCCCAUCUAAUUGAACCGAUAAUAAAUCUAAUAUUUAAGGAUUCUACCAAAGAUUAUUCGGUAGAGUCUCCUCUACAAUUAUGACAUUCCCAAACCUGAAAUUUAUAAAAUUAGCACUCUAAAAAAUAAUUCAAUAUUCAACCAACCUCCACGACCAACUUCCUUAAUCAACAUACCAAAUAUCACCCAAAUAUUUUAAUGUCAACUACAAUAGAGUAUCCUUAGUCACAAAUAUGUAAUAAUUUAUACAAUCCAAAAUAUCCCAACAAUACAUCUAUGAUUCCUAGCACCAUCACGUGGCCACAAUUUCAAAAAUAGUUAUUGUUGUUGGGUCGACUAAUGUACCUGCAAAUCUCCUGGGGGGAAAUAUAAUAAAAACGGGGUGAGUAUAAAACUCAAUGAGCUCAGUGAGUGGAUAAUAGUUUUUGAAAAUAAAUUUACUUUAAAAUAAUUUAAUCUGUCUCAAAUCAAUUUCAUCAAAAUAUCAUAAGAACUUAAAUAAACUCAUGUAAUUUAAAUCAAGUACUAAUAUAACAAUAAUACAUAAUACUGCAUAAAAUCAAUGAAAUCAUAACAUAUUGUAAUCUCAAACACUGUAAUUCUGAAAACUGUCACCAAACAAUUACCCAAGCAAAUAAUCUUGUCAUACCCAGACCUCGAUGGACGGGCAAUCAGGAAACCGUCAUGCCCCGGAGUUGCAACGGGUAGAUAGGAAAAUGUCGUCUCAUAUGUCUCAUAUCUCAUAUCUCGUAUCUGCAUAAUCUGGUCCCCAAAGGACAAAGUGUCCAAGUACACGGCCCAAAGCCUCUAUAUGUACUCAGACGAGCCCUAAAGGACUCUCAUCUCAUCUGUAUCACUGUAUCUGAAGGGGAAUGGUACUGUCUAAUGAUUUCAAAAACAAUCUUUAUACUCAUAACCAUAUACUUUUUAAUCAUAUUGAAAAUCAUACUGUUCUUUUCAUUAACACAUUUGAAUUUUUCUUGUCUUAAGAAUACUAUCAUGCUUUAUUCAAAUCAAUACGGAAAACUAUUAACCAAACAUUUUAAUAAAAUAUCAUUGCGUGAAUAAAAUCCAUUUCAAGAAAAUCAUUAAAUCAGAAUAUUUAAGAUACUCAUUUCACAAAUAGGCUUUACUAUCAUAAUUAACUAUGAAAAUAGGUUUUGUAUAUUCCACUCACAAUGAUUACACUCAAACUCAAGUAUCGGUUACGUUUGCGGAUUGAUUCUCGUUUGCGGUUCCUCCUAAAUUAAGGAAACGACAUAGUUAUCUGUAACAUGAAAUACAACUAAAUUUACGCAAUAAAGCUCGAAACGAACAUUUUCCCAAAAUCAACUACUCCCGUAUGAAUGAAAUUACCAAAAUACCCCUGCAUGCCAAAAAUUACCAAAAUGCCGUCGACACCAUAAUUUACCAAAUUUUCCUCAGAAUUCUAAAUUACUAAACUAUCCUCAAUUCAUACUACAAAAAUAACCAUAAGGUACGAAAGCACGAAUUUACCCUUGAAUUUUGAAAUUACCGAAAUGCCCUUAAUAACUUAAAUUACUGAAUUACCCUUGAAAUCUCAAAUUACCUAACUGCCCUAGUCCAAAAUUACUAAAUUAUCCACUAAUUUCAGAAAUUACAACAUUAUCCCAAAAGUUUGUGAAAUUACUGAAUUGCCCGUACUGGUCGAUGGCAACCAAAAUUCAGUCAACGGAGACCGGAAGCCAGGUCUGAUAGUUUUGAUUUUUUUUCAUAAAGAUAAUAUUGUAAAAUGAUGGUACCAGGAGAGUUAUUAAAUAUUGUGAAAAUAGUCUCUAUAAUUGGUAUAUAUUAAUUUAAGUAAGGAACUUUACAAUGUCCCUAUAAAUUAAUAACUCUUAAAUUAUAGGGAUAUGUUAUAUGUGGGAGAGAUUUUUAUUUUUACUUUUAUUUUUAUUUUUUUAUUUAUUAUUUUUGGUCAUGGUAAAUGACUGAGAGAUUGGAAAAAACGACAGAACACCAUUAAUUUUGUUAAAGUAUAUUGCAAACUUUUGGAGCUUUUAUUAUUAGUUCUGUAAAAAUUCUUUUAUAGGAGUUCAAAAGUGGGGACGUUCAAGAAGUCUAGAAUUUGAUGCCUAAAAAAAAUUUAAAAGUGUAGUUUAACAUCUGGAAAAUUUAACUAAGAGUGCUGCGUGAAUUUUAUUUACAGUGUUAAAUAUUAGUAUGCGAAAUUAAAAGUAACUUUUCACCUGAUGUUAUGAGAAUUAAAGCCAGACUAAGUGGCUGCUUCCUUCAAAGCAUUCCUCCAAGUCUGCAGCUUCUCUGACUUCUCUUUAAAUCUUUCUUCAAGCUUCGAAAAUGAAAUCCCAAAAGACCCAUACUUUAUGGCUAGUAAAAUUGUCACGGGUGUCCUCUCCUCUGAAUCUGACAAAAACACCAUAAUUGAUGUUUAGGGGUCUCAUCAAACACAGACUGGUGGAUGGAUGAGAAGAAGAUGAAGAAACCAUGAUAGAAACAGUUCAACUGAAUUGAAUGUGUCUGUGCGCUCGAAUCCUCCACUACUACCUUUAAUCUUCAAGGAAGUUUCGUAGUAAUUUCAUUCAACUCAUUGUCUGCCGCCUUUCUCAAAAUUUCUUUGAGGACUGACUGUAAAAAGUCCAAUUUGGCCGACUAGAGAUUUUUGGCGGGUUGUGGACUCCACAGUUCCCACCCCCAAUUUUGAUGUGUUUAUGGAGAUUAAAGAAAAGCGAGUGAUGAUAUAACCAUAAAUUUUUGUAUAAAUUUAUUUUGUACAAACUGAUGUAGUAUUAAUUCAUUGGUUGAAUGAAAAUACAAAAUAAUGAAAAUAAAUCACGUGGGUUAAGAGAUAUUUAAUUCAACCAAUUUUAUCACGCCACAUCAAUUGGUACAAGAUAAGUUUGUAUAAGAGUUUGUAGCUAUAUCAUUACUCAAAGAAAAAUAAUUCCAAAAUUCUUAACAAAUAUGUAUUUUUUUAGUUAUUAUUUUUAAUAAUUUAAAAUUUUUUAUAUGUUAAUAAUUUUAUUUGGCCCAUAAUUUUCACCUCAUUCUCUAAUAAAUUUUAGUGGAGUGAAGACUGAAGAUCAAGAAUCCCCAAAUGAAGAUCAAUUUUUCUAUCCACAUCCUGUAACACAUUUAUCUUUUUUAUAAUAGAUUCUUACAUGUAAUUUUAGAAUGGAAAAAGGCUUCCCUACCACCACCUGCAUGAAAUACUAACUAGGCAAUCCAAGAGGGGGGUGAAUUGGGAUUUUAAAAAUUAAGCUAAGCAAACCACACACAAAUCCAAUCUAAUGCCUUAAUCAAAUUGAAAACAAUAAAUUCAAUCAUGCACAAUAUUAAAAGAGUAAGGGAAGAGAAAACAAACACAAUGAUUUUUACGUGGUUCGGCAAUCCCCGCCUACGUCCACGCCUCCAAGCUCACCGGGCUUGAGGAUUUCACUAAGCUAGCCUCCCAAGGCUUCAAACGCUUACAAUUGACUUCCAAGGUGUCAAUGGACCUUUACAACAAGAGAUUAUCCCAAAUCUCUUAACCCAAGUGUAUCCCAACACUUACAAUCUUUUAACUUGAUUUUACAAAAAAAGAUUACAAAUGAAUCUCUCUCACACAAUGUGUUUGAUCACAAGUGAAAGCUCAAUGUGCGAAUGAAUAAGAUGAAUACAAGAAUUUAAAGCUCAAUGAAAGUUGUAUUCUCAAUAUUUUGCUCAAUGAUGAUCGUUGGAAAUCUUCUUGUUUGAAUUGGAUUGAGCUUAUUUAUAGUUGGAGCUGAAAACUAGCCGUUAUUGACUUUCUGCACACUGUCGGAUCGCCGUUAGCUAGAUGUCGGAUCGCCGUUUGACUGGUCAAUAUGACCGUUGGGCAUAUUUUUCAAAUUGUCGGAUCGCCGUUAACUAUAUGUCGGAUCGCCGUUUAGGUCCAGAGGCUACUGGUUGAUAUCGGCGAGCCGUUUAUCACACAUGUCGGUUCGCCGUUUAGGUCCAGAGACAAAUCUUCAAUUCUGUUAGAUGUCGGCGAGCCGUUAUCAAGAUGUCGGAUCGCCGUUUUCUACAGUAACUGCUACAGUAACUGCUACAGUAACUGCUACAGUGAAAUAUUUUCCAAAUUCACAGUUUGACCCCAAAACUUUAUAAAAUUGUGUUACGGCCCAAAACGUUAUAAAACUUUACAAAUAGGUCCAAUUUCAGAAUUUCUAAGUAAUGCUUUGUUAAUCCCAAAACUUUCUGAAAUUAUGGUAUAGCCCAAAAUGCUAUGACACUUUUCAAAUAAGUCAUUCUCCAAAAUUUCAAGCAAUACUUGUUUAUUUCAAAGUUUUCAAAAUUCUUUCAAUUAAACCAUAAACUUUGAAAAACAACCAAUUUCAUAAAAUCAUUUUUCCAUUAUAUAUGAAACAUUUAUAAUGUGAAAAUGAAGAUUUAUUUAAAAAGAAUAAAAACAAUCAAUUUCAUAAAAUCAUUUUUCCAUUAAAUAUAAAACCUUUAAAAUGUGAAAAUAAUGAUUUAUUCAAAAUAUAUAAAAAAUAAUUUGAUCUUCAAAAAUUAAUCAUUCUUAAUCUUGCUUGUUAUCAUCAAAAUCAAUAUUGUGGAAACAUAUAUGUUAACAAUCUCCCCCUUUUUUAUGAUGACAAACAUUUCAUGUAUUUAAAGAAUGAUUCCACAAAUUGCUUCCCCUAAAUAUAAUUUUCUUUUACAAUUUGCCAAUUAGCUAAAUUAACAAUUUAAAUACAUGGAUUUUUCUCCCCCUCAUCAUCAAAAAGAUAAACUUAAUUGGCAAAGACAAAAGUAGCAAAUUUUUAUAGAUUUGAAAACAUGUAUUCUUCUCCCCCUUCAUCAUCAAAAAGAAAACUUGAAAGGAAAAGAAUAAAAAAUAACAAAUUUGUUACCCAUGUUGUUUGAGUAGAAAUUUUGAAAGAAUCUCCCCCUAACAACAAGCAUCACCUCAAAUACAAAUUUAGUGAUAUUACUCACAAAUUAUCAUAAUCAUAUAAUCCAUCAACCAUAAAAUGAUCAUGAACUAUUAUUCCAUUAAUUAUCAAAUCAACAAGUCAAAACAUAAAAUUAUCAUAUAAAACACCCAUGUAAUCAAAUCAUCAUAUCUCAAAAUUAUCAAAACAAUUACUCAAAAUGCAUAUUAUUCUUCUCAUUUUGACAAUAUCGAAAUAAGAUAUUACUUUGUCUCCCCCUUUGGACAACAAAAAAGUUCAAAAUGCAUAUUAUCCAAAAUCAUAUUAUAUGCUCCCCCUAAAUAUAUGGCCAAUUUAAGAAUUUAACCCAAAUGAUUUUAUCCAAAAAUAUAUCAUAUUUAUCUCCCCCUUUAUCAUAAAAAGAAAAGAUAGAUAGAUGCAAUCGAAACAAGAUCAUCAAAAAUAAUUCGAUGAAGAUAUUACCCAUUUUGUGUGAGCAAAAAUUUCGGCAAAGUCUCCCCUUAAAGAUGAAAAAAUUCUCAAAUACACAACAUGGUUAAAAAGAUAUAAGCUUCAACAAUUAUAACAAACCAACAACUCAUUCAAUUCAUCAAGCAACGCACAUAUAAUCAUCAAUUACCAAAAUCAUCAAGAAAUCAAAUCAUCCCAAGUUUAUGCCGAAUUUUUGAAAAUUCUUCUUCGCGAAGAGGUUUUGAUUUCUUUACCAAAUUGACAUGCAUAUUAUCAAAUAUUCAAGCUCCAUAAUUACCAAUCACAUUUUAUAAAUAAAGACAACUAAACUCAUCAAAUAUCUAAUGUGACAUUUCAAUUUGACAAAAAAAAUCUCAUAUGCUUAAAAUUCUCGAAGUAUAUGUAUUUCUCCCCUUUUCGAUAUUAUUUAUAGCAAGUAAUGCAUAUUUGAUAAUACAUCAAUAAAGUACAAAAAAUGCAUCCAUUUACCAAUCAUAGAUUGCAUAAGAUCAAACUUCCUCAAAUACAUGUAAUCAUCAAAGCAUAUUCUUUAUCUCAAAUCUUAAGCAAAACAUAAGCGUAUAAUUGCAAUAUAAGAUCAUCAAAAUCAACAUAGCUAUCAAGAUAAGCCAUCAUUAUGAGUAAAGAACAAGUGAUCAAAUUCAUAAGCGCAAUAAGUCAUUAGUGCGAAUUUUAUAAAUAAUAUAACAAUUGAUGGCAUAUGAAUUCACAAAUACAAUUCAUUCAUCAUGUAUAUAUUUUACACAAUCAUGAAACAUAUGAGCAUUCAAAGAUUAAUAAUUCAAGCAUAUCACUCAUUUAUCAAGCUUAGGCAUUACAUAAUCACCAAAAUCAAACAAAUCUAUCAUGAUGAGUUGACAAGCUAUCAUCAUAAAUAUAUAACCAUGCAUCAUGAUAAAGCACUCAAUGUUAAACACAAUGAUAAUUUGAUCAUGUAAAUAUACAAGUAUUACUUUCACAAAUUCAAGCUACUAUCCAUUUAUCAUGAUAUACUCAACAUAAUAAAUAGGCAAGAUAAACUUACCCACUUCAUGUUAAUGCACUUAAUAUUAUGAUACGAAGUGAAAUGUUAAAUAUUUACUAAGAUUAAAACAUCAUCACUUAUAAUCAAUAAGGCAAUAAUAGUUAGCAAAACAAUUAAAUCAUCUUGCCUCAUUAUUUUUGCUUAGACCAUGAUCAAGUGAUUAUCCUCAUAAUUCAUCAAGCAACUCUCCACCAUUCCUUGAUUGUGGUACCUACAAAGAAAACAUUCACGUUGUGCCCUUUGGUACCCAAAUACUCUUGGGUCCUUGAGUGUUAGAUUUAGUUCCUUUCGGAACCCAAAUACAUUUGACUCCAUAAUACACAUUUCUUUUAAUUGGACAUCUAUUCUUCAUAUGACCAUUUUGAUUGCAGUAAUGACAUACAAUUUUAUGAUCACUUGUGGAGGUAGCUUUAACAAAAUAAUUCUUAUAAUAUUUUUGUUUCAAAUAAGGCUUAUAUCCAAGUCCUCCUUUAUCAAACACACAUUUUUGAGAAUUAAUCAAGUUAUCCAACAUCUUUUGCCCAUUUGUGAAUUUUAAAACAAUCUCAUUCAACUCAUUGCUCCUUUUCUUAAGUGUUUCAUUUUCAUUUAUUAAUUCAUCAACAUGUGAUUUCUCAUGCUCAUACGAAUUACUUUGUUUACAUGUGAAUGAUGCAAUUCUAUCAUGCAACAUUUUAUUAUCUAACUCUAGUCCUUUAAUCUUUUCAUUUAAUGAAUCAUUGCAUUUUUGUAAAGCAUCCUUUUCAUUUUUCAAGUCAUCUACAUAUGAUUCUAGAUGCUCAUGUGAAGUGCUAGGUUUCUCAUUCGAUAAUGCAACUUUAUCAUGCAAUGUUUUAUUCUCUAAUUCUAGGCAUGUAAUCUUUGCACUUAGAGAUUCAUUCUCAUUUGUGAGCUUUACCAUUUUCUUUUUAAGACAUGCAUUCUUUCUACCAAUUUUUAUCCAAUUAUCAUGCAAUUCUUUAAAAGCAUCAUAUAAUUCAUCAUAAGUAGAAAGAUCAUUUACCUCAUCAAGUUCAUCAUCCGAUUCAUCUCCAAUUGCCAUGAGAGCUAGAUUUGUCAUUUCUUGAUGUUCUUCACCAUCACUUGUUUCCUCAUCGCUAUCAUCCCAUGUGGCUACCAUUGCUUUCUUCUUGAGUUUGUUGAGAAGAGGACAUUCCGGUCGUAUGUGUCCGGGCUUCUUGCAUUCAUAACAAGUGAUUACUUCCUUCUUCUCCUUUCGGUUCUUGAGGUCUCUAGAUUUUCUUCGCUCACCGGAUUUCUUAAAAAGUUUUCUGAACCUCCUAGCCAACAUAUCCAUCUCCUCCUCAUCCAGCUCGCUUUCCUCAUCACUUUCAUGUUUCAAGGCUUUGAGAGCAAUGCUUUUCUUCUUCUCCUCAUUGCCUCUUUCGGCUGCCAAGUCUUCCUCAUAAGAAAUAAGAGAGCCAAUUAAAUCAUCAAUAGGUAAUACAUUUAAAUCUUUGGCUUCCUCAAUGGCAGUCCUUUUUGGUCUCCAUUCCUUAGGUAGUGACCUAAUGAUUUUCUUAACUUUCUCACUAUUUGAAAAGGUCUUUCCUAGGGCUCCUAGAGUGUUCACUAUGUCCGUAAAUCUAGUGUACAUAGAAUACACACUCUUAUUUUGUUCCAUUUGAAACAAUUCAUAUUGUCGAGUGUACCUACUAAUUUUAGACUCUUUCACUUGAUUUGUGCCUUCAUAAACAACUUCAAGUUUGUGCCAAAUUUCAUUAGCACUUUCACAACUAGAUACUCUAUGAAACUCUUUCUUAUCUAGUGCACAAAACAAGGCAUUCAUAGCUUUGGAGUUUAGAGAAGCUUUUCUCUUUUCCAAUUCAUUCCAUUCCCUUGAAGGUUUUGGAAUAUCUUCCCCAACUUCGUUUUUAAUCAAAGGCAUAAAUGGACCAUCACAAACAAUUUCCCAAAUUUCAUAAUCUAAAGCUUGUAAAUAAAUUCUCAUCCUAGUUUUCCAAUAUGGGUAGUCAUUACCGUCAAAGAACGGUGGUCUAAUUGUGGAUUGUCCUUCCCUAAAGGUUGAGUCACUAUGGGUUGCCAUGAAUCUUUAACUCUAGACGGUUAAGUCUACACAAGAGCACCUCGCUCUGAUACCAAAUGAAAUACUAACUAGGCAAUCCAAGAGGGGGGUGAAUUGGGAUUUUAAAAAUUAAGCUAAGCAAACCACACACAAAUCCAAUCUAAUGCCUUAAUCAAAUUGAAAACAAUAAAUUCAAUCAUGCACAAUAUUAAAAGAGUAAGGGAAGAGAAAACAAACACAAUGAUUUUUACGUGGUUCGGCAAUCCCCGCCUACAUCCACGCCUCCAAGCUCACCGGGCUUGAGGAUUUCACUAAGCUAGCCUCCCAAGGCUUCAAACGCUUACAAUUGACUUCCAAGGUGUCAAUGGACCUUUACAACAAGAGAUUAUCCCCAAUCUCUUAACCCAAGUGUAUCCCAACACUUACAAUCUUUUAACUUGAUUUUACAAAAAAAGAUUACAAAUGAAUCUCUCUCACACAAUGUGUUUGAUCACAAGUGAAAGCUCAAUGUGUGAUGAAUAAGAUGAAUACAAGAAUUUAAAGCUCAAUGAAAGUUGUAUUCUCAAUAUUUUGCUCAAUGAUGAUCGUUGAAAAUCUUCUUGUUUGAAUUGGAUUGAGCUUAUUUAUAGUUGGAGCUGAAAACUAGCCGUUAUUGACUUUCUGCACACUGUCGGAUCGCCGUUAGCUAGAUGUCGGAUCGCCGUUUGACUGGUCAAUAUGACCGUUGGGCAAAUUUUUCAAAUUGUCGGAUCGCCGUUAACUAUAUGUCGGAUCACCGUUUAGGUCCAGAGGCUACUGGUUGAUAUCGGCGAGCCGUUUAUCACACAUGUCGGUUCGCCGUUUAGGUCCAGAGACAAAUCUUCAAUUCUGUUAGAUGUCGGCGAGCCGUUAUCAAGAUGUCGGAUCGCCGUUUUCUACAGUAACUGCUACAAUGAAAUAUUUUCCAAAUUCACAGUUUGACCCCAAAACUUUAUAAAAUUGUGUUACGGCCCAAAACGUUAUAAAACUUUACAAAUAGGUCCAAUUUCAGAAUUUCUAAGUAAUGCUUUGUUAAUCCCAAAACUUUCUGAAAUUAUGGUAUAGCCCAAAAUGCUAUGACACUUUUCAAAUAAGUCAUUCUCCAAAAUUUCAAGCAAUACUUGUUUAUUUCAAAGUUUUCAAAAUUCUUUCAAUUAACCCAUAAACUUUGAAAAACAACCAAUUUCAUAAAAUCAUUUUUCCAUUAUAUAUGAAACAUUUAUAAUGUGAAAAUGAUUAUUUAUUUAAAAAGAAUAAAAACAAUCAAUUUCAUAAAAUCAUUUUUCCAUUAAAUAUAAAACCUUUAAAAUGUGAAAAUAAUGAUUUAUUCAAAAUAUAUAAAAAAUAAUUUGAUCUUCAAAAAUUAAUCAUUCUUAAUCUUGUUUGUUAUCAUCAAAAUCAAUAUUGUGGAAACAUAUAUGUUAACACUGCAUACCUUCUUUUUAUGGGCAAUUAUCAAAUUAAUCCUUACUAAAUUUUUUGUUGGCUACUGAUAUCUCCAAAUCCACCCCAUUUUUAAAAAACAAAUACAAAAAGUACACAUUAUUUUUAAAAAAUAAAUAAAUAAGAACUUUGGAGAACAAAUUAACAAAUCUAUCUUAAUUUACUUUUUGUGACUUAAAUUUUUUUAUUAUAUUUGAUCAUAAAGAUUGAUUUGACAUAAGUCUAAAUUGAUUAUUUUAUCCUUAUAAGGUCAAACUAAUUCUUUAACUUCAAUAUUUUCUAAUUUUAUAGCAAUUCAUUAUUUCUAAUACUACUUUAUUAGUAUGAUUAUAAAACAUUAAUUAAACAAACAUAAUGGCUUUAUGGCACAAUACUCAUGUAAAUUAUUAGCUUGUCAAAUUUACAUCAUUUACACGUAAGAUAGUGAAAAUAAUAGUUAAAUUUCAUUUAAAAAUAUUAGUUCACAUGAUUAAAUACCUAAAUUAUUAGAUACAAUAACCCGUGUUUAUUGUACAAUUUGGUCAUUUUAUAUCAUAAUACUAAAAUAGUAAAGUAAAAUUUAUAUCAAGUUUAUGAUCAAAUAUACUCAAAGAAAUCUAAUAAAAAAAGUAAUAGAGGGAUUUAAUUGAUUAACUAUACAAAAUUUUUAUUAAUUUGAAUUUUUUUAAAAAUAUUGUGAAUUCAUUAUAAUUAUUUUCUAGAAGUGGGGUAAAUUUACAAACCUUUUUAGUUUCUUUCCUUUGAAACUUGCGUUUGGAUCUUCGGUUGAAUUUGGGGCUUACAAUAAAUCGACCCCACAUUUUUUCUUCCCGCAUUCCGUAGAAUAAUAUUAUAUGUAAUAAAAUAACACAAAAUUUAGUACACAAGGCACAAAUGACAAAAAAUAAUUUUCAUCUUGUAGUGAACUUUUCUUAUUGAUAAUGUACUAUUUUUUUUAUUCUAUUUACUUCUGUGAACAUAUAAUUGUAGGCAUCCACAAAUGUUAAGGAUAAGAAAUUAUUUUCCUUUAAAGUUAUUUCACAACUCCUGUACUUAUAUCAUCAAUUGCUUGACCUUUAGUUAUUUUCCUUGCUAACUUGAGUGAGACUCACCGAUACAGCUAAUAUUGGAUUUCUUGGAUGAAGCUGCUCAGAAGCCAAUAGUGCUUGUACGUAAUUCUUUUCGAAGCCUACCUUGUGUUUUUGCUGCCUCAGGUAUAUUAAUUUAACUUCCUCUUGGGCAUCAGAUAUUCGUCAUCAUGCUUGCAAAGAAACACUUGCACCUGAUUAGCCUUUUCGGUUAAUAUGGUUUGCGAAAACCUGCUAUAUUUUCUACCAUAAAAAUCCAGUCAAACACUUGUUCGAGGGCUUGUUUUGUUGAAUUGUGCUGGUGGCAGCAUGAACAACAAGGCAAUUGUUGAUGAUUGGAGAAUCAAGCCAUGGUUGCCAUUGCUUUGGUUCAUUGAUUUCUUGUUGAAGCAAAGGGCAAUUGCAGAUGCAAUCUUUGAAGAUGUGAAACGAAGGUAUUUUCUCUUCUCUCUAUUCAGUCCAUUUUUCGUUAUCCUAAAACACUAGAGUCAAAAAUUAAAAAAAUUCUAUGAUGUGUAUAUAUUGGUGCUGUAGGGAAACACUGAGGAACAUUUUACUGUCCAUCUAUGCAAAUAAGAAAUCUGUGGAUGAAACACUGGUAGAGGUAUUAAUAUUCUCCACUUAUGUGCCAUUUUAACCUCUUACAAAAAUAGCUACUCAGAAUUCAUGAAUUGACCUAAAAAUUGCAGAUCAUACGAGAACCCGCCAAUGAUGAAGGGGAACUUGAUGCAUUUGUUUCGAUUGUGACAGGCCCACAAGGGCCGAACCCCGUGCAAUUGAUGCCAUCAAUCUCUAUACCUGUACUAGUUUUAUAGGGUGAUGAGGAUCCAUUCACCCCCCUCGAUGGACCUGUUGGUAGAUACUUCUAAUCUCUGCCUUCUCAACUUUCAUAUGUGAAGUUAAUUGUGUUGGAAGGAGUAGGACAUUGUCCCCAUGACGACAGACCCGAGUUGGUCCACGAAAAGCUGCUUCCUUGGUUGGCUGAAACAUUUAAUUUCUGAGGAAUUUACUUUCUCAUCAGCAAGUUUUGAUGAGCAUUAUAUAUUAUUCCUAUUGUAAAAAGACAAACAGCUCUUGUAUUUAUAUUGUAUAUAUCAAAUCUUAUUCAACCGCUUGAAUAUCUUUUGGCGCCGAAAAGAAUGUAGGAGAAACUGAUCCCUGACAAGUUGUAGAAGCUCCAAAUUGAUUCAAGGCAUAUAUCAAAUUAUUCAAUAAAAAGUCAAAUUCAGCACAAUAAAAAAUUAGUUAUUUAUUUUUUAUAACUUAUAUAUGAUUUUUAAACAUUUACAUUUAAAUUAAAAAAGUAAUUUUUUUUGUGACCUUUGCCGAAAUGAGAAAAUAUUUGAAUGAAAAAUAAAUAUUAUAUUCUAAGAAUAUUUCUAUUCAAUAUUAUUAUUUCCUAAACUAUAAAACCCAAUUUCUUUUACUCAUUUUGACUAAUAAGGACAUAAAUGUCAAAUAACCGUGUUUGAUAUGCUUUUUUAUUAUAAAAACAAAUAAGAUGCCACUUAAUUUUUAGAUAUUAAAAAAAUAAACAUGUUAUUGAGACAUUUAUAUUCAAAUCCAUUUAGAUUUCUGUCAAAUUCAUACUUAUUCAAAUUUUAGAUAAAAAUAAACGCUACCUUAAUGUCCUUUUAAUUCUCUCGAGUAGGAUGAAAAUUUAUUUUAUUUUAUUUUUCUAUGUUGGAUUAGGGUUUAGUUGUAUAUCAUUGUAUCUUAUCUUUGAAAAUCUUUUAAAGUAUUUUAAAAUUGAGAUUAUCUACCCAAAAAAAAAUUAAUUUCAACUACUUAUGAAUUGUUUGACCAUAAAUUGUAUUAUAUGUCAAAGAAUAUGUUCAACUGGAUAAAAUCGUUGGCUACAUCCUUCGUUAAAAGAAAUUUUAUAAUAUAUUAGAGAUAAUACAACCAAUUUUAAUGAAUUCGUUGUAACACACGUGCAAGCUAAAAUGGGUCACAUGUGGCUAAUUGUCAAAGCAAUAGCAAGCUGUUAGCUUAAAGCAAAGCACAUUCAUGCUUCACCUAUGAUAAUACAACCAAUUCUAAUGCAUGUAUUGUGAUGGACAUGCAAGCUAAAAGGAGGCACAUGUGGCUAAUUGUCAAAGCAAUAGCAAGCUGUUAGCUUAAAGCAAAGCACGUGCGUGCUUCACCAAUAGGAUUUGUGAGUGGAUUAUUAUUAUUACUAUUAUGUAUUCUACAAAGUAUUUAUGUUUAAUAGUAUGAUUUAGUAUAAAGUUAUGAUUAUAUGUACGUACAUUAUAUGAUUGAUUGAGUCAUGAGGUGUGAUUGACAGGCACCAUAUGUGUACCCUUCCCCAUCGGCUCUACGCAUGCGUAUUGAGAGUUAAAUUACUCGGCCCUUGUGAUGUUGUUAAUUCUGCUGAGUAUUGAGAGGUUUUUCCCCUUUUUUACUCGUGCGAUGAUGAUCCUAGUGAGUAUUGAGAGUUAUUUCCCCUGUAUAUUAUUUGGUGCAAUUUUGUCAUUUAUGUAUAUAUGAGUUCAUGUUUGCUUUUGUAAAGCGUUCAGUGUAAAGUUAUGUCAUACAAUUAUGACGAGCACUAAAGCACUAAUUUAUUUAUAUAUAUAAUUAUAUUCAUUCAUUGGGCCGCAAGCUUACUAUUUUCCUAUUUACCCCAUUUCUGUAAGGUUUCCAUAGGAUUUCGUGUAGUUCAGUUUCUGAUCAAUUGAGGUUGGGCCACGACACGCAUUACUACAUGACUUACAUUUUGACCUAAUUUAUGUUUAUAUGUAUAUAUAUCCGAAGUGUAUGUAUGUACAGUGAGAUAUGAACUGUGUAAGUUUUUAAAAUAUUUUUUAAUGAGGCACAUAGAUUAUUAUAUGUUUAUAACAAAGGCCAAGGCUAGUGUUAUAUAUUCAUGAAUUAAGUUUAUGUCAUGAGCUUUAAAUAUAAAAUUGCAUGAUUCACCCCAUAUCCAAGGGUUGAGGCGGUUUGUGUCAUGUAUGAUAUGUACAUAUUUAGAUUCAAUAUAACCACCAUUUGAAUGAUAGUUUUUUAAAAUAAGGGCACAUGUGUCGUAGCAUGAUUCACUUAUUGUAUGACGGACAUGGUACUUCUGAUGUAUUCUAAAAUUUCUUCCUUAGUUAGAGGCAUUUGUUUUAAAAUUUUAUUUAAAAGAAGGUCAUUUUUAAUUUUAGAAUGUAAAAUGUAUUUUCUACAACACUAAAGGAUGAAACGGCCUUCAACAUAGAUUCCUUAAUAAAUUUUAAGAGAACUAAUAGAAAGUGGUUAUUUCAUUCAUGGUUAUUAAAUCAAAAUUUGAAUUAGAUCAUCACUGGUCCAAAAUAAACUAUCGUCAAUUCAAAUUGAAACAUGAAACCAUGAAUGGAUGCAUCUUUAAAUAAAAGGAUACGUUUUUAUUAUAUAUGACACUGUUUAAUUAGACAUAUCUUUACAGUCGGACAAAUUUUUAAAGCACCAUUAAUUUUGAAAAUAUUCCAGCAUAAAAUAUAUCCCUCUCCCUUAUAAGAGUAUUUUGCAAAUAAUUUGCAAAUAAUACAGAGCCACCACGAGUUCAAAAAUAAUAAAACAAUAACAUUGCUCGCUUGCUAGACUGGGCUGGAUUGGGCUGGGCCUGCUAUAAGAAUGUUUUACUAGUACGAGGCUUUGCUUUCAUCAUCGAAUACACAGUGAGGGAAAUUGAAAUUGAUGAUGGCGUUGGCCGCUCAAAUUCUAUCUCAACCGCUCAAUUUUUCUCAUAUGGUGAUCUCUUAUAAAUGUGGCAGGUUAAGCACUGGAGCAUUGUCACGGUUGAUUCUAUCGGAUGAUUCUCUUCGAAUGGCAGUGAAUUAGUUCAGGACUUCUAAGGUAUUGCUAAUUCAUAGCUGAUAGUGUGUAUUACGAUAAGAUUCAACCUGUUGGUUAAUUUAAAAUUGUUAUCUUCUUUCUUAUUUGUGCAACAAAUAUAAUACUUGAGUAAGAGUAUUUUCCUUUUUACUUUUGUGUUGUUAAGUGCCUAUAAGUCUGUUUUUUGUUGUUGAGUGUCUGCGUCAAUGCCUGAUGGCAUAUUUGCAAGUAGCUUUAAAGCUUAUUUGGCUCUUUGUUUAUGAAUAAUGUUCAAUAGCAACCUGCUCCAUUGAUAAGAGAAAUGUAUGAUAUAAUUUUUCAAGAUACCUACCUGCAUUAUGAAUUGUUAUUGGAAGGAAGUACGAUAAUAAAUUAAGAGCAAAGACUGAUUAAAAGAUGUAUCUUUCAUUAUUAAGCGAAAUGUAUGUUCUGCUUCUCAUUCACUUUACCAGAUUUACAAAAGUUUUAUGUUAUUGGAUUGUUUCUGGGUUAUCCUUGUUUUUCUAUUUUAAUUGCUUUACAUGCAUUAUGUGUGUAAUUUUUUAAUGGGCAAUCUUCAUUUGGAACAUGAAAAUUUUAAAAAACUUUCCAAUUUGUGCAGGGUAUGGAGCCUCUUAAGUAGGACUCUUUGGGUGCUACUUCUAUGUUGGGCAAAUAUUUUUUUUUUUCUUUUUCCAGUCACCAUAAUGGGGGUCAUGGUGAAACAACUUACUAAUCACUCUGGACAGGAACGGGCUUCUAUAAGUAAAGCACACGUAUUUCACUCUUUCCUUAGCAUGGAGCUGCUUACCGUUGGGAUGAAGAUGGUAAUAGCUGCUUUAGAAAUAACUUUUCUUCAGCAGGAAAAUUCUCAAUCUUGGUAAAUUUAAUGUUGUACUAGAAGACAAGCUGCCUAUUUAACCAAUGGCUAAAUGUAGCAUAGUAGCCUCCUUAGAUGAUUAAUUAGAUUGCACUCCUUUUCAUCUCUCUGUUUUCAUUUUUUCUCCUUUUUGACUUGCACUUCUCUGUUCCUUUCCCCCCCAAAAAAAAAAAAAAUUGCACUUUUCUGCCGAUGUCUUCCCAAUAUCCUAUGAUCUCCAAAUGCACAAAUAUUCUUGUUGUGACGUUCCACAUGUGGUUUCUUUUUUAUUUUGGUCCAUUUUUCAACAAUAUAGAAUAGUGAGAAGAAUGCUUUAUUUUAAUGAUGCUUCUAUGCUUUCUUAAAUGUAUGCUUGUUCUUGUUCACAUUAUACUGUUCGUCAUAAUUGGUAUGGUCUUUCUUUGGCAUCAUCAAGCCCCAAAUGUGAUGAAACAUUUUGAAUUUCUUAUUGAUCCAGCCUUCACUUUAGUAUAAUGUAUACACCGUAUCUGCGCUGCAGUAAGUAUCAUUGAUAGUUCGGAAUGAGUGCGAAAGCAGACUAGUGUGUUAACUUCAUGAUUUAUUUACUGGUUUGCACAUCCAUAUUUCAAAUGGUAUACUGGUCUUCGGCCAAAAGAGAGGGAAAAUGAAAGACUUGUGAGACAAUCCUCAUGGCUUUGUUGACAUCAGUUUGGUGGUUGAUUGAGAAUGAAUGAUCGUACAUACAUACAAAUACUUGUUAGAGGGCUUGUUCUGUUGAAUUAUGCUGGCGGCAUAAACUACAAGGCAUUGUUGACAAUUGGAGAAUCAAGCUAUUGUUUCCAUUGCUUUGGUUGAUUGAUCCUUUGUUGAAGCAAAGGCCAAUUGCAGAUGCAAUCUUUGAAGAUGUGAAACAAAGGUAUUUUCUCUUCUCUUUAUUCAGUCCAUCGUUCAUUAUACUAAAACACUUGAGUCAAAUAAGGUAUAGUUCAAUACUCUAGUGUGAGUUUGUGUUACAUGCACUACGUCCCUCGAAAGUUAUUACAUGCAUGUUUUGUUCCGAGGCUGAUCUUGGCUUUUUCUCCUAUUAUUAAUAGUGAUUAUUAAAAGAGAAAAAAUAAAAUUACAUUCUUGAAAAUCUUAGUCUCCUUAGUAACAGUUGAAACAUCUGCUUGGAACUUCCAUUGAAUCCGUAGAAUCUGGGAUGUAAAGUAAAUGGACCCCACAUUUUUUCACCCGCAGCACUCGCACUCCAAAGGCGGAAAACGAUCAAAAUCAUCAAAAAAGAAGCGGACUGCCUCAGUGAAAAAAUAGCACCCCAAAAGUAAGUGAUCUGAUUCUACGUAAGCAAGGCGCUUCAGAAAUCUCCGUGUGACUUGCGGAUCACAAUCUUCGGUUUUCACUUUGAAUUCACAAGAAAAUGAAAACCAUCUGUCAUUAUCUACAUGACAGUCUGAAAAUGCUACAAUAACACUAAAUGCAAAGCCCAGUAGUACUCGGUUAUUGUUGAAGGAAUCUGAUGGCAUCUCCAAGGUUAUAAAAGAUCCCACACUUUGAAACUCAAACCACUUCGGAAUUUCAUUCCUGAGUAGUAAGAUAUGACCUCCGUUCAUGUGAAAAUCAAUCUGUAAAAAAGAAAAAAAUCAUAACUCAAAAAAAAAAUAUAUAAAUUGAAAGAAGAGAGUUAAAAACACACCUUUUCCUGUACUUCUUUCCAAUGGGCAGCUGCCAUAAGCUGAAUUCUCUGCAGGGCAUCUUCAACAAUUCCUGCAGUAGAAUUACCAUCCGAUUUAAAAUUAUUGCUCUAGUAAAAAAAACACUGCUUAUGUAUAAGAUUCAGAACUUGAGAAUAAACCUGAUAAUGAUUGCAGCGAUGUGCAAUGAUCGGCAUCUAACCAUCGUACAAGAAAUGGAAGCUUUGGUACGGAUUGAAGCUUCUCACAAUAGCUUAAGCGGAGGUAAGUCAACACAGAAAUUUGGAUGAUGCUUUCUGGUAUUCUCUCAAUAUUGGUUUUCUCUAGAAGCAAUGUUCCUAGAGAGGACAACUGGCCAAGACAUUCGGGCAAUCUCUGAAGAUUUGAGCAACCACUGAGAUCAAGAAUUUCAAGAGAUUUCAACUUACAUAGGCUGCUUGGGAGACUCUUAAGCCUUUUACAGUCCGAAAGGUCCAAGUACCCCAGCCUAAUUAGAAGCUCAAUUGAUGAAGGCAGUUCUUCAAUUGCAGUUCCACUUAAAAAAAGGCAGCUUGUAUUACUAGAUGAGAUCUCUGGAAGCCUCUUAAGUUUUGAGCACCCCGAAAGAUCAAGUGUUGUAAGAAAUUCCAAAUUAAAUAUUCCAGCUGGAAGACUUUUCAGGCUUUUGCUACCUCUUAGAUUCAAGAUAACUAGCUUGUUUAGAUGUGGAAUCAACGUGGGGUUUGGAGUUUUGGCAAUUAGCAUCUUGCAGGCAGCAUGGAUUGUCUGGUUUAACUUACCACGAUGCUGCUUGGUCAAAAAAGAGGCCAAGAGGAAUCAUUACCAUGUAUGAUAAUUUAACGUUAUUAUUGAAAGAUCCACACAUAAUGUAUUAAGUUAUACAUACCUUCAUACCAUCCCAAAGUUGUUCAAUGCUGCUAUUAGGCAUUUCAAGAAACACAAGCUUCUCUGCACUGAUGUUUGAAGGCAAUGACUUCAAUGGAUAUCCAUGCUAGUGGAGAUACUUCACUUCAGUAAAUCUAGGGUCUUGCAAAUAAGACACCUUACAUUUGUUCUCUCCAUUGAAUGAUGAGCUAUAGAAUUUUAAAAAUCUCAAUUUCCGCAUCUUUGUGAAUGUAUUGGGAUUUAGAUGGAUCUCUUUCACUUUGAACAUAUUCAAAUAGAUGUCCUCAACUUUUUCAGUCCCCUAAUAAUCAAUAAAAAAAUGAAAAACGAUAUUUAUAUCCCACCAAUGAAUUGCACCUCAACCCCACCAAGACAAAUUUUUGGGGCAUGUUUGGCAUUGAUUCACAACAAGGGGUAACUUAGUUAUUAAUUCAAUCUUUUUUUUUACUCUUGCGUGGAAUUGAGGUGGGAUUGGAGUGGAAUUUUUUAUCAUUGGUCGAGUCAAAUUUCAGUAAUUCAUGUUUAUAUAGUUAUUGCUAGGCCGUGAAACUCUUAAUUGCAAACGCACAAAGGAACAUAAUAAUACAAGUAAUACUAAACAUGGAAUUUACGCAUGUGGGAUACAAACAAAUUGACAAAUAAACUAUCCUUACAAAGAAUUUAAUUAUACAAGUUGUCACGGCAUUUAUAACCACUAUUGUUUUUUUCUAAUCAUUGUCACUCUUCUGUUAAUUCUAGAUUCAGCAAUUCGAGAGUAUAUAAAUAUAUCCAUAUCAAGUUUGUAAAUGCUAGAAUAUUCCAAAGUAAUAAUCCACGACAAGUUGUCACUCAUGAUGCACAAUCAACUGCAGCUUCCAGGAUCAUUUGAUUCUUGACUGACAAUAUCCCUACCCAAUUCUUGUAGCAAAUCAUGCAUAGUUAUCUUGUUGUUAUUUGAUAUGACAAUAAGAGACUUAUCAACGAGAACACUUAUUCCUAUUUUUGGGUAGAAGCUGCCUGCAUUAAGGAAUUUCAUUACUAGAUUUACAUCCUCACCUUGAAAGAAACAAGCAACAUCAAGGAAAAUAUUUCUCUUUAUUAUCCAAACCAUCAUAACUUAUUUUUAAUACCUCUAGAAUACUUGGAUGGAGGAUUCUUUGCAAUUUAUUUAUUGCACUUUCCCAGACUUAUUUUUCCCUUUCAUAUAGAAAGCACCCCAAAACUUUAAGAGCUAAAGGAACACCUUGAACAAUCUCUAGCGAUUGUUGUUUUGCGUAUAACACCAAUGCCCCAAAUCCCUACAGCGUAAACAUCUUUCGACUCAACACUUAGUAGAGAUUCAAUUUCCUCAACUCUUGAUUCUACUCCAACCAGCUGGCUUUUGUUAUCACGUGGCCGCUUUAUAACUAUAAAAGAAGAUAUGAAUUAUUUGUUUUUUGAAUUUCGCCCAUCGAUCGCGCAUUAACUUAAAUUCAUAAAAGGAAAAUGAAAACAGGGCCCAUAAAAUGUUACCGAACAGGCCCUAAUAUUCUCCACUAAUGUGCCAUUUUAACCUCUUACAAAAACGGCUCAGAAUUCAUAAUUGACCUCAAAACUACAAAUCAUACGAGAACCCACCAAUAACGAAUAGGCGCUUAAUGCAUUUGUUUUGAUUGUGAUAGGCCUACCAGGGCCGAACCUAGUGCAAUUGAUGCCAUCAAUCUCUAUACCUAUACUAGUUUUAUAGGGUGUUGAGGAUCCAUUCACCCUCUUUGAUGGACCUGCUGGUUAAUACUCCUCAUUUCUACAUUCUUAACUCUCAAAUGUGCUAGUUAAUUGUAUUGGAAGGAGUGGGACAUCAUCCCUAUGACGAAAGACCCAAGGAGAUCCAUGAAAAGCUGCUUUCUCGGUUGGCUGAAACAUUUAAGUGCUGAGAAAUUUACUUUCUCAUCAGCAAGUUUUGAUGAGCAUUAUAUAUUAUUCCUAAUGUAAAAUGGCAAACAACUCUUGUAUUUAUAUUGUAUAUAUCAAUUCUUAUUCAACCGCUUGAAAAUCUUUUGGCAUCGAAAGAGUGUACGAGAAACUGAUCCCUAACAAGUUGUAGAAGCUCCAAAUUGAUUCGAGAAAUGUACCAAAUUAUUCAAUAAAAAGUCAAAUUUAGCACAAUAAUAAAGAACAAUGAUUUAUUAAUCUAUAUUUCUCAUGUUAAUGAUAUGCGAAUGAUAAGAUUCAAUUUUUCAAAUGAAAAAGAUACAAUAAUCUAAAUAGAAUUAUAGGCUCAUGGGCAUCUUUAACCUUUCCUUACAAGCUAGUUUUUUAAAGGUAAAUUCUAGCCAUAGAUGAUACCACGUCAACUAUGGAAUCAAAUGAAACAUUUCGAAUAUGGAAUUGGUAUAAAUACUUGAAAGAGUGGAUACAUGUUUGUUGAUACAGAAAUCUGGUUGAGCUACGUAGCGACCAGACAACCACGCCAACACUUAAAUUUGUUGUUAAAUAUCAAUUGUUGGAGAAAAAUCAGUUUUUUAAAUUUUUAUAAAAUCUUUUAAGAUCGAUCUCAUAUAAUAUAUAAGAAUUCGUAAUCUAGAAAAUCAUACCUUGACAAUCUGAUUUGACUUUUUUAGUGAGUUAAUCUAGGCUCCCAGAUCACGAUCUAUCAGCACCACGCCUGUUAGAUCACGAUCCGUCACCACCACGUUUGUUAGAUCACGAUCCGUCACCAAUGAUCUUCUAGGUUAUGACUCAGGUUUCAUAUACACUUGUGAGUGGAUUACUAUUAUUACUUAUAUGUAUUCUACAAAGUAUUGUGUGAGUGGAUUACUAUAUUUUAGGAGAAAUCCAAGAAUUAGGGAAUCUAUAGGAGCUCCAACGAACCCCGAAGUGAAACAUAUUUUGUGAGUGGAUUACUAUUAUUACUUAUAUGUAUUCUACAAAGUAUUUAUGUUUAGUAUGAUUUAGUAUCAUGUUAUGAUUAUAUGUACGCAUAUUAUAUGAUUGAUUGAAUCAUGAGAUGUGAUUGCCAAAUACCAUAUGUGUACCCUUCCCCAUAGGCUCUAUGCAUGUGUAGUGAGAAUUAGAUUACUCGGCCCUUGUAAUGUAGUUAAUUCCGCUGAGUAUUGAGAGGUUUUUCCCCCACUUUACUUGUGCAAUGAUGAUUCCAGUAAAUAUUGAGAGUUAUUUCUCCUAGAUAUUAUUUAGUGCAGUUUAUCAUAUAUAUAUAUAUAUGAUUUCAUAUUUGCUUGUGUAAUGCGUUCAGUGCGAAGUUAUGUCAUACAAUUAUGCACCCGCACUAGAGCACUAAUUUAUUUAUAGAUAUAUGUACACACACACACACAAUUAUAUCCAUUCAUUUAGCCACAAGUAUAUUAUUUUCCUAUUUACCCAAUUUCUUUUAGAUUUUCAUAGGAUUUCGUGCAGUUCAGUUUCUAAUCAGUUGAGAUUGGGUCACGACACGUAUUAUUGCAUGACUUAUAUUUUGAACACGUUUAUGUUUAUAUGUAUAUAUCUAAAGUGUAUGUAUGUACAGUAAGAUGUGAAAUGUGCAAGUUUUGAAUAUAUUUUUGAAUGAGGUACAUAUGUUAUUAUUUGUUUAUAACAAAGGCCGAGGCUAGUGUUAUGUAUUCAUGAAUUAAAUUUAUGUUACAAGCUUUAGAUAUAAGAUCACAUGAUUCACCUCGAAUCUGGCAGAGAGGUUGGGUCGGAUUGUGUCAUGUAUAAUAUGCACUUACUUAGAUUCAAUAUAACCAUCAUUUACAUGAUGGUUUUUCAAAAUAAGUGCACAUAUAUCAUAACAUGAUUCACUUUUUAUAUGACUGACAUGGUACUGAUUAUGUCUUCUAAAAUUUGUCCCUUAGUAAGAGGCAUUUAUUAUAAAAUUUUAUGCUAAAAGAAGGUCAUUUUAAAUUUCAAAGUGUAAAAUCUAUUUUUAUACAUUUACACAAUACUAAGGAUGAAAUGGUCUUCAACAUAGAUUCCUUAAUAAAUUUUAAGAGACCUGACAGAAAGUGGUUAUUUAGAGAAAUUGAACAAUGGAUGGUGCCUUUAUUUAAUUCAUUAAUAAAAUGCAUCUAGAAACUGAUGUAGUCCAAAAAGGCGUCUUUUGUUAGAGUGUAGUAGGAGUAAAUAUAUGAAAUAAAAUUUUGGAGAAAUAUUUGUGGGGAAUAAUAAUUGCAGAAAAAGGGAGCAAUAAUUGAUAAAACUUUUUUUAUUAAAGUUGGACUAUUGGCACCCCUUUAGUCUCCUCAUCAAACCUUUUUUUUUCAGUUACAUUUAUUUUAUUUCCAAAAAUUUCCUUUUAUUUUCAAAGACGCUCUUUUAGUUUUUCAUUUAAUCUUUUUUUAUUGUUAAAAUUCAAAGUAGUAUUGUGCUAUUUUUCAUCUCUUUUGCAAUCCUAUUGUUAUCCUACAUACAAAUCAAAAAGUUUUUUACGUGAUAAAGUUUGAAUGCUAAUCAUUAGCUUAAAUAACACAUAUUUUAGAUUGUAGUUUGAAUGUAAUCUUGAGUACAAAAAUAUUUAAUCGAUAAGAAAUAGGAAAAGAAAAAUAGAUUAUUCUAAAUUUAUACAAUUUAUCUUAAUUAGAUAAGAAAUAAUAGGUAGGAAAUUAAAAAAAAGGAUUGAUUAUCAAUGUAAGUAAUUUGUUGGGAAAAAAAAAAUACUACAUGUGUUUAUAUCUUCUUUGCCCUUAACUGUAAUUUUAUUUGAAAUAGGAUUUUAUAAGAAUAAUGAAGGGGUGUCAAUAGUUUCACUCUUAUUUUAAUUGAAAUAUAGGUAAGAAUUGAUGGUGCUUCGAGACACAUUACAAAUGUAGUUUUUCUAGAGAAAAACUACAUACGAUAGGAAGAUUAGAUGGAUCACAGAAAGGUCCUGACUUCUAUUUAUAGAUAAUUAUGUACUCUUUUAUUUGGAUUGUCACUUUUCAUGAUACCCUUUCAUUUAUGGUUAUUAAAUCAAAAUUUGAAUUAAAUUAUCAUUGGUCCAAAAUAAACCAUCACCAUUUCAAAUUGAAGUAUAAAAUCAUGAAUGGAUGCAUCUUUAAAUAGAAGAAUAUAUUUUUAUUAUAUUUGACACUGUUUAAUUAGACAUAUCUUUUCAAUCAAACACGUAUUUAAAGCUCCAUUUAUUUUGAAAAUAUUCCAGUGUAAAAUAUAUUCUCUCCCUGACAUGAGUAGUUUGCAAAUAAUACAGAGCCACCGCGAGUUCAAAAAUAAUAAAAUAAUAACAUUGCUCACUUGCUGGACUGGGCUGGAUUGGGCCGAUUGGGCUGGGCCUGCUAUAAGAAUGUGUUACCAGUACGAAGCUUUGCUUUGAUUAUCCCAUACACAGAGAGGGAAAUUGAAAUUGAUGAGGGCGUUGGCCGCUCAAUUCCUGCUUCGGAUUCCCCAACUCGGAAGGAAAAAUAUAAACUUUCCGUCGUACAAGCAUCGCGGGAAUUAUCAGCCAUUGUUCUUGUCUUGCAAUUACAGCACCAAUGACAAUUGUUCUUCAUCUUCUUCUUCUUCUUCUUCUUCUUCGAGGAAUUACUUAGAAUUGACCGACGAUGAGCUGUUUCGCGAAUGCGAAAUGGACGCGUACAAAUCGUCCGGACCAGGCGGUCAGCACCGCAACAAGCGUGAAUCAGCCGUACGUCUCAAGCACGUACCGACCGGCGUCAUAGCGCAGGCCGCCGAAGACCGAUCGCAGCACAAGAAUCGCGCGUCAGCUUUGUCGCACUCUUUUGGCCCUCGAAGUGAGGAGCAGUGUGAAUCUUGAUGCGUAUUCUCCGCCGCCACAGCUUCUUCAAAUCCUUCCUCCUAAGUCUACUAUUAGAAGUUCAGAAGUUGGUCCACAAAUCGGACCUAACAAUCCUAAAUUUGCUUUGGUAUUACUCUAUUCACUCUUGCUUCGGUUUUUUUUGGUUAACUACAGGGAAUGCAAGCUCUGCUUGAUCUAAUUUUCGCAGUCGAGGAAUCUGUAUCAGAAGCAGCAAAAUUAUUGGGGUAUUGCAUUAAGCUUAAUACUCUAUCAAGUGAUAAUUGAGCUUCAAAAAGAGAAAUUGCUAGAUGUAAUGUGUUUGAUUGGCGUUUAGGUUUCCAAUAUUUUUUUUAAGUUAAGAUUUCUCUCGUAUGGUGAUCUUUUAUAAAUGUGGCAGUUUAAGCACUGGAGCAUUGUCACGGUUGAUUCUAUCGGAUGAUUCUCUUCGAAUAGCGGUGAAUGAGUUGAGGACUUCUAAGGUAUGCUAAUUCAUAGCUGAUAGUGUGUAUUACGAUAAGACUCAACCUGUUGGUUAAUUUAAAAUUGUUAUCUUCUUUCCUAUUUGUGCAACAAAUAUAAUACUUGAGUAAGAGUAUUUUCCUUUUUACUUUUGUGUUGUUAAGUGCCUAUAAGUCCAUUUUUUGUUGUUGAGUGUCUGCGUCAAUGCCUGAUGGCAUAUUUGCAAGUAGCUUUAAAGCAUAUUUGGCUCUUUGUUUAUGAAUAAUAUUCAAUAGCAACCUGCUUCAUUGAUAAGAGAAAUGUAUGAUAUAAUUUUUGAAGAUAGUAUCUGCAUUAUGAGUAAAGCAAGAGCAAAGACUGAUUAAAAGAUGUAUCUUCAUUAUUACGUGAAAUGUAUGUUCUGCUUCUCAUGCACUUUACCAGAAUUACAAAAGUUUUAUGUUAUUGAUGGUUGGAUAGUUUCUGGGUUAUCCUUGUUUUUUUUUUUUUUGUUUUAAUUGCUUUACAUACAUUAUGUGUGUAAUUUUUUAAUGGACAAUCUUCAUUUGAAACAUGAAAAUUUUAAAAAACUUUCCGAUUUGUGCAGGGUAUGAAGCCUCUUAAGUAGGACUUCUUAGGUGCUACUAUUGUGUUCGGCAAAUAUUUUCUUCUUUUAUUUUUCUUUUUUCAGUCACCAUAAUGGGGGUCAUGGUGAAACAACUUACUAAUCACUCUGGACAGGAAUGGGCUUCUAUAAGUAAAGCACACUUAUUUCACUCUUUCCUUAGUAUGGAGCUGCUUACUGUUGGGAUGAAGAUGGUAAUAGCUGCUUUAGAAAUUAGUUUUCUUCAGUAGGAAAAUUCUAAAUGUUGGAAAAUUUAAAGUUGUACUAGAAAACAAGCUGCCUAUUCAACCAAUGGCUAAAUGUAGCAUAGUAGUCUCCUUAGACAAUUAAUUAGAUCGCAUUCCUUUUGAUCUCUCUGUUUUCAUUUUUUCUCCUUUUUGACUUGCACUUCUCUGUUCCUUUCCUCAAAAAAAAAAAAAAAAAAAAAUUGCACUUCUCUGCUGAUGUCUUCCCAAUAUCCUAUGAUGUACAAAUGCACAAAUACUCUUGUUGUGACGUUAACCAUAUAUGGUUUCUUUUUUAUUUUGGUCCAUUUUCCAACAACAUAGAAUAGUAAGAAGAAUACUUUAUUUUAAUGAUGCUUCUCUGCUUUCUUAAAUGUAUGCUUAUUCUUGUUCACAUUUUACUGUUCAUCAUAAUUGGUAUGGUCUUUUUUUGGCAUCAUCAAGCCCCAAAUGUGAUGAAACAUUUUGAAUUUCUUAUUGAUCCAGCCUUCACUUUAGUAUAAUGUAUACACCGUACCUGCAGUAAGUAUCAUUGAUAGUUCUGAAUGAGUGCGAAAGCAUACUAGUGUGUAACUUCAUGAUUUAUUUACUGGUUUGCACAUCCAUAUUUCAAAUGGUUUACUGGUCUCUGGCCUAAAGAGAGGGAAAUUGAAAGACUUGUGAGACAAUCCUCAUGGCUUUGUUGACAUCAAUUUGGUGGUUGAUUGAGAAAUGAAUGAUCAUACAUAUACAUACACAUAUACAUAUACAUAGACAUACAUACAUACAUAUACAUAUACAUAUACAUAUACAUAUACAUAUACAUAUACAUAUACAUACAUACAUAUAUAUAUAUAUAUAUAUAUAUAUAUAUAUAUGAUUUUCAUGGACUAGCAUUUGACAGAUGACUUGAUUAUUAUUUUUUGUCUGUCUGUUUAUUGAUUCUGUUGCUCAGUCAUAGCUAGACAUUGCUCGUUGACCAUUUGUUAGUGACAGGCUCAAAUGAGAUGCUUGAACUUUUGCUUUUAUCACUUGUACUUACUUGCUUGGAUUUAGUUUGGAAAAGCAAAUCAACUAAGAUUUAGUCAGGUGAGCUUUGCAGCAAGUUGGGAUCUGACCCAAGUCAUAAUCCAAGUUGAGCAGAAUAUCCACAAAAACCAUCAUCUCAUCCAUGAAACAAAAGCAAUUUUGAGAGCCAGCAUUGGGGAAUCCUUUACUAGACAUGAGUUUUGAUAUUUGAUAUUAUGAAAGUCUUUUAUUUGACAUGUAAAGGUAGGGAUUUACUUUGUUUAACCCCUAUUCGUGCUAUAGGUUGACAGUAAUCUAUCACUUAAAUGCACUUUUUCCAAUCAGCCAAUGGCAAGCAAAUUUCUAGAAUGAAAAUGAGGCAUAAGUUAAAUGCUUUCUUGAAAUGUGGUGAAAUCAUUUGUUUAUGGUAUUACUUGUCGUGGCAGAAGCAUCCUCCUAAAAUUAUUUAUAAGAAACUCUUUUUACUCUCUAUGCCAGUGGAGUGGGCCUUCAAAAGGAAAGGAAAAGCUGUACCUAAAGUUGUGAAAAAGGAAGAAUUUGCAAGUAAAAAAUGAAUAUAUUAUGCAUGGCUACAUAAAUUGGUACAUAUAGCUUUUGCACCUAAUCUGAUUAUCUCGAUUCCUGGACCCAGAACUAAUAUAGCCUAAUUAUUACACAUGAGAUUUUGUGCUGCCAUACUACUUACAUGCGAGUGCUGAUUUUUAAACAGAAAUAUUCAACAGAGCACUGACAGAAACAGAGUUAACACCCGAGCCGGGUUACUGUGUUAAUUGAAAACAAUUAAUUAACAGGACAAAAACAAGAUAAAUCUGGUGGUUUUGUAGUUAAUUCUGCCUGCCCUCUGUUAGUUUCUUUAGUAUUAUUCCUCAUAUAUUUGACUUAUUGACCUAUCUGUGGUUGGAAAGAAAAAUGAUUUAAGUAAACUUUAGAAAAUGUUUUAUCCUUGUUUUAUUUCUGAAUAUCAGCAGUGCAUCAUUUUGAAAAUGUAACUGUGGGGUUUCAGGAUCCUCUCGAGCCAGUUUUGUUGUUCACAAAACCCCUUGUGCCAGAAAAAUUGGACUCUGCAGGUAUUGUUCCGCCGUCAGAUUCUUCUACGAGGAAUGGCACUAUAGCACAAACUCACAAAUUUCAUGGAAGAAUUGGCCGAGGGGGGCGGAUAGUAUUUGAUAGAUGUAAUCCUCUUAUGCACUCCUCAACUGAUAGUGGCACGUCUUUUUACUUACCACCAAAAGCCCGCACAUCUAUGUACAGUUAAAUUGAAUACUUGCAUUGUCCGAGCUCCAGCAAUUAUUUGUUUGGGAAGCCAACUGUAAUUAUGCCGAGGGCAAGCAAAAUACUGGGCUUGAUGAAUCUUUUGAGGCUUGGUCACAGGUAUUUCAUGCCGUGCAUCAUCUUGCCUUAUUCUCUUUAAAGAAAUGACCUUGCCCUGAUUUUCCUUUCAAGUUUAAACUUAAUGAGCUUUUAUUACAUCCUUUAUUGUUGAAAUGCUUGUGCUAAUCAUAGUAUUUUCAAACUUUUCGCCCCAGUUGAUUAUAAAUUUUGUGUGAAUGUUACAAGAUAAAACUUACCUUUAAAAUGUUAACGAACCUGUAAGAUUGGACUUCUCUUUAAGACCUUGAAUUAAGUGGAGGGUGUUUUGGGGUUAAUAAACCAGCAACUAUGCAUAUACUUGGCCAAUGAGGAAUCCUACUAGUACAGAAUAAGGUUGCACAAGACAGUUAAAUAGAUGACGCAAUGGAGACGUCUCUGUAUCGACUCAAUUCAAACUAAUUGUAGAAUGUGUACGUCAGGUGUUAAUGCUUAGAAUGAAAAUGAUGCACUAUGUUUGGUGUUUUGCAAUUUAAAAAUGUGUCUAAUAGUGUAUUUUCAGAAUUGGACUAUAAAAAUAGAGAUAGAGAAAACGAUAUAAAAUUAAGGUAAUAUAGGACGAAAAAGUAUGGACAAGGAAGCAGAAAUAUUUGGUAUUUUUCAUUUUUUUCAAUAAAAAAAUGAAAACAAAAUUUUCAAUAUCUAUUCAUCAUUUUUGGGGAAAAAAGAAGAAGCUUAAAGAAUAAAUGAAAGGGUGUUUUAAAACAAAAAUGUGAUUGCUGUUUGAAUAAUGACCCUCUCGGUUAGGCAAAACAGUCACAUAAUCAUUUUUUUUUAAAACACAAACCUUUUGGUUCAGAAAUAAUCACACAAAUCCCAAUCUUUUAGCUAAAAAAGAGUCUGCGUAUCUCAAAAGAGACAUGUGUGACAUUUUCUAAAAACAAAAUAUCUUUAUAGUUAUUUUGCCAAAUCACGUGGUGCCUUUAGAAAUAGGAUAAAUUUUAAUUUGCCCCCAAUUUAAAAUGAAAAUCUUUAAUUUAUCACCUAAAAGUAUAAAAAUAUCAAGUUACCCCAUUUAUUGUUAAGAAGAUUAAAACAAAAAAAAAAAUCAACACAUUCCUUAUUUGCCCCUCAUCUUUUGGACGGAAAUGAAGAAUAAAUUGAGGUUUACAUUAAGAGCAAAUUAGAGAUUAUCAUUUUAUUUGGGAAUGAAUUAAACUUUAUCCUUAGAAAUAAAAAAUUCAAGAGACAUACAUCAAAAAAGGUAAUAGUUUUCACUUUUUAUGGAGUAUUUGGGUAAGGGUAUUUGCACCCCACUAUUUUUGUAAAUCCACCCUACUUCUAGAAACUAAUUGCAAUGAAUUCACAAUAUUUUUUUAAAAAAUACAAAUUAAUAAAAAUUUUGUAUAGUUAAUCAGUUAAAUCCUUCUAUUGAUUUUUUUUCUUAGGUUUUUUUACCAUCUUUAAUUAUAAACUUUAAUACAAGUUUUAUUUUAGUAUUUUAUUAUUAUGAUAUAUAGCGACUAAAUUACCAUUAUAAACAUGAGUUAUUAUAUCUAAUAAUUUAUGUAUCUAGCUUAUAAUAUAAUAUUGUAAAAUAAAAUCUAAUUGUUAUUUUCUCUACUUUUAUGUGUAAAUAACAUAAAAUUGACAUCCCAAUAAUUUACAUGAGUAUCAUGCCCUAAAGAUACUAUUUUAGUUUAAUUAAAGAUUAAAACUCCUAUUAAUAAAGUAGUAUUAGAAACAAUGAGUUUGGUAUAAAAUUAGAAAAACAUUGAAAUUAAAGUAAAUUCUUAAUAGUUUUACCUUAUAAGGGUAAAAUAGUUAAUUUAAAUUUAUGACAAAACAAUCUUUGUAACCAAAUAUAAUAAAAUAAUCUAAAUCAGGAGAAAGUUAAUUAAAAUAAAUUUAGUUAAUUAAUUCUAUAAAAUUCUUCUUUAUUUGAAAAUUUUUAAACAUAGCAUGUAUGCUUUAUAAUUAUUUUUUUAAAAAAAUGGGAUGAGUUUGCAAAAAUUAUUGGACGGAAAUACCAAUCACCCGGAGUAUUUUAGUAAAGCACCUGAUAUUCGUUUCAGACGAAGUAUUAUCAUUUUGAUUUUUGAGGAAUAUCAGUAAAAUUUUCAUAUAAUAGUGGAAUAAGCCCAAUAAAUAAUUAUAUAAAAAGUUUUGGAGUCAUAGGAGUCUCAUAGAGGUGGAAGCAGGGGAGGAGCAGGCCAAGCCAGGCCACAGAAAAUAUUCAAUUGAAAAAGCAAGAAAAGAAUGAGCGUGUGGAUGGUAAGGGCUCGGACUCCCUCUUUCAUUAUUCCAAUAACAACACUCAGGAUUGGAAAUGGAAAUGGAGAUGUAAAAGGCCUGCGCUUGCCCCUAUUGAGCAAUAAGAGUUGGCAGUUUCAGUUGCAGUUGCAGCAGAGGAAUAAGGAGAAGAAGAAGAGACAAAAUGUUACCAUCAGUUAUACUAACAGUAGCAGUGGAGGGGAUUCUGCUUCUGCUGCACUGGAACUGGAGGUUAAUGAGAUAAGGGAGAGUUGCAAAAUGUGGAAAUGGAAGGGUCAGUACUCCAUCAAUUACUUGGUUUCUUCAACUCCAAAUUCACAUCCCGAUUCUCCUCCUCUACUCCUUGUCCAUGGCUUUGGUGCCUCCAUUCCUCACUGGCGCAGGUUAGCGAGAUAAGAUUGCUCUUUCUUGUUGUGAAUUGUGUAGCGGGUUGAUUAUUGGGUGCAUAAAAACGUAGCUCCUUUAUUGUGAAUUCAGUUUUCUGGGUAUUUUCGACUGUAAUUUUUUUUUGUAUGGAGCAUGUCUUUACCUUACGUAUGUAAUAUCUCUGACUCUGUUAUGUAUUAUGAACUCCAGGGAUGCAUUUAUAUGUGUUAUGCUUCGAAUAAUUAAUUAAGAUGAACGAAGCAAAAGAAUAAUGAAGGUAAAUCUAUUCGUUAUUCCCUGUUGCAUUGGCAUUAACACCUAGUUCUAUUCCUUGCACCUAGAUGAUGACAAACCGGUGAUCUGAGUUUCAGGGUUCCAUUUCAUAUUACACUUUUAUGGAUAUAGGCUUCUUCCAUUUUCCGAUUCUUAAUCUAGUGAAAAAGUAUUCAUUUUACUGCUCUGUUGAAAAGGGGAAUGAAAAUUUGCUUGUGCACCAUUCCUUUAUCCUACUAAAUAAUGUGAGGAAUUGAUAUUUUUCUUGUCAUCUCUGAGGUAAUUUCAGGAAUAUUGGCACCCUGGCAAAGAGCUACACGGUUUAUGCAAUUGACCUUCUUGGAUUUGGUGCUUCAGAUAAGCCAGCUGGUUAUUCAUAUACCAUGGAGGGAUGGGCUCAGGUAUGCAAUGUUCCCUAGCCAGAAGUUGGAUCUUUUGUUGUCAAUUGCUUGACCUUUAGUUAUUUUCCUUGCUAACUUGAGUGAGAUUCACUGAUACAGCUAAUAUUGGAUUUCUUGGAUGAAGUUGUUAAGAAGCCAACUGUGCUUAUAGGUAACUCUGUUGGAAGCCUAGCUUGUGUUAUUGCUGCCUCAGGUAUAUUUAUUUUAACUUCCCCUUGGACAUCAGAUAUUCUUCAACUUGCUUGCAAAGAAACACUUGCACAUCAUUAUCCUUUUUGGUAUCUAUGGUUUACGAUAAACCUGCUAUAUUUUCUACCAUAAGAAUCUAGUCAAACCCUUGUUCGAGGGUUUGUUCUGUUGAAUUGUGCUGGUGGCAUGAACAACAAGGCAAUUGUUGAUGAUUGGAGAAUCAAGCUAUUGUUCCCAUUGCUUUGGUUCAUUGAUUUUUUGUUGAAGCAAAGGCCAAUUGCUUCUGCUAUAUUUGAGCGUGUGAAACAAAGGUAUUUUCUCUUCUCUCUAUUCAGUCCAUUGUUCAUUAUCCCAAGACACUAGAGUCAAAAUUAAAAAAAUCUAUGAUGUGCAUAUAUUGGUGCUGUAGGGAAACACUGAGGAAUAUUUUACUGUCCAUUUAUGCAAAUAAGGAAUCUGUGGAUGAAACACUGGUUGAGGUAUUAAUAUUCUCCUCUUAUAUGCCAUUUUAACCUGUUACAAAAAUGGCUACUCAGAAUUCAUGAAUCAACCUCAAAACUGCAGAUCAUACGAGAGCCUGCCAAUGUGGAAGGGGCACUUGAUGCAUUUGUUUCGAUUGUAACCGACCCACCAGGGCCGAACCCAGUUCAAUUGAUGCCAUCAAUCUCUAUACCUCUACUAGUUUUAUGGGGUGAUGAGGAUCCAUUCACACCCAUCGAUGGACCUGUUGGUAAAUACUUCUCAUCUCUGCCUUCUAAACUCUCAAACGUGAAGUUAAUUGUAUUGAAAGGAGUAGGACAUUGCCCCCAUGACGACCGGCCUGAAUUGGUCCACGAAAAGCUGCUUCCUUGGUUGGCUGAAACAUUUAAUUUCUGAGGAAUUUACUUUCUCAUCAGCAAGUUUUAACGAGCAUUAUAUAUUAUUCCUAUUGUAAAAAGACAAAACAACUCUUGUAUUUAUGUUGUAUAUAUCAAUUCUUAUUCAACCGCUUGGUUAUCUUUUGGCGCCGAAAGGAAUGUUGGAGAAACUGAUCUCUGACAUGUUGUAGAAGCUCCAAAUUGAUUCAAGAAAUAUAUCAAAUUAUUCAAUAAAAAAUCAAAUUCAGCACAAUAAAAAAGAAUAAUGAUUUAGUAAUCCAUAUUGCUCAUGUCAAUGAUAUGUGAAUGAUAGGAUCCAAUUUUAUACAUGAAAAAGAUACAAUAAUCUAAAUCGAAAUAUAAGUUCACAGGCAUCUUCAAUCCUUUCCUUACAAGUCAUUUUUGUAAAUAUAAAUUCUAACCAUAGACGAUACCACAUCAACUAUGGAACCAAAUGCAUCAUUCCAAAUAUGGAAUUGGUAGAGAUACUUGAAAAAGUGCAUACAUGUUUAAGCAAAUGGAUUCACAACUCAGGUGAGUUGAGUGAAAAUGACACCUAUCUCAGUCUUCUUCGUUACAGUUGAAACAUGUGCUUGGUGUUAGAUUUAUUUCUCACAUUAUGUGGACUGACAUAAAUCAUUCUAAUUGUUUUUUAUAUUUUACCGAAUUAAUACGUGACUAUAGUCAAAUAUUAUGGAGCAAUUUUGACAUACCCCGUACAGUAAUAUAUUAUGGACAAGUAUAUCCAUAAUUGUGUUAUUUUCGCCCAUAAUGAGAUGGGUAAUUUUGUACUAACACAUGAGGGGUCCCUACGCUCAACCACUGUAUUUAAGUAACUUCAGCCCAUUGGAAAUUAACUGUUCAAGAAAUCUGUGGCAUGAGUGCAGUGCAUCUCUCUCUCUCCCGUUUGUCUCCCGUGUGUGUGCACAGUACGUUGCUGAGAGAAGCCGUGAUCUUGAGCUAAGGAAACGAAAGCGGAAUUCAGAAGCUAGACAAAAGUAGCAGCAACUCUGUUGAAGCUCCAUAACAAGCUGCAAGCUCGGAUUCAUGGGAGAUCGUGGUAAAUUUCGAAAUUUACUGAAAUAUGUGUUUAAUUUGGAAAUGCACGAUUAAAGGGCAUAAAGUGUGUUUUUGUUUCAUCAAUUGGUAUCAGAGCCCAUGGUUAUGCGUUUCCUUGUAAACCAUAGUUGUUUUGUUGAAGAAAUCUCACUCAUGGAAUUUUUUUUAUUAUUUUCGGAUUUUUCGAAUUCUUCGAAUUUGGACAUAUUUCCUCAAACGGUUGUUAAAUAAUGCAUGAGUGAUGAUUUUGGAGCAAAGAUAUAAUUUUUUCGUGUUUUUUGGUGGCCAAAAUCGGGUUGGUAUGGAUGUGGAUGCUGUAAAUGUACUGUACAAUACUGUAGCAACAGCCCGAGGUUGAAGAUGAUGGGACAAUUUCAUUUGGAUCCCUAAAUUUUGUGAAUUAUCACUAUGGCCCAAAAUCUUUGCAAAAUUUUCGAAAUGGUCCUUGACCGAGGGUCAACUUUGUAAAAGAUCAGUUUGAUCCCUUAAAGUUUGGUAAAUUAUAUUAUGACCCAAUAUUUUAUUUUAUUUUAUUUAAAGCUGGGCCAAAAGUUUUAAUAUUUAAAACAGUAAGCAUAAUUCUGAAAAUUCGGUAGUUUAGUCCAAAAUCCUUUAAAUUUUGGCGAUUUUUUCAGAAUUUUAAAUUUAAGAAUAAUCCAUCAUUGUUGAAUUGUAUGGGCAUAAUAUUCAUAUAUUUUAUUGAGGCAUGUAGAUAUUUUAUUUGAUUGAAUAUCUUGGUGGAAACUUUAAUUACGUUUUGACAAAGUUUAUUUAGCCUCAAUUUUGUUAAUAUACGAAAUAUAUAUAUGAUGCAAAACUACAAUUUAGAGUGAUUGUGUAUCUGCUUAUCGUAGGACCAAUCAUGAUAAAUUAUUUGGUGUUUUGCAAUUGGUUGUCCAUUUAUAAUUAUGAAUUAUGGAUUAUGUGAUGGAUUGUUAUUGUUUUGACCAAGAUCCAUACGGGUGAUGAUACUGCCCUGUCGGCAAAUCACUACUUGGUAGGAUGCUUGGGAAGAUAAAGAGGUUUGUUGAGUAUUUUCUACUGAGUGGCUUGAUUACCCUGUCGGUAAUAGGUCAAUGUUGGUGUUAUAUUCAACUUGUCUGCUUUAUCUUUAGGUUAGUGCAUUCCUAUAUUGUUAAAGGAUGCCUAACAUAUUGUGUUGCUAUUGGAGAAACUUAGAAUGAGGAGCAAUUGAUUAUAGCAUGAUUUUAAUUUUUGCAUGCUUGAUAAUUCUUUUGUUAUUGCUUCCUCAGCUCUAGAUAUUCUCUCAUUUCUCCAAGUAGCUUUCCUCAAGAAUUUAACUGGGACAAAUUUUGAGGAAUGACGUGAGUCCAUUUUGUUUUAUUUGUCUACACUGAAUAGAGACUUGGCAUUAAGAGUUGAUGAACCAGCCAAGCCCACAGAUAAGAGCACUGCUGCUGAAAAAGCAGAGUGGGCAGCUUGGGAUGAAUCCAAUAGACACUGUCUGGAUACAAUGAAAUACACCAUUGAUAGAACCACUAGAGAUAGCAUCCCUGCAUGUGAUAAGGCCAAAGAUUACUUGGCAGCUGUGGGAAGAACCUUUAAGAAGGUAGAUAAGGCAGAAAAGGGUAACUAUCUGAGGCUGCUUGCUAAUACCCAGUAUGAUGGUGUUUCUGGGGUCAGAGAACACAUCCUUAAGAUGACUAGUUACCAUAAGAAGCUGAAGGACAUGGAUGUCACUUUGCCUGAUGACUACCUGGUCUUCCAAAUCCUUGAAUCUCUUCCACCACAAUUUGGCAAUUUGAGAAGCCAAUACAAUACUCAGAGAGACACUUGGAAUAUCACUGAGUUGACUGCUUAUGUGGUUCAGGAAGAGGAAUCAUUGAAGAAGGGGAAAUCUCACACUGUCAUGGUGGCAACUACUCAAGAGAGUGGAAGUGUGAAGAAAGGCUCUUCAAAGGGCAGCAAUAAGUUUUUUAAGAAGAAAAAGUUUGGCAAGAAAACUUCACGUGGUAAUUCUUCUACCACUUUUGGUUCCACUGCUGAGAGCUUUAAGGGAAAGUGCCACUUUUGUAAGAAACCUGGGCACAAGAGAGCUGAAUGCAGGGGUUCAAAGCAUGGUUGGAAAAGAAAGGUAUUCAUGUAGCUUUUGUAGGCUUUGAAUCUAAUCUAGUUAAUGUUCCUUCUGAUACUUGGUGGUUGGAUACUGGUGCAACCAUUAAUAUAACGAAUUCCUUACAGGAAUUCAGAAGCAGGAGGGAGCCCAAUGAAGGGGAGUUGAUAGUUCACAUGGGUAAUGGAGUGACAGCCAAAGUUGAAAGCAUAGGAGUUGUCAGACUACAUCUAGCCACAGGCCAUGUUUUGGAUCUAUUAGAUACAGCUUAUAUUCCUUCUAUUAGGAGAAACUUGAUAUCUGUAUCUAUUUUGGAUAGAUGUGGCUAUACUUUUCAUUUUGGUGAUAGAAAAGUUUACUUAUUCCGCAAUUCAGAGUUAGUUGGUUCUGGCACUCUAUAUGAUGGCUUGUAUAUGAUUGAUUUAUUUUCUCGUGCUGUUGAAUCAUCAUCCAAUGCUCAUGUUAUGCAUGUUGUUAGCUCUAAUCGUGUCAGGGUUGAUGAAAAUUCCUCUAUGUUGUGGCAUAAACGGUUAGGUCACAUUUCUAAACAGAGGAUGGAGAGGCUUAUUAAAGAUAACAUUCUACAUAAGUUGGAUUUCUCUGAUUUUGGCACUUGUGUUGAUUGUGUCAAAGGCAAACUUACUGCCAAAACCAGAAAAGAGAGAACUCAGAGGAGUCAACAGGUGCUGGAGUUGGUACAUACAGACAUUUGUGGGCCAUUUACUCCUAUUGCCAUUGGAGGUUAUAAGUACUUCAUCACGUUCAUCGAUGAAUUUUCUCGUUAUGGUCAUGUUGAACUUCUUGCUGAAAAGUCUGAAUCCUUAUCUGUGUUUCAAGCCUUUAAGGCUAAUGUUGAGCUCCAAAAGGGCAAGCAAAUUAAAGCAGUAAGGUCAGACAGAGGUGGUGAGUACUAUGGGCGAUAUGAUGAAACUGGGCGUAAUCCUGGACCUUUUGCUAAAUUUCUUCAGGAAUGUGGAAUAGAAGCCCAGUAUACAAUGCCCGGGACUCCUGAACAGAAUGGAAUUGCAGAAAGGAGAAAUCGUACCCUUCUUGACAUGGUGCGGUGUAUGCUGAGUAACUCCACCUUACCAGAUUUUCUGUGGGGUGAAGCCUUAAGAACUGCAGCUUACAUUUUGAAUCAGGUACCUAGUAAAUCGGUGCUCAAAACUCCUUAUGAGUUGUGGUCAGGAAAGAGACCGAGUCUUCGUCAUUUUCAUGUCUGGGGAUGCAGAGCAGAAGUGAGGCCCUAUAAUCCACAAUCAAGGAAACUUGAUCCGAAAACAAUUAGUGGUCAUUUUAUUGGCUAUUGUAUCGGCUCAAGGGGUUCUAGAUUUUAUUGUCCUUCCCACACUACUAGAAUCAUUGAGUCUGAUCGUGCUAUUUAUUUUGAGGAUGAUCACAAUGGUGGGAGUUCUGAGCCUCGCAGUCUGACAUUGAGAGAAGAACGUGUGGUUUUGCCUAUUCCAUCUUUUCCGACUUCUGCGAUGGGAUUACCACAUAUUGAUGAUUCUUCUGUUGAUCCUGAACUUCAUCAUAAUAUGGAGCCUAUGAUUGUAGAGGAUGAUGGUACUGAUGUGCCAUUGAGGAGAUCAGAGAGGAUCAGGAGACCUGCAAUUUCUGAUGAUUAUGUUGUUUACCUGCAGGAGCAUGAUUUUGAUGCUGACUCUUCAUUUGAUCCUAUUACCUUUCAAGAGGCCAUCAGUUGUUCAGAAUCAUCAUCUUGGAUACAUGCGAUGCAUGAUGAGAUGGCAUCUAUGUAUCAUAAUGGGGUUUGGGAUUUAGUUGAGUUACCAGAUGGAUGCAGACCAAUUGGUUGCAAAUGGGUUUUCAAAACCAAAAGAGAUGCCAGAGGUCAGGUAGAGAGGUAUAAGGCCAGGCUUGUGGCUAAGGGUUUCAGUCAAAGAGAAGGCAUUGAUUACACUGAAACCUACUCUCCUGUUUCUACCAAAGACUCUUUUCGUAUUAUCAUGGCAUUGGUAGCUCAUUUCAAUUUAGAAUUGCAUCAGAUGGAUGUGAAGACAGCUUUUCUUAAUGGGAGCUUGUCUGAAGAUGUAUACAUGGUGCAACCUGAUGGUUUUGUUGAGUCUGGUAGAGAAAACAUGGUGUGUAAGCUUAAAAGGUCCAUUUAUGGACUUAAGCAAGCAUCCAGACAGUGGUAUUUGAAAUUUCACGAUAUUGUCACCUCUUAUGGGUUCCAGGAGAAUGCCGUUGAUCAGUGUAUAUAUUUGAGAGUCAGUGGGAGCAAGUAUAUCAUUUUGGUGCUUUAUGUGGAUGAUAUCUUGCUCGCUGCUAAUGACACUAAUUUGUUACUUGAGACAAAGCAAAUGUUGUCAUGCAGCUUUGAUAUGAAGGAUCUUGGUGAAGCCCAUUAUGUAUUAGGGAUAGAGAUUCUUCGUGAUAGAUCUAGAGGAAUUCUAGGUUUGUCUCAAAAGACUUACAUUGAUCGCAUUUUGAAAAGGUUCAAUUUGCAGUCUUGUGCUCCUGGGAAAGCUCCAAUUUCGAAAGGUGACAAAAUUUCCAAGUCUCAAUGUCCCGAUAAUGAUGUAGACAAAGCUAGAAUGCAAACAGUCCCGUAUGCAUCCGUUGUGGGUAGCUUGAUGUAUGCUCAAGUCUGUACUCGCCCUGAUAUUGCUUUUCCAGUGGGAGUACUUGGAAGAUACCUCAGCAAUCCUGGAUUUGAACACUGGAAGGCUGCAAAGAAAGUACUCAGAUAUUUGCGAGCCACUAAAGAUUUUGUAUUGACAUAUCAGCAAUCUGACUAUUUGAAUAUAGUUGGAUAUUCUGAUGCUGAUUUCGCAAGGUGCUUGGAAGACAAGAAAUCCACAUCUGGUUACAUCUUUAUGAUGGCAGGAGGAGCUAUAUCAUGAAAAAGUGUCAAGCAGACACUUAUAGCUUCUUCAACAAUGGAAGCAGAAUAUGUAGCCUGUUUUGAGGCUACACGUCAUGCUUUAUGGAUGCAGAAUUUUAUCACAGGGCUAGAUUGUAUAUUGGCCAUUCCGAGGCCAUUAAAGAUAUACUGUGAUAAUUCUGCGGCUGUUUCUUUUUCUCACAAUACAGGGAGUUCCUCACGUUCCAAGCACAUUGAUAUUAAAUAUUUGUUUGUGAGAGAGAAAAUUGCUCUAUCUUGUGUAUCAGUAGAGUAUAUCCCUACAGAGCUCAUGUUAGCCGAUCCACUUACUAAAGCUUUAGCUCCAAAAGUAUUUAGGGAGCAUGUAACGCAUAUGGGAUUAUUUGAAUCCACUUAUAUAUGCUGAGUCAGUGGGAGUUCUGGUUUGUAUUAUGAGUUGCAACUUAAAUGAGCUUAUGUAUUACUCAUUUUGUUAUCAUGCAUGCAUGUUGUUAUGUGAUAUUGAUAUGCCAUAUAUUGUGUACACAUUUGGCUGCGUAUGGCAUUAUGUAUAGAAUGAGGAUACGAUGGUCCGAGACAUUUUGCUCAGUCUCAAUAUGGACAUUAAAGACUGAAGCAUUAUGAUUUAGCUUCAGUGUGCUUUCUUGAGACAUUUUGAUUUAGUCUCAUUAUGAUUAAAAAGGAAGCUCGCUUCUCGAGACAUUUUGCUAUAGUCUCAUUAUGGUUAUAAAGAAGCGAUGGUCUAGGAGACAUAUUGUUUUUGUCUCAUUUUGCUAGACAUCUGGACUUUAUGGAAAUGAGCAUGUUGAUCACAUUGUCAUGUUAUUUCCAUAAUUAUACUUGUAUACUACUACAUGGUCACGUGUUUAUAAGUGUCUUGUUAUAUGGAGCAUCCUGUCGGUGCACAUAUGAUUUGAUAUUUAUGGCACAUUUUGGACUUGUUUAUGUUCUGGGUGAUUGCUUGUAUUUGACCUUUUGUUAUAGUCACAUAUUGAUUAAUUCAGUUGUUUUCAAAAUAUUAUUUUAUUUUAAAUUUAUCAUUAGAGUGAUUUCUGUCGUCCAAGUGGGAGAUUGUUAGAUUUAUUUCUCACAUUAUGUGGACUGACAUAAAUCAUUCUAAUUGUUUUCUAUAUUUUACCGAAUUAAUACGUGACUAUAGUCAAAUAUUAUGGAGCAAUUUUGACAUACCCCGUACAGUAGUAUAUUAUGGACAAGUAUAUCCUUAAUUGUGUUAUUUUCGCCCAUAAUGGGAUGGGCAAUUUUGUACUAACACAUGAGGGGUCCCUGCGCUCAACCACUGUAUUUAAGUAACUUCAGCCCAUUGGAAGUUAACUGUUCAAGAAAUCUGUGGCAUGAGUGCAGUGCAUCUCUCUCUCUCCCGUUUGUCUCCCGUGUGUGUGCACAGUACGUUGUUGAGAGAAGCCGUGAUCUUGAGCUAAGGAAACGAAAGCGGAAUUCAGAAGCUAGACAAAAGUAGCAGCAACUCUGUUGAAGCUCCAUAACAAGCUGCAAGCUCGGAUUCAUGGGAGAUCGUGGUAAAUUUCGAAAUUUACUGAAAUAUGUGUUUAAUUUGGAAAUGCACGAUUAAAGGGCAUAAAGUGUGUUUUUGUUUCAUCACUUGGGUCUUCCAUUGACGUAGGAUCUGGGGUGUGAAGUAAAUGGAUCCCACAUUUUUUCACCCCGCAGCACUGGCACUCCAAAGGUGGAAAAACAUUAAAGUGGACUGCCUCAAGAAUGCAAUUGCAUUUCCAAAAACCAUUAAAAUCCUCUUCACAGAACAGAUAGUGCCCCAAAUGUAAGUGAUAUGAUUCUACAUAAUUAACUCUGCUCUGAGAUAAUCGUGUGUCAUGCGUACCACAAUCUUUGGUGGUUUUCACUUUGAGCUCAAAAGAAAAUGAAAACCAUCUGCCACAAUCUACAUGACGGUCUGAAAAUGCUAAAAUAGCACUAAAUGCAAUGCCCUGCACUCUGCUAUUAUUGAAGAAAUCUGGCGGCAUCUCCAAGGUUAUAAAAGAUCCCACACUUUGAAACUCAAACCACUUUGGAAUUUCAUUCCCAGGUAGUACUAUAUGACCUUUGCCCAAGGAAAAACCUCUCUGUACCAAAAAAACAUAAUUUUAAACCCAAAAAAAAAACAAAGAUUGUAGAAAUUGUAAGUAGAGAGAGUUAAAGACACACAUUUAGCCAUAAUUCUUGCCAUAUUUCUUGCAAACGUAGAACUGGCGUAUGAUUCGUAUGCUGAAUUCUCAGGGUAUCUUCAACAAUUCCUGCAGUAGAAUUACCUUCCAAUUUAAAAUUAUUGCUCCGGUCAAAAAAAAUUGCCUGUAAGAUUCAUAACUUAGAGAACAAACCUAAAAAUGGUUGCAGUGCCAAGCAACCUCGUUCAAGGAAUGGAGACUUUUGUACGAAUUGGAACCUCUCACCAUAACUUAAGAGGAGGUAUCCCGACACGAAAAGUUGGAUAAUGCUUUCUGGUAUUCUCUCAAUAUUGGUUUUCGCUAGAUUAAAUGUUAUUGGCGAGGAUAAUUGGCCGAGACAUUCGGGCAAUCUCUGAAGAUUUGAGCAACCACAGAGAUUAAGAACUCCAAGAGAUUUCAAUCUAUAGAGGCUGCUUGGGAGAUUCUUAAGCCUUUUACAAUUUAAAAGGUCUAAGUAUCCGAGCCUAAGUAGACGCUCAAUUGAUGAGGGCAGUUCUUCAAUUGCAGUCCCCCUUAAAAAUAACCAGCUUAUAUUACCUGAUGAGAUCUCUGGAAGCCUUUUCAGUUUUGGGCAGCCCGAAAGAUCAAGUUUGGUAAGAAAUUCCAAGUUAAAUAUUCCAGAUGGAAGACUUUUCAGGCUUUUGCUACCUCUUAGAUUCAAGAUAACCAGCUUGUUCAGACGUGGCAUCAACGUGGGAUUUGGAAUUUUGGCAAUUAGCUUAUGGCAGGCAGCAUGGAUUAUCUGGUUUAACUUACUAUAAUGCUGCUCUGUCAAAAAAGAGGCCAAGACAAAAUCGUUACCACGUAUAAUAAUUUAAUGUUGUUAUUGAGAGAUUGCACAUAUAUAAUAAGAUAUGCAUACCUUCACACAAUCCCAAAGUUGUUCAAUGUCAUUAUCAGGCACUUCAAGUAACAUAAGCUUCUCUGCACUGAGGUUUGAGGGAAAUGACUUCAACGGAUAUCCAUGCCAGUGAAGAUAUUUCACUUCAGCAAAUCCAGGGUCUUGCAAAUAAGACAUCUUACAUUUGUUCUCUCCAUUGAAUAAUGAACUAUAGAACUUUAAAAAUCUCAAUUUAGGCAUCUUUGUGAAAGUAUUGGGAUUUAGACGGAGCUCUUUUACUUUUUACAUAUCCAAACAUAUGCCCUCAAUUUUUUCUGUCCCCUAAAAAUAAAUGAAAAAGCAAUAAAGUUAAAAUCAAAUGAAAGAUAUGUGUAUUCCACCAAUGAAUCGCCCUUCAACAAUACAUAGGGAUAAUUUUUGGGGCAAUUUUCUCACUAAUUCACAAUUAGAGGUAGCUUGUAGUUAUUGCUAGGCAGUUAAACUUUUAAUUGCAAAUGCACAAAGAAACAUAAUAACACAAGUAAUACUUAAUAUAAAAAUUCCGUCUGUGUACUAUACAAAUUGGCAUAUCAAUUAUGCUUGCAAACGAUUAUGCAAGUUGUCAUGGCAUUUAUAAUUUAUUGCUACGUCAUCUAACGGAUAUGGUUUUUUCUAAUCAUUGUCGCUCUUCUAUUAAUUCUAAGACUCAUCAGUUCGAGCAUAUAUAAAUAUAUUCAUAUCAAGUUUGUAAAUGCUAGAAUAUUUCAAAAUAAUUAUCCACAACAAACUGCUUACCGUGUUAUAUGUAAGAACUUCAUAGAUAUCCUCAUGAUGCCACAACCUACUGCGGUUUCCAGGAUUAAUUGAUUCUUGUCGAACAAUUUCCCUACCCAACUCUUGUAGUAAAUCAUGCAUUCUUAUCUUGUUGUAUGAAUCAAUAGCAAUGAGAGAUUUAUCAACAAGAACACUUAUUCCUAUUUCUGGGUAGAAACCGCUUGCAUUAUGGAAUUUCAUUACUAGAUUUACAUCCUCGCCUUGAAAAUUUCUCGUAACCAACGUCAGGAUGGUUUUGUUUGAAGGCAUGUCGACUGAAAAUCUCAAGAGCGUGAUGAUAUUCUAAUGCCUCCAUCUCAUAUAUUUUCCUCACCCCCCAAUUUCUAAGCACUUGUUUAUUUCUGGUGGUUAUUAUGAUUCGACUCACAGGCGUCAACCGAUCAAGGCUUCCAAUUAAAGAUUCUAAUUGGCUGAAGCAAGUCACAUCAUCAAAAACAAUCAAAACCUUCAUGCGGCUGAGCCUUCUAAAAUUGAGGUCAAUAUAAGGCAUCACAUUUUUAUCCUUCAAUAAAUUUGAAAGAAGUUUUUGUCGCAAGCAAGCUAAUCCUCCUGGUCUUUGUGACUCUUCUCUAACAUUUUCGAGGAAGCAAGAACCUUCAAAAUCACCCGAGAUUUUGUCGAAAAUAGCUCUAGCGAUUGCUGUUUUGCCUAUACCACCAAUGCCCCAAAUCCCUAAAGCGUAAACAUCUUUCGACUCAACACCUAAUAGGGAUUCAAUUUCCUCAACUGUUGAUUCCACUCCAACCAGCUGGUUUUUGUUAUCACGCGGCCGAAACACUUCAUCCAAUCUCUUCAAAAUGUGAUUAACAACUUCAUUUAUAAGUUCCGACUCACGCCUAGCAAAUACAUAAAAUUAGCCGCGGUAACUUCAAAUUAAUUAAUAGGAGGAAUUUGCAUUAAAUAUGAAAUAAAGUAGAUUGUCAAUUUUCCUAUUAAAAUUAAUAUAUACCACUAUAAGUCUACAAUCUCACAAUAAAUUGAUAACUCUUAAGUUACAAGAAUAUUCGUGAGUUUUUUUUUUUUUUAAUGGUGAUAUAUAGAAAUGAAAUUGCUUGAAAAACUACAGAGCACCACUAAUUUUGCUAUAUAAAAAUUGUAAAAUUCUCGCGCUUUUAUUAUUAAUUCUGUCAAAAUUAUUUUAUAUGAGCACAAAAGUGGGGAAGUCAGGAAGUCUUGAAUUUGAUGCUUAAAAAUUUUUAAAAUUGUAGUUUAGCAUCCGGAAAUUUAACUAAGAGUGCUGCGUGAAUUUAUUGUUAAAUUUUAGUAUGAGAAAUUUAAUCUUUCUUCAAGCUUCGAAAAUGAAUCUCCAAAACUCCCAGUUUGGUUUCUCACGUCUGAUGGAUCAACCCGAUAGAAAACCGGAAUCACAAUCUGUGCAUACUCCUUGCAGUCGAGGAUCUUUACAAGUUCAUCGAGACACCAUCUGGAAGAUGCAUACCCUUCUGAGAAGACGAUAACUGAAAUGGCUGAUGCUUCAAUUGCAUUCACCAGUGACUCCGAAAUUUCGUCUCCUCUGUUAAGUUGGUCAUCAAUGAAAGUUUGGAUAUUUUGUCGACACAGAGCAGAAUAGAGAUGGCUAGUAAAGUUGUCUCGGGUGUCCUCUCCUCUGAAACUAACAAAAACAUCAUACUUCUUGUUGUUUCGAUAAGAAGAAGCCAUAAUCAACAGAAACAGUUGAAUUGAUUAGAGAGAGAUUUCGAUUCGGAUGAAAACAAUUAUUGAACGAAAUGUGCGUGACUCUAUAGAAUAAAUCGAUGCCAUGAACCUUCCUUCAAGUUCCGUGAUAGUUUUUCAAUUUCAUCUCAUUGUCCAACCACCGUGCACUCCACGAUGAUUGAUUAAUUCCACUGCUUUGUAGACUGUUAACUGAAAAUUCCACACGAACACCAUACUUUUCAACACACGUGCUUCUGUGCUUUAAUUUUUAUCUCUGAAUUUAUCUUAUCCGUCCUCAUCUCUCAAUUAAUUGUAUUUAGUUUCAAAAUUAUUCUUUUUUUUAGUAGCUCUUAUUCAUGUUCCUUAGGGUUGACUGUUAAGCAUAUAAAGUCUAACUUUAAAAAAAAUAUUAAUUAUUUAUUUUUUAUAACUUAUAUAUGAUUUUUAAAUAUUUACAUUUAAAUUAAAAAAGUAUUUUUUUUUGUGACCUUUGUCGAAAUGAGAAAAUGUUUGAAUGGAAAAAAAAUACUAUAUUCUAAGAAUAUUUCUAUUCAAUAUUGUUAUUUCCUAAACUAUAAACGGGUCACAUGUCGCUAAUUGUCAAAGCAAUAGCAAGCUGUUAGCUUAAAGCAAAGCACAUUCAUGCUUCACCCAUGAGAAUACAACCAAUUCUAAUGCAUGUAUUGUGACACACGUGCAAGCUAAAAGGAGGCACAUGUGGUUAAUUGUCAAAGCAAUAGCAAGCUGUUAGCUUAAAGCAAAGCACGUGCGUGCUUCAUCAAUAGGAUCUGUGAGCAAAGCACGUGCGUGCUUCAUCAAUAGGAUCUCUGAGUGGAUUAUUAUUAUUACUAUUAUGUAUUUUACAAAGCAUUUAUGUUUAAUAGUAUGAUUUAGUAAAAUAUUAUGAUUAUAUGUACGUAUAUUAUAUGAUUGACUGAGUCAUGAGAUGUAAUUGACAUGCACCAUAUGUGUACCUUUUCCCAUAGGCUCUACGCAUGCGUAUUGAGAAUUAAAUUACUCGACCCUUGUGAUGUUGUUAAUUCUACCGAGUAUUGAGAGGUUUUUCCCCCUUUUUACUCAUGCGAUGAUGAUCCCAGUGAGUAUUGAGAGUUAUUUCCCCUGUAUAUUAUUUGGUGCAAUUUUGUCAUGUAUGUAUAUACGAGUUCAUGUUUGCUUUUGUAAAGCGUUCAAUGUAAAGUUAUGUCAUACAAUUAUGACGAGCACUAAAGCACUAAUUUAUUUAUAUAUAUAAUUAUAUUCAUUCAUUGAGUCACAAGCUUACUAUUUUCCUAUUUACCCCAUUUCUCUAAGGUUUCCAUAGGAUUUCGUGUAGUUCAAUUUCUGAUAAAUUGAGGUUGGACCACGACACGCAUUACUGCACGACUUACAUUUUGACCACGUUUAUGUUUAUAUGUAUAUUUUCGAAGUGAAUGUAUGUACAAUGAGAUAUGAACUAUGUAAGUUUUUAAUAAAUUUUUGAAUGAGGCACAAAGAUUAUUAUAUGUUUAUAACAAAGGCCAAGGCUAGUGUUAUAUAUUCAUGAAUUAAGUUUAUGUCAUGAGCUUUAGAUAUAAAAUUGCAUGAUUCACCCCAGAUCCAACAGAAGGGUUGACGCGGUUUGUGUCAUGUAUGAUAUGUACAUAUUUAUAUUCAAUAUAACCACCAUUUGAAUAAUAGUUUUUUCAAAUAAGUGCACAUGUGUCGUAGCAUGAUUCACUUGUUGUAUGGCUAACAUGGUACUUCUGAUGUAUUCUAAAAUUUCUUCCUUAGUUAGAGGCAUUUGUUUUAAAAUUUUAUUUAAAAGAAGGUCAUUUUAAAUUUCAAAAUGUAAAGUGUAUUUUCUACAACACUAAAGGAUAAAACGGCCUUCAAUAUAGAUUUCUUAAUAAAUUUUAAGAGAACUAACAGAAAGUGGUUAUUUCAUUCAUGGUUAUUAAAUCAAAAUUUGAAUUAGAUCAUCACUGGUCCAAAAUAAACUAUCGUCAUUUCAAAUUGAAGCAUGAAACCGUGAAUGAAAGCAUCUUUAAAUAAAAGGAUACGUUUUUAUUAUAUAUGACAUUGUUUAAUUAGACAUAUCUUUACAGUCGGACACAUUUUUAGAGCACCAUUUAUAUUGACAAUAUUCCAGCAUAAAAUAUGUCCCUCUCCUUAUACGAGUAUUUUGCAAAUAAUUUGCAAAUAAUACAGAGCCACCACUAGUUCAAAAAUAAUAAAACAAUAACAUUGCUCACUUUCAUUGAUGGUUGGAUUGUUUCUGGGUUAUCCUUGUUUUUUUUUUUUUGUUUUAAUUGCUUUACAUACAUUAUGUGUGUAAUUUUUUAAUGGACAAUCUUCAUUUGAAACAUGAAAAUUUUAAAAAACUUUCCGAUUUGUGCAGGGUAUGAAGCCUCUUAAGUAGGACUUCUUAGGUGCUACUAUUGUGUUCGGCAAAUAUUUUCUUCUUUUAUUUUUCUUUUUUCAGUCACCAUAAUGGGGGUCAUGGUGAAACAACUUACUAAUCACUCUGGACAGGAAUGGGCUUCUAUAAGUAAAGCACACUUAUUUCACUCUUUCCUUAGUAUGGAGCUGCUUACUGUUGGGAUGAAGAUGGUAAUAGCUGCUUUAGAAAUUAGUUUUCUUCAGUAGGAAAAUUCUAAAUGUUGGAAAAUUUAAAGUUGUACUAGAAAACAAGCUGCCUAUUCAACCAAUGGCUAAAUGUAGCAUAGUAGUCUCCUUAGACGAUUAAUUAGAUUGCAUUCCUUUUGAUCUCUCUCUUUUCAUUUUUUCUCCUUUUUGACUUGCACUACUCUGUUCCUUUCCUCAAAAAAAAAAAAAAAAAUUGCACUUCUCUGCUGAUGUCUUCCCAAUAUCCUAUGAUGUACAAAUGCACAAAUACUCUUGUUGUGACGUUAACCAUAUAUGGUUUCUUUUUUAUUUUGGUCCAUUUUCCAAGAAUAGUAAGAAGAAUACUUUAUUUUAAUGAUGCUUCUCUGCUUUCUUAAAUGUAUGCUUGUUCUUGUUCACAUUUUACUGUUCAUCAUAAUUGGUAUGGUCUUUCUUUGGCAUCAUCAAGCCCCAAAUGUGAUGAAACAUUUUGAAUUUCUUAUUGAUCCAGCCUUCACUUUAGUAUAAUGUAUACACCGUACCUGCAGUAAGUAUCAUUGAUAGUUCUGAAUGAGUGCGAAAGCAGACUAGUGUGUAACUUCAUGAUUUAUUUACUGGUUUGCACAUCCAUAUUUCAAAUGGUUUACUGGUCUCUGGCCUAAAGAGAGGGAAAAUGAAAGACUUGUGAGACAAUCCUCAUGGCUUUGUUGACAUCAAUUUGGUGGUUGAUUGAGAAAUGAAUGAUCAUACAUAUACAUAUACAUAUACAUACAUACAUACAUAUAUAUAUAUAUAUAUAUAUAUAUAUAUAUAUAUAUAUAUAUAUAUAUAUAUAUAUAUGAUUUUCAUGGACUAGCAUUUGACAGAUGACUUGAUUAUUAUUUUUUGUCUGUCUGUUUAUUGAUUCUGUUGCUCAGUCAUAGCUAGACAUUGCUCAUUGACCAUUUGUUAGUGACAGGCUCAAAUGAGAUGCUUGAACUUUUGCUUUUAUCUCUUGUACUUACUUGCUUGGAUUUAGUUUGGAAAAGCAAAUCAACUAAGAUUUAGUCAAGUGAGCUUUGCAGCAAGUUGGGAUCCGACCCAAGUCAUAAUCCAAGUCGAGCAGAAUAUCCACAAAAACCAUCAUCUCAUCCAUGAAACAAAAGCAAUUUUGAGAGCCAGCAUUGGGGAAUCCUUUACUAGACAUGAGUUUUGAUAUUUGAUAUUAUGAAAGUCUUUUAUUUGACAUGUAAAGGUAGGGAUUUACUUUGUUUAACCCCUAUUCGUGCUAUAGGUUGACAGUAUUCUAUCACUUAAAUGCACUUUUUCCAAUCAGCCAAUGGCAAGCAAAUUGCUAGAAUUGAAAUGAGGCAUAAGUUAAAUGCUUUCUUGAAAUGUGGUGAAAUAAUUUGUUUAUGGUAUUACCUGUCGUGGCAGAACCAUCCUCCUCAAAUUAUUUAUAAGAAACUCUUUUUACUCUCUAUUAGGGGUGGGAACUAUUUAGUUUGGUUCGGUUCAGCCCUUGAACCGAACCAAACUGAAACCAAAUGGUUCAUGAAUUUAUGAACCAAAUUAUAGAACCGUUCAGUUUGAUUUGAUUUUAUCCUAUAUAUUCGUUAUUUAAUAAAAAAAUAUAAUAUAAUAAUACGCUAUUAAUACAACAAUAAUCUUGAGUCUAUAAAUUAGCAAACAAUAAACAACAUAAUAAAAUCUAAAAAUAGUAAAUUAACAUAAUAAAUUCCAAAAAUAAUCUAGAAAUUCAUAAAUAAUAACCAAUGUAAUAAAAUUUAACAAUAAUAAAUUAAAAUAAUAAAGUUCAACAAUAAAAUAAAGUGUAUGCAAUGACAUAUAUAAUAUCAUGUAUUAACUAACAAACAGAAAUAAAAAAAAAGAUAAAUUCUGAACUAUUUUUUAAUUUUAAUUUUAAUUUUUUCUUGAACCAUUUGGUUCGGUAAUUUGGUUCAGUUUUGAACCGAACCAAAGAAAAAAUCAAAUGGUUCAGAAUUUCUGAACCAUUUAGUUUUUUGCUCCGAACCAAACCGAACCAAAUGCCCACCCCUACUCUGUAUGCUUCUGAACCAUUUAAUUUUUUGCUGCGAACCAAAAUCGAAUUAAAUUAUCAUAAUACGGUUCGGUUCGAUUCGGUUCAGACUGAACCGAACCAAAUGCCCACUCCUACUGGAGUGGGCCUGGGCCUUCAAAAGGAAAGGAAAAGUUGUACCUAAAGUUGUGAAAAGGAAGAAUUUGCAAGUAAAAAAUGAAUAUAUUAUGCAUGGCUACAUAAAUUGGUACAUAUAGCUUUUGCACCUAAUCUGAUUAUCUCGAUUCCUGGACCCAGAACUAAUAGCCUAAUUAUUACACAUGAUAGUUUGCUGCUGCCAUACUACUUACAUGCGAGUGCUGAUUUUUAAACAGAAAUAUUCAACAGAGCACUGACAGAAACAGAGUUAACACCCGAGCCGGGUUACCGUGGUAAUUGAAAACAAUCAAUUAACACGAUAAAUCUGCUGGGUUUGUAGUUAAUUCUGCCAGCGCUCUGUCAGCUCCAGUAUUUGACUUAUUGACCUAUCUGUGGUUGGAAGGAAAAAUGAUUUAAGCAAGCUUUCGAAAAUGUUUUAUCCUUGUUUUAUUUCUGAAUAUCAGCAGUGCAUCAUUUUGAAAAUGUAACUGUGGGGUUUCAGGAUCCUCUUGAGCCAGUUUUGUUGUUCACAAAACCCCUUGUGCCAGAAAAAUUGGAUGCUGUAGGUAUUGUUCCGCCAUCAGAUUCUUCUACGAGGAAUGGCACUAUAGCACAAUGGAGACGUCUCUGUAUCGACUCAAUUCAAACUAAUUGUACAACUUCAUUUCUGAAGGAGUCACCAUUUUUUUUUUCCCAUUAAUCCCAUUUGGAGAAUGUGUACGUCAGGUGUUAAUGCUUAUAACGAAAUGAUGCACUAUGUUUGGUGUUUUUCAAUUUAAAAAUGUGUCUAAUACUGUAUUUUCAGAAUUGGACUAUAAAAAUAGAAAUAAAGAAAACGAUAUAAAAUUAAGUGUUAAGUAAGUAAAAGCACCAGGUCGGCCGUGCUACUAUUUUCGUCCCGACAUGGAUCACCUCAACCAAAUGGUACGAGCAGAACACGAGGACAAAUAUUGUCCGACCAGAGACGAGUACUGACCAGAGGUGUAUGCCGAGCCGAUACCCAUCUCCCGAAAAAGCGAGAACACGAUCCCACAGAAUCACGGCAGUUGCGCUUUUCCCAGAAUCGUUGCGAGAGAUGCGAGAUCCCACGUUUACCCGUAAUGUAGCAGUUAGAGUCCCGUGAGAGGCCACCACCCGAAAAAGGAGGGAUGAAGGCUAAGCGGGAACGUGGGACAACGACUAUAAAAGAAGGAGAAAUCGAUGAAGAAGGGGACAGAAAAAUUGAAAGAGGGAAAACGCUGCCAAAUUAUAACCAGACUAUUUUCUUACAAACUUCGGAUAAAUUAGAAACUAUUCUUGAAUCCAAAUUGCACUGUUUUCCCGUAAACACAUUGAGCUAACUUAGGCAUCGGAGGGUUUACGUCGGCAAAAUCACCGACAUCUUUGAUCCGUUUUUGUGAACGCAGGUCUAGAAAGAGAAAGAAGGGCGAUUCCAACCCCAGUGGUUCGAGCAACAGUUGAUAACACAAACGUUGGUGAAAGAUUCUGGUCGGUAAAAAGGCGAGCAUAUUUUAGCAUCAACAUUUUGGCGCCGUCUGUGGGGAUCUGGAUAAAAAGCUACCACCGAAUCAGUAGUUACCGGAGAAGCAGUGAACGAUUAGACAUGGAUGUGCCAAGGAAGGACGCUUUGAGGGAGGAUAACGAAUCUGGGGAGAUAAUCACUCUUAGGGAAAUUGCAAAUGAAGCCCAGGAGAGGGUAAUGCAAGAUCAAUUAGAGCGGAUGGAGAAACAAAUAGAGACUCUCGCGACCAUACUGUAUGAGUUAAGAGACGAGCGGAGAAGGGAUUGUGAAACCCCCGUGGGGAAAGAUGAUGUCGGAGCAGAACCCAGCCUCCGGAGGCGUAGAGUCGAGGAAGUCCCUCCGCCGGCGGACCAACCUAAUGGGGUGCAUCCCCACAGAAGCACUGGUCGGAUUACAGGAGAACAAGUAGAUGAAGGGAGGAACCAACCUCGCCCCGGGUGGGUAUUGGAAGCUGAUGGCCGAGGGGCCAGUGUUGAUGAAGGAGAGCUCAGAUAGCGGUUGCAGAAUGCCGAGCAGGAGCGAGAUCAGAUAGCUGCGCGUGAUCCUGACCGUGCUGUAGAAUUGGAGGGAGAGGUGCGCAGAUUAGCGCAAGUGAUAGAGGAGAUACAAGGUAAGAGGAAGCCCCCGAGCUGGAGAAUAAUGUUAGAUGAAGAAUCUCCACUAUCAACUGAGAUCAUGGGUACUGUAAUCCCAAGAGAUUUCCGCUUCCCCGACCUCAAAUACUCCGGGCGAAGUGAUCCACUGGUGCAUAUUGAACGUUUCAACGACAUGACGGGUGUUCAGGGGUUAACACCAGCUCAGAGGUGUAGGGCCCGAGAAUGGUACCGCAAGCUGUUACGAGGAAGUAUCAGAGGGUACGAGCAGAUGUGCCAAGAGUUGGCCGAACAGUUCUGAGGAGCGGUGGCCCCAGAGGAUGAUAUGAUGGAACUAAUGGGGAUGAAGCAGGAGGAACAAGAACCCCUUCGAGAUUUUGUAAAGCGAUACCACCGAGCCGUGCUUGAUUUGGGAGCUUUCAAUCACCCGCAAGCGUUGAGGGGAUUAAAGGAGGGUGUGAGGAUAGGCCGGCUAUGGUAUAACCUGAGAAGCCCCCUGGUACAGAAUUAUUCAUCGGGGUAUGAGCAGGCAAAGAGAGACAUUGAAAUCGAAGAAGAAAAAUCGGCAAGGAUAAAGAGUGAACAACUGGAGGAACUGAGACGAAAGGAAAGGAGAACCCCAAAUGGGAGCGGGUCGGGAAAGCGAGCUGGGGAGUCUUCAAUGAUGGGUGCAGUAUCCGCUCGAUCUCGCCCUUAUCCUAUGGCUCAGAGACCGCAGCAGGUCCAACACAAUCGGGCUCAGCCCCCGCGCCCCCAUUCCUGGAGCGGCAAUGAGAAUUCCGGCAGUUGGCUAACCAUCCUUAUCACAACGCUCCCAGAGCACUACAUACAGCCAACCCCAGAACGGGACGAUCAGGUCAGCUACCUUCAAUAUCCGCUCGGGACGAUACUCAUGAUAGACGAGCAGUGCAGCUGAUUGACCAGAACCCAGCGUACAGACAAUACACCCCGCUAAAAGUCCCUAUGGAGGAGUUGUAUGAGAGAAUCGAGGGACGAGGCCUGUUGUACCCUCCAGCCCCUAUAACAAAACCUACUCACCGACGGGAUAAGAGCAGAUUCUGCAAAUUCCACGACACUCACGGUCACACCAUCAGCCAAUGUCGUGACUUAAAGAUUCAGGUGGAAGAUUUGGUAAGAAACCGUUAUUUGGAUGAAUAUGUAGAUGGGGUCUCCCGUCAUUGAAUCACAGUACACGCGGGAUGAAGGAGGUGAGAGGGGCCUGGAACGUGAACAGCCAACUAUCCGUGUGAUAGCAGGAGGGCCAACCCUGGCUGGGGAUUCGAACAGGGCACAGAAGAACUAUGGGAAAUACGCCAUGACUAGCAAAGAAGUUCUUUUCAAUUUGCCAGCAGCCAAGAAGGCAAAAUUGCGGCAAGUUCCCAUUAUGUGAACAGAUGACGAUGAAGAGGGUAUCUUAUAUCCUCAUGAGGAUGCACUAGUGAUUAAGGCAAUGGUGGCUGGUACAGAACUGCGACGAAUACUGGUAGACACGGGCAGCUCGGUUGACAUCUUGUUUAAGUCGGCCCUAGAUGAUAUGGGAAUUGCAGACUUAAAAUUGGAACGGACAAAUACAUCUUUAAAGGGAUUUGGAGGGGGACGGCUAACUCCCAUGGGAAUCAUCGAACUCCCAAUUACUAUGGGGACAAAGCCGUUUGAAAGAACGAUGAUGCUAGAUUUUGUCGUGGUAGAGGAGAGAAGCCUUUACCAGAUGAUACUGGGGAGACCGUUCAUAAGGAUAAGCCAAUGCGUUGUAUCUACGCAUUAUCUAGCACUGAAAUACAGAGUAAACGGAGUGGUUGGCGUAGUAAAAGGCGACCAGAGGAUGGCAAGGAGUUGUUAUGCUACAGCGGCCAAGGAGACAGUGCAGGUUACUUCUUUAGAUAAUCGAGGAGAAUCUAAAAAGGGCCGCCAAGAGCCUGUUGAGAAACUGGAAGAAGUUGCGGUAAGCAAAAGCAACCCGAGCAGAGUGGUGAAGAUCGGAUCAGGGUUGGUUGGGGCAGUAAAAGGUGAGCUGGUAAAUUGCCUACAGUCUCAUGCAGAUAUAUUCGCCUGGUCUCACGAGGAUAUGCCAGGAAUUGAUCGCGGGGUAGCUUGCCACAAGUUGGCAAUCAAUAAGGGGGCGAGGCCGGUGAGACAGAAGAGGAGAUGUUUUAACCAGGAAAGGUAUGAGGUCAUAAACGCCGAGGUGGAGAAGCUGUUGAAAGCAGAGUUUAUAAGGGAGGCCAAGUACCCGGAGUGGAUUUCCAAUGUAGUGCUGGUAAAGAAGGCCAACGGGAAAUGGAGAAUGUGUGUGGAUUUCACAGAUCUUAAUAAGGCAUGCCCGAAGGACAGUUUUCCCCUACCAAAGAUAGACCAGUUGGUGGACUCAAUAGCGGGUCACAAUCUGCUCAGCUUCAUGGAUGCCUUUUCAGGAUACAACCAGAUUCCCAUGGACGAGCAGGAUGAGGAAAACACCACCUUUAUAACUAACAUGGGUUUGUUUUGCUACAGGGUGAUGCCUUUUGGCCUGAAAAAUGCAGGAGCUACCUAUCAAAGGUUGGUGAACAAGAUCUUCAAGCCCUUGAUCGGUCAUACUAUGGAAGUAUAUGUGGACGAUAUGAUCACAAAGUCCAGAGAACCGAGGGAUCAUGUGAGACACUUGGAAGAAACCUUUGAAUUGCUGAGGAAGUAUGAAAUGAAGCUAAACCCGGAGAAAUGUGCAUUUGGGGUCAGCUCGGGUAAAUUUUUGGGAUUCCUAGUAAGCCACCGAGAGACCGAGGCCAACCCGGAGAAAAUACGGGUAGUAACAGAAAUGAGAUCCCCCCGAACAGUUAAGGAGGUGCAGAGCCUUACAGGGAAAAUGGCAGCAGUGAACCGAUUCAUCUCGCGGGCCACGGAUAAAUGCCACCCUUUCUUCUGAACCAUAAAAAAGGGAGGAAGAUGGAGUGGACAUCAGAAUGUGAGGAGGCGUUUGGGCAGCUGAAGGAGUAUCUGGCCCAUGCCCCGUUACUAUCAACCCCGAGGGAAGGUGACCAGCUGUUUUUGUACUUGGCAAUAUCAAAAUGGGCUACCAGCUCGGUGUUAGUCCGAGAAGAAGAAGGGAAGCAACACCCCGUGUAUUACACUAGUAAAGCCCUGGUAGAUGUAGAAACUAGGUAUCCCUUGAUGGAGAAAUGGGCACUGGCCUUAAUAACAGCAGCACAGAAACUGCGACCAUAUUUUCAGGCCCACCCGAUAAUUGUGAUGACUGACCAGCCUCUUCGGCAAAUGCUCCAAAAACCAGAUGCAUCAGGGCGGUUAGUAAAGUGGUCCGUGGAACUGAGCGAAUUCGAUCUAUCCUACAAGCCCCGAGGAGCAAUCAAGGCCCAAGCCUUGGCUGAUUUUAUGGUUGAUUGUGUGGAACCAGGGGAAGAGGUCCAAGAGGAACAGCUAGCAGAGCAGAAGGAUAGAAAGGGGGUAUGGCUGGUAAUGGUUGAUGGGUCACGGGGUGAACAUAGAUCCGGGGCAGGAGUUAUAAUACGAAGCCCAGGAGGUGUCGAGGUAUCCUAUGCUGUAAAGUUCGAGUUCCAGCUUACGAACAACCAAGCUGAAUAUGAGGCCUUCAUUAUUGGGCUCGGGCUUGCACAUGCACUACGGGCAGAAACAGUAGAAAUCCGAGCAGAUUCCCAGCUAGUAUGUAACCAGCUCAGCAAUCAAUUCCAAGUAAGGGAAGAGAAAUUGGGACUUUAUCUGAAGAAGGCGAAGCAAAUGGUUGAACUCUUUAAAGAGGUAGAGGUGAAGCAGAUAUCCCGGAACGAAAAUUACCGAGCUGAUAUGUUGGCUAGAAUGGCUGCAACGGCAGAUCUGAAAUUACCUAAGUCGGUCUCACUAGAGGUAAGGACAUUGCCAAGUAUAGGGGAGGAAGUAGAAGUGAUGAGAGUAAACACUGAAGAAUCCUGGAUGGACCUGAUUCGCGCAUAUGUCCACGAUGGAGUUUUACUAGAGGACAAAAGGCAAGCAAGGAAAUUAAAAUGCCGAGCAGCGAGAUACACGCUACUAGAUGGAGUGCUGUACCGCCGGGGGUUCACCUUGCCCCUUUUGAGAUGUUUGGAUGAGGAGGAGGCAGAUUAUGUACUGAGGGAGAUUCAUGAAGGAAUAUGUGGCAAUCACUCGGGAGCAAGAACUUUAGCCUUCAAGGUACUCCGGCAAGGAUACUUCUGGCCGACCAUGCACCAGGAUGCAAAAAGGAUGGCAAAGAACUGUAAAACCUGCCAAAGCUUCUCUGAGAUUCCUGCACAACCCCCAGAAAAGUUGACCACUAUGGCAUUCCCGUGGCCUUUCGCUCAAUGGGGAAUCGACUUGAUUGGUCCGUUACCUAAGGGCUGAGGAGCGGCGACACAUGCAAUUGUGGCAGUAGACUACUUCACCAAGUGGGUAGAGGUGGGAGUCCUCAGCCAAAUCACGGAGAGAAAGACAACGGAUUUUAUUUGGAAGAAUAUCAUCUGCAGAUACGGGAUCCCCUAUGCCAUCAUUACAGACAAUGAGAGGCAAUUUGACAACAGCAACUUCAGGAAAUUUUGCCGAAAUUUGGGGGUGGACCUGAAGUUCUGCACCCCCACACACCCCCAGGCAAACAGACAAGUGGAAGCAGCCAACAAAGUGAUAAAGAAGCUUCUGAAAACUAGAUUGGGAGAGAAGAAGGGAGCUUGGGUUGACGAACUACCAGGAGUAUUAUGGGCCUACCGAAUAACUCAUAAAACCGCCACAGGGGAAACCCCGUUCGCUUUAGCUUUUGGACAUGAGGCGGUAGUCCCGGCAGAAAUUGGAGUGGGGACACAUCGAAUGGAAUAUUUCACUGGGGAACAAAACGACGAGCAGAUCUGCUUAAACUUGGACCUACUGGAGGAGAAAAGGGAAGGGGCUUCGCGGAAAGUGGCCCAGUGUCAGCAAAGGGUCACGCGUUAUUACAACAAGAACGUACGCGUGAGGCAGUUCCGAACAGGAGAUCGGGUGCUCAGGAAGGUGAACCAAAACACCAGGGAUCCCAAUCAUGGAGCUCUCGGUCCGAAAUGGGAAGGCCCGUACAGGGUGAUACGAGCAACUGGACCAGGAGCUUACAAGCUAGCGUACCCAGACGGACGAGAUGUGAAGAGGUCAUGGAACGCCGAGCACUUAAAGAAGUAUUUCCAGUAAGCAAAGUGCUCUGCUAAAUCCUCAUUUUGAUAAGUUAUCUUUGUUAACUGCAUGAUGGCUUAUUACGCAUGUAUAUAUUCUGUAUUUUUGUAAUACAUUCAAAUUCCAAUAAAGAUGAAUUCAGCAUGAAACCCUUCUGUUAGCAAGCCCAUUAAAACUUCUACCAAGGCAAGUAAGUGCCUGCUUCUGCUCGGUCAACGAAAGACUAGCAGCUAAAUUUACGAAACUUCUACCAAGGCAAGUAAGUGCCUGCUUCUGCUCGUUCAACGAAAGACCAGCAGCUAAAUUUACGAAACUUCUACCAAGGCAAGUAAGUGCCUAGUACUGCUCGGUCAACGAAAGACCAGCAGCUAAAUUUAUGAAACUUCUACCAAGACAAGUAAGUGUCUGCUUCUGCUCGGUCAACGAAAGACCAGCAGCUAAAUUUACGAAACUUCUACCAAGGCAAGUAAGUGCCUAGUUCUGCUCGGUCAACGAAAGACCAGCAGCUAAAUUUACGAAACUUCUACCAAGGCAAGUAAGUGCCUGCUUCUACUCGGUCAACGAAAGACCAGCAGCUAAAUUUACAAAACCUCUACCAAGGCAAGUAAGUGCCUGCUUCUGCUCGGUCAACGAAAGACCAGCAGCUAAAUCUACGAAAAUUCUACUAAGGCAAGUAAGUGCCUGCUUCUGCUCGGUCUACGAAAGACCAGCAGCUAAUCCUACGAGAAUUCUGCUAGGGCAAAUAAGUGCCUAGUUCUGCUCGGUCAACGAAGACUAGCAACCAAUUUUAUGAAAAUUUUACUAAGGCAAGUAAAUGCAUACUCCUGCUCGGUCCACUAAGGAACCAGCAGACAAAAUCAGAUAAGUUAUCCAAUUAUUUUGCAGAAACAAUCUAUGAGCAAAAACCAGACAAGAAAGCCAAUAGAGAACAUCUAAAAAUUUAUAAAUGUUCAAUUGUUUACAAAACAAAUGCAAAUCUAGAGUUUAUACAAAAAUAGACUUAAAGAUUAGCAGGGUCAUCGACUCCAGCAGCUGAAGGAUCAGCAAUCUCAGGAGGUAGGAGAUCGGCAAUACCGGAAGGAGGAGGCACGGACCCUUGACCCACUUCGAAAGCACGGCCCCCGGCUUCCCCCUCCUGCACCCCAUCCAAAGGAGCCUCCACCUGAUCCUGCUCGCCCUGCUCCUUAUCUGCCUGGCCGGUCUCCGCCAUAUACCGUUGCACUCCAGCCUCCAGCUUACUCAUGUCCAGCUCGGGAUAUUCUUCCUUAAGCACAGACAUGAUACACUUAUAGGAGAAAGCAACCCCAGAGUCAUACUCGGCAUCCAGCCGAUCGUCCACAUCAGCGGAUUUACCUUUCUCCUCAGCUAGCUGCUCAUUCAGGGAUUUGAUUUCUCCCUCAAGGGCGGUCCUCAGAGUAUCUCUUUCACUUUGAGUUACCUGAAGGUCAGACUUCAGGCUACCCAACUCACCCUCAAAUUUGGAGGCAGUGGACUCAGCAAUUGCAACUUUCUCCUCCAGCUCCGUAAUCUGCUUGUUCAGCUCGGCCAGCUUCUCCUUGGAGCGAUCAGCAGAUUCAGCCCUCUUCUUCAACUCCUGAUUGUCAGCUUGAAGCUUCCUCUCAUGGCUUGUGGACCCGUUCUUGUAACACGAAACCAUAGUGGCCAGCCUGAAGGAAACCCUUUGAACAGAAGCAGCUAACUCGGAGAGGUUCAUACUCUCGAUGUCCUUCACCAUCUUGGGCCCCACCGAUUUCUUGUAAUCCUUCUGAUACGGGCUCAGGUAGUCACCUUGAUCCCGAGAUGGAAGAUGAGAAGAUCGGUCCCCAGACUGCAAGCUGACCUCAGGACUCUUGUCGGAAAUUUUCUCCCCACCACUCUUACGAGGUGGAGGAGGGGGCAGAGCAGGAACAGGAGCCUUGGAAGGACCGACGCUGAUUUUCUUCGGAGGAGGAGGAGGGUUGCUGGAGCUACUCGGAGCCCGACCAUGCUUUCUGCUCAUCGCGCUGAGGAUCUUGUUAUCCAUCCCAGAGGCAAUAUCUACUAAGCCCGAACCGACCAAGUUUGUUGGUGACAGGAGGUCUUGGCAAGUAGACGCGUUCACCAGAGCUGUUUCCACCUGAAGCAAAGGUCGGUCUUUGAGAUCCUUAACCAAACCCCACGAUUCUGAAAAAACAAACAAGGUUAAAGAACCCAAUAAGUGGCAAUUCGAGAAAGAAUAUAGGCAAAAAAUGAACGACCUGGGGUGACAAAUUGCGUUGGAAGGUAAAUAUCACCACCCAACGAACAGACUACUGAACACCAAUUUGCCUCAGCAAAGAAGAAUUUGUUCUUCCAAUUUUUGCACGAGGAGGGGAAACCGGUGAUUGGCUUUCUCUUCGCAGAACUGGAUAUGAAGUAGUACCAGCCCGCCUCCCUUGGGCUGCUCCGCAGCUGAUACAAAUGCUUCACUUCAACAAGGGAAGGCUCCUCCGACCCGCACCUCUCCCACAACACAAACAUAACCGAGAGAACCCUCCACCCGUUUGGGUGUAGCUGACCUGGGGCCAAGUGCAUACCCCCCAAAAUCUUGGCAAAAUAACGCUGAAGAGGUAGUCGAGCUCCUAGUUUGAAACUCUCCAGGUGCAUCGUCACGUACCCCCAUGGAGGCCGACUAGGAACAUCACCUUUCCCAGGAACCACAAGGAGAACCUCCUCAGGAAUGUCGUAGAGGUUCCUAAGCUUGAAUAGAUCAGUUUGGGUGGUGGCACAGGCUAUGUGAUCGAUAGGGUAAGAAUCCGCCUCCACCCUAUGCCCAAGGUUUCAUUUUUUAGGAGGUCGGCUCGGCUCGGAGCUGCUUCCCUCACCAUCACCCACUUCUUCAGGGACCUCAACCCCACCAGAACUGUGGUUCUCACCAGAGCCCGACGCAGGUCCCUCUCUAUUUCUUACAAGCUCUAAUUCAGGGGAAGGUGAAAUGGUCAAGGGACGUGGGUACUCAAGGGUAUCCCUACUAUAGGAGAAGCCUACACUACAAGAGGGAUGCAAAAAACCAGUGGGUAUUGACAAGUUAAGGCGUGAAUCCCCUGAUUCUUCGUCACCCUCAUCUGCAAUCAACUUCCUUCUCCGAUUUGACAUAUCAGAGCCCCAAAAGGAAACCAAAACAAACCCAAGUACACGAAUACAAAAAGGGACAACACAGAACCCAAUCAACAACAGCCAAAGAAGAGGUUAAAGGCUAUACCUGGAAUAGACUGACACUGAUAGCGCUGCCGUGACAGAGAAAACACCCAGCAAAUGGAUACUCCGGACGCUGGAAGUGUGAGCAAAGUUCAGAGAAGGAUUUGGUUAACGGCGGAGAAACGAAUAACAAAAUGAGGAUGACUUUAGUCUAGGGAUUUGAAACGAAAAGGGGGAAACGGAAGCGUUUAAGUGAUGGGAUAUGCCAGCUCACUCACCAUAUAUCGAGGAUGGAUAGCCCGUCAUUUCAAAUUUCAAAUACGAAGAGUCGGGAAGCGCCACGUCACUAACCGUUACAAGAGGCUAGGCUAGAUGCAAGCCCAGAUAUGCAAUGUACAUGCUCAUUAAGGCCCAUGCUCGGGUCGGAAUCUCCCCAGAAGAAAAGUGGUACCUCAGGUCCUUCCCGGUACAACAGAAGACCAGAUGAGAAGCCCCGGGCUGGUCAGAUUCGACCAUCAGUUUCUACUCUUAACUCAUUUCACUCGCAAGACCAGAAACUGGGGGACUGGUGUUAAGUAAGUAAAAGCACCAGGUCGGUCGUGCUACUAUUUCCGCCCCGGCAUGGAUCACCUCAACCAAAUGGUACGAGCAGAACACGGGGACAAAUAUGGUCCGACCAGAGACGAGUACCGACCAGAGGUGUAUGCCGAGCCGAUACCCGUCUCCCGAAAAAGCGGGAACACGAUCUCACAGAAUCACGGCAGUUGCGCUUUUCCUAGAACCGUUGCGAGAGAUGCGAGAUCCCACGUUUACCCGUAAUGUAGCAGUUAGAGUCCCGUGAGAGGCCACCACCCGAAAAAGGAGGGAUGAAAGCUAAGCGGGAACGUGGGACAACGACUAUAAAAGAAGGAGAAAUCGAUGAAGAAGGGGACAGAAAAAUUGAAAGAGGGAAAACGCUGCCAAAUUAUAACCUGGCUAUUUUCUUACAAACUUCGGAUAAAUUAGAAACUAUUCUUGAAUCCAAAUUGCACUGUUUUCCCGUAAACACCUUGAGCUAACUUAGGCAUCGGAGGGUUUGCGCCGGCAAAACCACCGGCGUCUUUGAUCCGUUUUUGUGAACGCAGGUCUAGAAAGAGAAAGGAGGGCGAUUCCAACCCUAGUGGUACGAGCAACAGUUGAUAACACAAACGUUGGUGAAAGAUUCUGGUCGGUAAAAAGGCGAGUAUAUUUUAGCAUCAACAUUAAGGUAAUAUAGGACGAAAAAGUAUGGACAAGGAAGCAGUAAUAUUUGGUGUUUUUCAUUUUUUUCAAUAAAAAAAUGAAAACAAAAUUUUCAAUAUCUAUUCAUCAUUUUUUGGGAAAAAACAAAAAAAAGCUUAAAGAAUAAAUGAAAGGGUGUUUGUUAAAACAAAAAUGUGAUUGGUGUUUGAAUAAUGACUCUCUCGGUCAGGCAAAAUAAUCACAUAAUCAUUUUUUUGAAACACAAACCCUUUUGGUUAAGAAAUAAUCACACAAAUCCUAAUGUUUUAUCUGAAAGAGAAUUUGUGUAUCUCAAAAGAGACAUGUGUGACCUUUUCUAAAAACAAAAUAUCUUUCUAGUUAUUUUGCCAAAUCACGUGGUGCCUUUAGAAAUAAGAUAGAUUUUAAUUUGCCCCCAAUUCAGAAAGAAAAUCUUUAAUUUAUCACCUAAAAAUAUAAAAAUAUCAAUUUACCCCAUUUAUUGUUAAGAAGAUUAAAAAAAAAAAAACCAUCAACACAUUCCUUAUUUGCCCCUAAUAUUUUGGACGGAAAUGAAGAAUAAAUUGAGGUUUACAUUGAGAGCAAAUUAGAGAUUAUCAUUUUAUUUGGGGAUGAAUUAAAAUUUAUUCGUAGGAAUAAAAAAUUCAAGAGAAAUACAUCGAAAAAGGUAAUAGUUUUCACUUUUUAUGGAGUAUUUGAGUAAGGGUAUUUGCACCCCACUAUUUUUAUAAAUCCACCCUACUUCUAGAAACUAAUUGCAAUGAAUUUACAAUAUUUUUAAAAAAAUACAAAUUAAUAAAAAUUUGUAUAAUUAAUCAUUAAAAUCCUUCUAUUGAUUUUCUUCUUGGGUUCUUUGACCAUCUUUAAUCAUAAACUUUAAUACAAGUUUUAUUUUAGUAUUUUAUUAUUAUGAUAUAUAGCAACUAAAUUACCAUAAUAAACACGAGUUAUUGUAUCUACUAAUUUAUGUAUCUAAUUUUGUGGCUUAUAAUAUAAUAUUUUAAAAUAAAAUCUAAUUGUGAUUUUCUCUACUUUAGUGUGUAAAUAACAUAAAAUUGACAUCCCAAUAAUUUACAUGAGUAUCAUGCCCUAAAGAUACUAUUUUAGUUUAAUUAAAGAUUAAAACUCAUACUAGUAAAGUAGUAUUAGAAACAAUGAGUUUGGAAUAAAAUUAGAAAAAUAUUGAAAUUAAAGUAAAUUCUUAAUAGUUUUACCUUAUAAGAGUAAAAUAAUCAAUUUAAACUUAUGACAAAACAAUCUUUGUAGCUAAUUAUAAUAAAAUAAUCUAAAUCACAAGAAAGUAAACUAAAAUAAAUCUAGUUAAUUAACUCUACAAAGUUAUUCUUUGUUUGAAAAUUUUAAAACAUAGCAUGUAUGUUUUAUAAUUAUUUUUUAGACGAAGUAUUAUCAUUUUGAUUUUUGAGGAAUAUCAGUAAAAUUUUCAUAAAAUAGUGGAAUAAGCCCAAUAAAUAAAUAAGUACAUAAAAAGUUUUUGUCAUAGCCACAGUCUCAUAGAGGUGGAAGCAGGGGAGGAGCAGGCCAAGCCAGGCCACAGAAAAUAUUCAAUUGAAAAAGCAAGAAAAGAAUGAGCGUGUGGAUGGUAAGGGCUCGGGCUCCCUCUUUCAUUAUUCCAAUAACAACGCUCAGGAUUGGAAAUGGAAAUGGAGAUGUAAAAGGCCUGCGCUUGCCCCUAUUGAGCAAUAAGAGUUGGCAGUUUCAGUUGCAGUUGGAGUUGCAGCAGAGGAAUAAGGAGAAGAAGAAGAGACAAAAUGUUACCAUCAGUUAUACUAACAGUAGCAGUGGAGGGGAUUCUGCUUCUGCUGCACUGGAACUGGAGGUUAAUGAGAUAAGGGAGAGUUGCAAAAUGUGGAAAUGGAAGGGUCAGUACUCCAUCAAUUACUUGGUUUCUUCAACUCCAAAUUCACAUCCCAAUUCUCCUCCUCUACUCCUUGUCCAUGGCUUUGGUGCCUCCAUUCCUCACUGGCGCAGGUUAGCGAGAUAAGAUUGCUCUUUCUUGUUGUGAAUUGUCUAGAGGGUUGAUUAUUGGGUGCACAAAAAUGUAGCUCCUUUAUUGUGAAUUCAAUUCAAAUUAUGUUCUGGGUAUUUUCGACUGUAAUUUUUUUUUUUUUGUAUGGAGCAUGUCUUUACCUUAUGUAUGUAAUAUCUCUGACUCUGUUAUGUAUUAUGAACUCCAGGGAUGGAUUUAUAUGUGUUAUACUUCUAAUAAUUAAUUAAGAUGAAUGAAGCAAAAGAACAAUGAAAGUAAAAUCUAUUCAUUAUUUCACGGUGCAUUGGCAUUAACACUUAGUUCUAUUCCUUGCACCUAGAUGAUGACAAACCAGUGAUCUGAAUUUCAGGGUUCCAUUUCAUAUUACCCUUUUAUGGGUAUAGGCUUCUUCCAUUUUCCAAUUCUUAAUCUAGUGAAAAAGUAUUCAUUUUACCGCUCCGUAGAAGAGGGGAAUGAAAAUUUGUGUGUUCACUACUCCUUUAUCCUAUUAAAUAAUGUGAGGAAUUGAUAUUUUUCUUGUCAUCUCUGAGGUAAUUCCAGGAAUAUCGGCACCCUGGAGAAGAGCUACACGGUUUAUGCAAUUGACCUUCUUGGAUUUGGUGCUUCAUAUAAGCCAGCUGGUUAUUCAUAUACCAUGGAGGCAUGGGCUCAGGUGUGCAAUGUUCCCUAGCCAGAAGUUGGAUCUUUCUCUGUACUUAUGUCAUCAAUCACUUGACCUUUAGUUAUUUUCCUUGCUAACUUGAGUGAGAUUCACUGAUACAGCUAAUAUUGGAUUUCUUGGAUGAAAUUGUUCAGAAGCCAACUGUGCUUAUAGGUAAUUCUGUUGGAAGCCUAGCUUGUGUUAUCGCUGCCUCAGGUAUAUUUAUUUUAACUUCCCCUUGGACAUCAGAUAUUCUUCAACUUGCUUGCAAAGAAACACUUGUCCCUAAUUAUCCUUUUUGGUAUCUAUGGUUUACGAUAAACCUGCUAUAUUUUCUACCAUAAGAAUCUAGUCAAACCCUUGUUCGAGGGCUUGUUCUGUUGAAUUGUGCUGGUGGCAUGAACAAGGCAAUUGUUGAUGAUUGGAGAAUCAAGCUAUUGUUACCAUUGCUUUGGUUCAUUGAUUUUUUGUUGAAGCAAAGGCCAAUUGCUUCUGCUAUAUUUGAGCGUGUGAAACAAAGGUAUUUUCUCUUUUCUUUAUUCAGUCCAUUGUUCAUUAUCCUAAAACACUAGAGUCAAAAUUAAAAAAAUCUAUGAUGUGUAUAUAUUGGUGCUUCAGGGAAACACUGAGGAAUAUUUUACUGUCGAUCUAUGCAAAUAAGGAAUCUGUGGAUGAAACACUGGUUGAGGUAUUAAUAUUCUCCACUUAUAUGUCAUUUUAACCUGUUACAAAAAUGGCUACUCAGAAUUCAUGAAUCAACCUCAAAACUGCAGAUCAUACGAGAGCCUGCCAAUGUGGAAGGGGCACUUGAUGCAUUUGUUUCGAUUGUAACCGGCCCACCAGGGCCGAACCCAGUUCAAUUGAUGCCAUCAAUCUCUAUACCUCUACUAGUUUUAUGGGGUGAUGAGGAUCCAUUCACACCCCUCGAUGGACCUGUUGGUAAAUACUUCUCAUCUCUGCCUUCUAAACUCUCAAACGUGAAGUUAAUUGUAUUGAAAGGAGUAGGACAUUGCCCCCAUGACGACAGGCCUGAAUUGGUCCACGAAAAGCUGCUUCCUUGGUUGGCUGAAACAUUUAAUUUCUGAGGAAUUUACUUUCUCAUCAGCAAGUUUUAACGAGCAUUAUAUAUUAUUCCUAUUGUAAAAAGACAAAACAACUCUUGUAUUUAUGUUGUAUAUAUCAAUUCUUAUUCAACCGCUUGGUUAUCUUUUGGCGCCGAAAGGAAUGUUGGAGAAACUGAUCUCUGACAUGUUGUAGAAGCUCCAAAUUGAUUCAAGAAAUAUAUCAAAUUAUUCAAUAAAAAAUCAAAUUCAGCACAAUAAUAAAGAAUAAUGAUUUAGUAAUCCAUAUUGCUCAUGUCAAUGAUAUGUGAAUGAUAGGAUCCAAUUUUAUACAUGAAAAAGAUACAAUAAUCUAAAUCGAAAUAUAAGUUCACAGGCAUCUUCAAUCCUUUCCUUACAAGUCAUUUUUGUAAAUAUAAAUUCUAACCAUAGACGAUACCACAUCAACUAUGGAACCAAGUGCAUCAUUCCAAAUAUGGAAUUGGUAGAGAUACUUGAAAAAGUGCAUACAUGUUUAAGCAAAUGGAUUCACAACUCAGGUGAGUUGAGUGAAAAUGACACCUAUCUCAGUCUUCUUCGUUACAGUUGAAACAUGUGCUUGGGUCUUCCAUUGACGUAGGAUCUGGUGUGAAGUAAAUGGAUCCCACAUUUUUUCACCCCGCAGCACUGGCACUCCAAAGGUGGAAAAACAUUAAAGUGGACUGCCUCAAGAAUGCAAUUGCAUUUCCAAAAACCAUUAAAAUCCUCUUCACAGAACAGAUAGUGCCCCAAAUGUAAGUGAUAUGAUUCUACAUAAUUAACUCUGCUCUGAGAUAAUCGUGUGUCAUGCGUACCACAAUCUUUGGUGGUUUUCACUUUGAGCUCAAAAGAAAAUGAAAACCAUCUGCCACAAUCUACAUGACGGUCUGAAAAUGCUAAAAUAGCACUAAAUGCAAUGCCCUGCACUCUGCUAUUAUUGAAGAAAUCUGGCGGCAUCUCCAAGGUUAUAAAAGAUCCCACACUUUGAAACUCAAACCACUUUGGAAUUUCAUUCCCAGGUAGUACUAUAUGACCUUUGCCCAAGGAAAAACCUCUCUGUACCAAAAAAACAUAAUUUUAAACCCAAAAAAAAACAAAGAUUGUAGAAAUUGCAUGUAAGUAGAGAGAGUUAAAGACACACAUUUUGCCAUACUUCUUGCCAUAUUUCUUGCAAACGUAGAACUGGCGUAUGAUUCGUAUGCUGAAUUCUCAGGGUAUCUUCAACAAUUCCUGCAGUAGAAUUACCUUCCAAUUUAAAAUUAUUGCUCCGGUCAAAAAAAAUUGCCUGUAAGAUUCAUAACUUAGAGAACAAACCUAAAAAUGGUUGCAGUGCCAAGCAACCUCGUUCAAGGAAUGGAGACUUUUGUACGAAUUGGAACCUCUCACCAUAACUUAAGAGGAGGUAUCCCGACACGAAAAGUUGGAUAAUGCUUUCUGGUAUUCUCUCAAUAUUGGUUUUCGCUAGAUUAAAUGUUAUUGGCGAGGAUAAUUGGCCAAGACAUUCGGGCAAUCUCUGAAGAUUUGAGCAACCACAGAGAUUAAGAACUCCAAGAGAUUUCAAUCUAUAGAGGCUGCUUGGGAGAUUCUUAAGCCUUUUACAAUUUGAAAGGUCUAAGUAUCCGAGCCUAAGUAGACGCUCAAUUGAUGAGGGCAGUUCUUCAAUUGCAGUCCCCCUUAAAAAUAACCAGCUUAUAUUACCUGAUGAGAUCUCUGGAAGCCUUUUCAGUUUUGGGCAGCCCGAAAGAUCAAGUUUGGUAAGAAAUUCCAAGUUAAAUAUUCCAGAUGGAAGACUUUUCAGGCUUUUGCUACCUCUUAGAUUCAAGAUAACCAGCUUGUUCAGACGUGGCAUCAACGUGGGAUUUGGAAUUUUGGCAAUUAGCUUAUGGCAGGCAGCAUGGAUUAUCUGGUUUAACUUACUAUAAUGCUGCUCGGUCAAAAAAGAGGCCAAGACAAAAUCGUUACCACGUAUAAUAAUUUAAUGUUGUUAUUGAGAGAUUGCACAUAUAUAAUAAGAUAUGCAUACCUUCACACAAUCCCAAAGUUGUUCAAUGUCAUUAUCAGGCACUUCAAGGAACAUAAGCUUCUCUGCACUGAGGUUUGAGGGAAAUGACUUCAACGGAUAUCCAUGCCAGUGAAGAUAUUUCACUUCAGCAAAUCCAGGGUCUUGCAAAUAAGACAUCUUACAUUUGUUCUCUCCAUUGAAUAAUGAACUAUAGAACUUUAAAAAUCUCAAUUUAGGCAUCUUUGUGAAAGUAUUGGGAUUUAGACGGAGCUCUUUUACUUUUGACAUAUCCAAACAUAUGCCCUCAAUUUUUUCUGUCCCCUAAAAAUAAAUGAAAAAGCAAUAAAGUUACAAUCAAAUGAAAGAUAUGUGUAUUCCACCAAUGAAUCGCCCUUCAACAAUACAUAGGGAUAAUUUUUGGGGCAAUUUUCUCACUAAUUCACAAUUAGAGGUAGCUUGUAGUUAUUGCUAGGCAGUUAAACUUUUAAUUGCAAAUGCACAAAGAAACAUAACAACACAAGUAAUACUUAAUAUAAAAAUUCCGUCUGUGUACUAUACAAAUUGGCAUAUCAAUUAUGCUUGCAAACGAUUAUGCAAGUUGUCAUGGCAUUUAUAAUUUAUUGCUACGUCAUCUAACGGAUAUGGUUUUUUCUAAUCAUUGUCGCUCUUCUAUUAAUUCUAAGACUCAUCAGUUCGAGCAUAGAUAAAUAUAUUCAUAUCAAGUUUGUAAAUGCUAGAAUAUUUCAAAAUAAUUAUCCACAACAAACUGCUUACCGUGUUAUAUGUAAGAACUUCAUAGAUAUCCUCAUGAUGCCACAACCUACUGCGGUUUCCAGGAUUAAUUGAUUCUUGUCGAACAAUUUCCCUACCCAACUCUUGUAGUAAAUCAUGCAUUCUUAUCUUGUUGUAUGAAUCAAUAGCAAUGAGAGAUUUAUCAACAAGAACACUUAUUCCUAUUUCUGGGUAGAAACCGCUUGCAUUAUGGAAUUUCAUUACUAGAUUUACAUCCUCGCCUUGAAAGAAACAAGCAACAUCAAGGAAAAUAUUUUUCUCCUUAUCAUCCAAACUAUUGUAACUUAUUUUUAAUACCUCUAGGAUACUUGGAUGGAGGAUUCUUUGCAAUUUAUUUAUUGCACUUUCCCAGACUUCCUUUUCUCUUUCAUAUAGAAAGCAACCCAAAACUUUAAGAGCUAAGGGAACACCUUGAGCAUAUUUCAUUACCUUGCUUGAAAAUUUCUCGUAACCAACUUCAGGAUGGUUUUGUUUGAAGGCAUGUCGACUGAAAAGCUCAAGAGCGUGAUGAUAUUCUAAUGCCUCCAUCACAUAUAUUUUACUCACCCCCCAAUUUCUAAGCACUUGUUUAUUUCUGGUGGUUAUUAUGAUUCGACUCACAGGCGUCAACCAAUCAAGACUUCCAAUUAUAGAUUCUAAUUGGCUGAAGCAAGUCACAUCAUCAAAAACAAUCAGAACCUUCAUGCGGCUGAGCCUUCUAAAAUUAAGACCAAUAUCAAGACUCACAUUUUUAUCUUUCAAUAAAUUUGAAAGAAGUUUUUGUCGCAAGCAAGCUAAUCCUCCCGGUUUUUGUGACUCUUCUCUAACAUUUUCAAGGAAGCAAGAACCUUCAAAAUCGCUAGAGAUUUUGUCGAAAGUAGCUCUAGCGAUUGUUGUUUUGCCUAUACCACCAAUGCCCCAAAUCCCUAAAGCGUAAACAUCUUUCGACUGAACACCUAGUAGAGAUUCAAUUUCCUCAACUCUUGAUUCUACUCCAACCAGCUGGUUUUGUUAUCAUUCCGCCGAAAAACUUGAUCCAGCAGUCUCUUUAAAAUGUGAUUAACAACUUCGUUUAUAAGUUCCGAUUCAGGCCUACCAAAUACAUAAAAUUAGCAGCAGUAACUUCAAAUAGAAGGGACCGGAUUUGCAUAAAAUAUGAAAUAAAGGAGAUUGCUAGUUUUCCAAUUGAAAUUAAUAUACCACUUUUUUUUUCAUAAGGAUAAUAUUGCAAAGUGAUGGUACAGGAGAGUUAUUAAAUAUUAUAAAAAUAGUCAAAAUAAGUGGUAUAUAUUGAUUUGAGUAAGGAAAUUUCCAAUCUCCCUAUAAAUUAAUAACUCUUUAAUUACAGGAAUAUGUUAUAUGUGGAAGAGAUUUUUUUUUUCCUAGUGGUAUAUGAGUAAGAGAUUGAAAUUGAUUAAAAAACGACAGAACACCAUUAAUUUUGUUAAAAUAUAUUGUAAACCUCUGGAGCUUUUAUUAGUAAUUCUGCAAAAAAUCUUUUAUAGGAGUUCAAAAGUGGGGAAGUUCAAGAAGUCUAGAAUUUGAUGCAUGAAAAAAUUUAAAAGUGUAGUUUAUCAUCUGGAAAUUUAACUAAGAGUGCUACGUGAAUUUUAUUUACAGUGUUGAAUAUGAGUAUGCGAAAUUAAAGUAACUUUUCACCUGAUGUUAAGAGAAUUAAAGCCAGACAAAGUGACUGCCUCCCUCAAAGCAUUCCUCCAAGUCAGCAGCUUCUUUGAAUUCUCCUUAAAUCUUUCUUCAAGCUUCGAAAAUGAAUCCCCAAAACUCCCAGUUUGGUUUCUCACGUCUGAUGGAUCAACCCGAUAGAAAACCGGAAUCACAAUCUGUGCAUACUCUUUCUUGCACUCGAGGAUCUUGACAAGUUCAUCGAGACACCAUCUGGAAGAUGCAUACCCUUCUGAGAAGACGAUAACUGAAACGGCUGAUGCUUCAAUUGCAUUCACAAGUGACUCCGAAAUUUCGUCUCCUCUGUUAAGUUGGUCAUCAAUGAAAGUUUGGAUAUUUUGUCGACACAGAGCAGAAUAGAGAUGGCUAGUAAAGUUGUCUCGGGUGUCCUCUCCUCUGAAACUAAGAAAAAGAUCAUCCUUCUUGUUGUUUCCAUAAGAAGAAGCCAUAAUCAACAGAAACAGUUGAAUUGAUUAGGGAGAGAUUUUGAUUCAGAUGAAAACAAUUAUUGAACCAAAUGUGCGCGACUCUGUACAAUAAAUCGAUGCCAUGAGCCUUCCUUCAAGUUCCGUGAUAGUUUUCAAUUUCAUCUCAUUGUCCAAGCACCGUGCACUCCACGAUGAUUGAUUAAUUCCACUGCUUUGUAGACUUUUAGCUGAAAAUUCCACACGAACACCAUACUUUUCAACACACGUGCUUCUGUGCUUUAAUACUCAUAACUGCCAGCAAUAAGUAGGGUAAUAUUUUAAUUUUUAUCUCUGAAUUUAUCUUUUCGGUCCUCAUCUCUCAAUUAAUUGUAUUUAGUUUCAAAAUUGUUCUUUUUUUUUUUUGUUUUAGUAGCUCUUAUUCAUGUUCCUUAGGGUUGAUUGUUAAGCAUAUAAAGUCUAACUUUUAAAAAAAAAUUAGUUAUUUAUUUUUUAUAACUUAUAUAUGAUUUUUAAAUAUUUAUAUUUAAAUUAAAAAAGUAAUUUUUUUUUGUGACCUUUGCCUAAAUGAAAAAUGUAUGAAUGGAAAAUAAAUAGUAUAUUCAAAGAUUAUUUCUAUUCAAUAUUGUUAUUUCCUAAACUAUAAACGGGUCACAUGUGGCUAAUUGUCAAAGCAAUAGCAAGCUGUUAGCUUAAAGCAAAGCACAUUCAUGCUUCACCCAUGAGAAUACAACCAAUUCUAAUGCAUGUAUUGUGACACACGUGCAAGCUAAAAGGAGGCACAUGUGGUUAAUUGUCAAAGCAAUAGCAAGCUGUUAGCUUAAAGCAAAGCAUGUGCGAAGCAUGUGCGUGCUUCAUCAAUAGAAUAUGUGAGUGGAUUAUUAUUAUUACUAUUAUGUAUUUUACAAAAUAUUUAUGUUUGAUAGUAUGAUUUAGUAUAAUGUUAUGAUUAAAUGUACGUACAUUAUAUGAUUGACUGAGUCAUAAGAUGUAAUUGACAGGCACCAUAUGUGUACAUUUCUCCAUAGGCUCUACGCAUGCGUAUUGAGAGUUAAAUUACUCGACCCUUGUGAUGUUGUUAAUUCUACUGAGUAUUGAGAGGUUUUUCCCCCUUUUUACUCGUGCGAUGAUGAUCCCAGUAAGUAUUGAGAGUUAUUUUCCAUGUAUAUUAUUUGGUGCAAUUUUGUCAUGUGUGUAUAUACGAGUUCAUGUUUGCUUUUGUAAAGCGUUCAGUGUAAAGUUAUGUCAUACAAUUAUGACGAGCACUAAAGCACUAAUUUAUUUUUAUAUAUAAUUAUAUUCAUUCAUUGAGCCGCAAGCUUAAUAUUUUCCUAUUUACCCCAUUUCUCUAAGGUUUCCAUAGGAUUUCGUGUAGUUCAAUUUCUAAUCAAUUGAGGUUGGGCCACGACACACAUUACUGCACGACUUACAUUUUGACCACGUUUAUGUUUAUAUGUAUAUUUUUGAAGUGUAUGUAUGUACAGUGAGAUAUGAACUAUGUAAGUUUUUAAUAAAAUUUUGAAUGAGGCACAUAGAUUAUUAUCUGUUUAUAACAAAGGGCAAGGCUAGUGUUAUAUAUUCCUGAAUUAAGUUUAUGUCAUGAGCUUUAGAUAUAAAAUUGCAUGAUUCACCCCAAAUCCAACAGAAGGGUUGAGGCAGUUUGUGUCAUGUAUGAUAUGUACAUAUUUAUAUUCAAUAUAACCACCAUUUGAAUGAUAGUUUUUUAAAAUCAAUGCACAUGUUUCGUAGCAUGAUUCACUUGUUGUAUGCCUACACAUGGUACUUUUGAUGUAUUCUAAAAUUUCUUCUUUAGUUAGAGGCAUUUGUUUUAAAAUUUUAUUUAAAAGAAGGUCAUUUUAAAUUUUAAAAUGUGAAGUGUAUUUUCUACAUCACUAAAGGAUGAAAUAGCCUUCAAUAUAGAUUUCUUAAUAAAUUUUAAGAGAACUAACAGAAAGUGGUUAUCUCAUUCAUGGUUAUUAAAUCAAAAUUUGAAUUAGAUCAUCACUGGUCCAAAAUAAACUAUCGUCAUUUCAAAUUGAAGCAUGAAACCGUGAAUGGAUGCAUCUUUAAAUAAAAGGAUACAUUUUUAUUACAUAUGUCACUGUUUAAUUAGACAUAUCUUUACAGUCGGACACAUUUUUAGAGCACCAUUUAUAUUGAAAAUAUUCCAGCAUAAAAUAUGUCCCUCUCCUUAUACAAGUAUUUUGCAAAUAAUACAGAGCCACCACGAGUUCAAAAAUAAUAAAACAAUAACAUUGCUCACUUGCUCGACUGGGCUGGAUUGGGCUGAUUGGGCUGGGCCUGCCAUAAGAAUGUGUAAGUACGAAGCUUUGCUUUCAUCAUCGCAUACACGGUGAGGGAAAUUGAAAUUGAUGAGGGCGCUGGCCGCUCAAUUCCUGCUUCGGAUUCCCCAACUCGGAAUAUAAUCUAUACCGUCGUACAAGCAUCGUCGGGACUUAGAAGAAUUACUUAGAAUUGACCGACGAUGAGCUGUUUCGCGAAUGCGAAAUGGACGCGUACAAAUCGUCGGGACCAGGCGGUCAGCACCGCAAUAAGCGCGAAUCCGCCGUACGUCUCAAGCACGUACCUACCGGCGUCAUAGCGCAUGCCGCCGAAGACCGAUCGCAGCACAAGAAUCGCGCGUCAGCUUUGUAGCGCCUCCGCACUCUUUUGGCCCUCAAAGUGUGGCCGUCAGUGCUUGAUGGCUUAUUUUUAAGUAGCUUUAAAGCAUAUUUGGCUCUUUGUUUAUGAAUAAUGUUCAAUAGCAACCUGCUCCAUUGAUAAGAGAAAUGUAUGAUAUAAUUUUUCAAGAUACCUACCUGCAUUAUGAAUUGUUAUUGGAAGGAAGUACGACAAUAAAUUAAGAGCAAAGACUGAUUUAAAGAUGUAUCUUCAUUAUUACAUGAAAUGUAUGUUCUGCUUCUCAUUCACUUUACCAGAAUUACAAAAGUUUUAUGUUAUUGAUGGUUGGAUUGUUUCUGGGUUAUCCUUGUUAUUAUUUUUUUUGUUUUAAUUGCUUUAGAUACAUUUGAAACAUGAAAAUUUUAAAAAACUUUCCGAUUUGUGCAGGGUAUGAAGCCUCUUAAGUAGGACUUCUUUGGUGCUACUAUUGUGUUCGGCAAAUAUUUUCUUCUUUUAUUUUUCUUUUUUCAGUCACCAUAAUGGGGGUCAUGGUGAAACAACUUACUAAUCACUCUGGACAGGAAUGGGCUUCUAUAAGUAAAGCACACUUAUUUCACUCUUUCCUUAGUACUCACCUAAAGGGGUUAUGGUUGCGACAUGCCUGGAUGGAAACAACCAAUUGUAUCCGUUAGCCAUUGAGGUUAUGGAUUCGGAAAACAAUGAUGCUUAGGAAUGGUUUAUGACGAAAUUACAUGGAGUAAUUGGUGAUACGCCGGAGUUGGUAUUUAUCUCAGACCGAUGCACCGCGAUCAAGAGAGCCGUUUUAAAAGUAUUUCGCUCAGCUGCCCAUGGCAUUUGUUUUUACCAUGUCAAAGACAAUGUUAAGUCAAAAUUCAAGAUGUCGAACUUUAGGUACAACUUUUCCUUUCCUUUUGAAGGCCCACUCCACUGGCAUAGAGAGUAAAAAGAGUUUCUUAUAAAUAAUUUUAGGAGGAUGCUUCUGCCACGACAAGUAAUACCAUAAACAAAUGAUUUCACCACAUUUCAAGAAAGCAUUUAACUUAUGCCUCAUUUUCAUUCUAGCAAUUUGCUUGCCAUUGGCUGAUUGGAAAAAGUGCAUUUAAGUGAUAGAUUACUGUCAACCUAUAGCACGAAUAGGGGUUAAACAAAGUAAAUCCCUAUCUUUACAUGUCAAAUAACAGACUUUCAUAAUAUCAAAUAUCAAAACUCAUGUCUAGUAAAGGAUUCCCCAAUGCUGGCUCUCAAAAUUGCUUUUGUUUCAUGGAUGAGAUGAUCGUUUUUGUGGAUAUUCUGCUCAACUUGGAUUAUGACUUGACUAAAUCUUAGUUGAUUUGCUUUUCCAAACUAAAUCCAAGCAAGUAAGUACAAGAGAUAAAAGCAAAAGUUCAAACAUCUCAUUUGAGCCUGUCACUAACAAAUGGUCAACGAGCAAUGUCUAGCUAUGACUGAGCAACAGAAUCAAUAAACAGACAGACAAAAAAUAAUAAUCAAGUCAUCUGUCAAAUGCUAGUCCAUGAAAAUCAUAUAUAUAUAUAUAUAUAUAUAUAUAUAUAUGUAUGUAUAUGUAUAUGUAUAUGUAUAUGUAUAUGUAUAUGUAUGAUCAUUCAUUUCUCAAUCAACCACCAAAUUGAUGUCAACCAAGCCAGGAGGAUUGUCUCACAAGUCUUUCAAUUUCCCUCUCUUUAGGCCAGAGACCAGUAAACCAUUUGAAAUAUGGAUGUGCAAACCAGUAAAUAAAUCAUGAAGUUACACACUAGUCUGCUUUCGCACUCAUUCAGAACUAUCAAUGAUACUUACUGCAGCGCAGGUACGGUGUAUACAUUAUACUAAAGUGAAGGCUGGAUCAAUAAGAAAUUCAAAAUGUUUCAUCACAUUUGGGGCUUGAUGAUGCCAAAAAAAGACCAUACCAAUUAUGAUGAACAGUAAAAUGUGAACAAGAACAAGCAUACAUUUAAGAAAGCAGAGAAGCAUCAUUAAAAUAAAGUAUUCUUCUUACUAUUCUAUGUUGUUGGAAAAUGGACCAAAAUAAAAAAGAAACCAUGUAUGGUUAACGUCACAACAAGAGUAUUUGUGCAUUUGUACAUCAUAGGAUAUUGGGAAGACAUCAGUAGGGAAGUGCAAAUUUUUUUUUUUUUUUUUGAGGAAAGGAUCAGAGAAGUGCAAGUCAAAAAGGAGAAAAAAUGAAAACAGAGAGAUCAAAAGGAAUGCGAUCUAAUUAAUCGUCUAAGGAGACUACUAUGCUACAUUUAGCCAUUGGUUGAAUAGGCAGCUUGUUUUCUAGUACAACUUUAAAUUUUCCAAGAUUUAGAAUUUUCCUACUGAAGAAAACUAAUUUCUCAAGCUUCUAUUACCAUCUUCAUCCCAACGGUAAGCAGCUCCAUCCACAGCAAUCACUGGCCUCAUGCACUGCAUGAAACCCUUGAUAGAAGAGCCAAUAGCUACAAAAUAGUAUAAGAAAUUAUCAUUUCCAUCUCGCUGCAGGUGAGUAACUGUACCUUCAUUUGCUUUGGUCAAAACAUGAGAGUAUUUAGAAAGUAAGUUAUAUGACUCUGCAGGGUUGCCUCUAACUAUUUCAAGGCCAACUUCUUUGGCCCGAUAUGCUUGCUGAUAUGUUAAUUGGACACCGUAUUCAUGUUGGAUGUCUGCUCUGAUAUCAUUUGGAGUAUAUAUUCGUUUUUCUUGGAUGAACUUGUCCGCAAUAAUAUGACCAACAACCCGACUCCUUACUUGACGAACACCACCAGCCAAUACCUCAUUACAACAAGUGUGUACGUUGUCAACUCUUCUCACUAACCACGGAACAUUCUGCAUAUAGCCUAAUUAUUACACAUGAUAUUUUGCUGCUGCCAUACUACUUACAUGCGAGUGCUGAUUUUUAAACAGAAAUAUUAAACAGAGCACUGACAGAAACAGAGUUAACACCCGACCGGGUUACCGUGUUAAUUGAAAACAAUUAAUUAACAGGACAAAAACACGAUAAAUCUGGUGGUUUUGUAGUUAAUUCUGCCUGCCCUCUGUCAAUUUCUUUAGUAUUUUUCCUCAUAUAUUUGACAUAUUGACCUAUCUGUGGCUGGAAAGAAAAAUGAUUUAAGUAAACUUUCCAAAAUGUUUUAUCAUUAUUUUAUUUCUGAAUAUCAGCAGUGCAUCAUUUUGAAAAUGUAACUGUGGGGUUUCAGGAUCCUCUCGAGCCAGUUUUGUUGUUCACAAAACCCCUUGUGCCAGAAAAAUUGGACGCUGCAGGUAUUGUUCCGCCGUCAGAUUCUUCUACGAGGAAUGGCACUAUAGCACGAACUCACAAAUUUCAUGGAAGAAUUGGCCGAGGGGGGCGGAUAGUAUUUGAUAGAUGUAAUCCUCUUAUGCACUCCUCAACUGAUAGUGGCACGUCUUUUUACUUGCCACCAAAACCCCGCACAUCUAUGUACAGUUAAAUUGAAUACUCGUUUUGUUUAAGCUCCAGCAUUAUUCGUUAGGGAGCCAAGUGUAAUUAUGCUCCGGCUGAUAUUUAUGUAGUUAAAUUGAAUACUUCCAUUGUCCCAGCUCCAGCAAUUAUUUGUUUGGGAAGUCAAGUGUAAUUAUGCCGAGGGCAAGCAAAAUACUAGGCUUGAUGAAUCUUUUCAGGCUUGGUCACAGGUAUUUCAUGACGUGCAUCUUGCCUUAUUCUUUUUAAAGAAAUGACCUUGCCCUUAUUUUCCUUUCAAGUUUAAACUUAAUGAGCUUUUAUUACAUCCUUUAUUGUUGAAAUGCUUGUGCUAAUCAUAGUAUUUUCAAAAUUUUCAGCCCAGUUGAUUAUAAAUUUUGUGUGAAUGUUACAAGAUAAAACUUACCUUUAAAAUGUUAACGAACCUGUAGGAUUGGACUUCUCUUUAAGACCUUGAAUUAAGUGGAGGGUGUUUCGGGGUUAAUAAACCAGGAACUAUGCAUAUACUUGGCCAAUAAGGAAUCCUACUAGUACAGAAUAAGGUUGUACAAGACAGUUAAAUAGAUGACGCAAUGGAGACGUCUCUGUAUCGACUCAAUUCAAACUAAUUGUACAACUUCAUUUCUGAAGGAGUCACCAUUUUUAGUCCCAUUUGGAGAAUGUGUACGUCUGGUGUUAAUGCUUAUAAUGAAAAUGAUGCACUAUGAUGCACUCAGGUUCUUUGUCCUCUCUUCUCUUCUGGUUACUCCAACACUCUUUCUUGACGUGCCCUUUCUUGCCACAGUUGUAGCAUUUAACAUUCUUCUUACUUCUGGAUUUUGAUCUACCCUGAUUUUGACUCCCACUGGGGCCACGUUCCGUUGAUCUCCCUCUCGUCACCGAUAGCGCUUCUGCUUGCUGCGAACUUGCUUGUCUAUUUUCCUUAUUUUUCCGCCUGCUCUCCUCAUUUAAUACGGAGGCUGCAACAUCGUCGAAAACUAGACUCUCCACUGGAUUGUUGUUCGUCAAGUUGAUGAUGAGUUGAUCAUACGAAUCUGGUAGACUUUGAAGUAGAAGCUCUGCACGUUCAUUUUCCUCUAUAUUAUGACCCAACGUUGUGAGUUGUGAAAAUAGAGUCUUCAAGGUGUUGAUGUGGUCGGUCACCAUUGUAGAUUCCGCCAUUCGAAGAGUAUAAAGUCUCCUCUUUAAGAAGAUUUUAUUGUGUAGUGACUUGGCCUCGUACAAUUUUGUAAGAGUAUCCCAUAUUUCCUUCGCUGUGUUUUUCUCUGCCACACUAGAUAAUACUCCAUCUGCAAGUGCCAAGUGUAGAUCAGAAAUGGCGUUGCCGUCUACCUCGUUCCACUUGUCAUCAGUUAUCUCCAUGGGCCUUUCUCCAAUUGUUGCCAAGCAAUUAUUUUUCCUCAAUACAGCUUUCAUCUUCAUUUUCCACAACGAAAAAUUAUUUCCGUUAAAUUUCUCAAUUUCAUACUUUGCCGCCAUUUUGUUGAUAAAUACUGCACACAAGCUAGUAUACCACCUUGAAUAGUUGUGAGUAUGUGUGAGAAUGCACACCAGGAAAGUUCCCAGGAAAGACUGGAGGGGUCACAAUGGUCCCACUUAAAACCCAGACUCCUUAAGCUCUUAUCGCCUUUGUGACAGAACUUUCCUAGACAUGUACAGAACCACACAGUUGCUUUACUCACACCAUUAUUCCCUGCUUUGCACCGCAAAAUUCUUGGAUUGCUUCCACCGUUUCACGUGAAUAGUACCGUAUACGUGAAUAGUGAUGUAUACCGUAUACGUGAAUAGUAUCGUAUACUGUAUACGUAAAUAGUGCCGUAUGCCGUAUACGUGAAUAGUGCCGUACGCCGUAUACGUGAAUAGUGUCGUAUGCCGUAUAUGUGAAUAGUGCCGUAAACCGUAUACGUGAAUAGUGUCGUAUGCCGUAUACGUGAAUAGUGCCAUACGCCGUAUACGUGAAUACGUGAACAAUUCCUGACUCCAAAAAUACAACCAAUGGCUCUGAUACCACUGUUAGGAAAUUGGUGGGUGAAGCAGACACGCAGCUAAAGUAAAAUUGGUAGAAAAAUAAAGAACGAGCACAAUAGAGGACACCAGAAAAUUACGUGGUUCGGCUUUUAGCCUAUGUCCACGGGCGAAGACAGAAGGAAAUAUUUUACUAGUGAAAAGGAGUUACAAGUAUUGUAGUAUUUUAGCUCACUUCCCAAAACCCCAAUACACCCAAACUCUCUCAAUCACUGUAACAAGAGCUUAUAAAUGCAAGCUCUCUAAAUUCUCUCUCAACUUCCUAAAUUGCUCUCUGAAAUGGAAUUAAAAGUACUCUUCAUCUGUACUUCUAUUUAUAGCAAACUAGUGGCCAAGAAAAUCAAAGCCGUGUUCACCAAAUUCUUCAUCAAAAACCGUGUGCAGCAAAUUCAAUCUUCAAACUUUGAACAACUUGUUGUUGACCAUCUAGAUGGCUGCUUCAAACCAUCUAGAUGGCUGGCUGCUUUUGACAUAUGUUUGGUGUUUUUCAAUUUAAAAUUGUGUCUAAUAGUGUAUUUUCAGAAUUGGACUAUAAAAAUAGAAAUAGAGAAAAUGAUAUAAAAUUAAGGUAAUAUAGGACGAAAAAGUAUGGACAAGGAAGCAGUAAUAUUUGGUGUUUUUCAUUUUUUUCAAUAAAAAAAUGAAAACAAAAUUUUCAAUAUCUAUUCAUCAUUUUUUGGGAAAAAAAAAAGAAGCUUAAAGAAUAAAUGAAAGGGCGUUUUAAAACAAAAAUGUGAUUGGUGUUUGAAUAAUGACCCUCUCGGUUAGGCAAAACAGUCACAUAAUCAUUUUUUUUUAAAACACAAACCUUUUGGUUCAGAAAUAAUCACACAAAUCUCAAUCUUUUAGCUAAAAAAGAGUUUGUGUAUCUCAAAAGAGACAUGUGUGACAUUUUCUAAAAACAAAAUAUCUUUAUAGUUAUUUUGCCAAAUCACGUGGUGCCUUUAGAAAUAGGAUAGAUUUUAAUUUGCCCCCAAUUUAAAAUGAAAAUCUUUAAUUUAUCACCCAAAAGUAUAAAAAUAUCAAGUUACCCCAUUUAUUGUUAAGAGGAUUAAAACAAAAAAACCAUCAACACAUUCCUUAUUUGCCCCUCAUCUUUUGGACGGAAAUGAAGAAUAAAUUGAGGUUUACAUUGAGAGCAAAUUAGAGAUUAUCAUUUUAUUUGGGAAUGAAUUAAACUUUAUCCUUAGAAAUAAAAAAUUCAAGAGAAGUACAUCAAAAAAGGUAAUAUAGUUUUCACUUUUUAUGGAGUAUUUGGGUAAGGGUAUUUGCACCCCACUAUUUUUGUAAAUCCACCCUACUUCUAGAAACUAAUUGCAAUGAAUUCACAAUAUUUUUUUAAAAAAUACAAAUUAAUAAAAAUUUUGUAUAGUUAAUCAGUUAAAUCCUUCUAUUAAUUUUUUUCUUGGGUUUUUUGACCAUCUUUAAUCAUAAAAUUUUAAUACAAGUUUUAUUUUAGUAUUUUAUUAUUAUGAUAUAUAGCGACUAAAUUACCAUAAUAAACAUGAGUUAUUUUAAAAUAAAAUGUUGGAGAAAUAUUCAAGGGUAAUAAUAAUUGUGGAAAGAGUGGGACUAUUAGCAGCCCUCUAUAUACCUCUUGAGCCCUGCUUGGAUAGUUACAAUUAUAGAUUAAAUUAAAAUUAUGAUAAUGGACAAACAAGUAGAUAGUCUGAUUGGAUGUGGAAUGAUUUCAUUUGAAUUUCUCUAAAGUUUAAACCAACUUACAUUUUUUCCACAUUGAAAGAGGAAUAGGUGGAAAGGUUAAAAUUGUAAAAGAAUAUUAUAACAGUUUCGAAGAAGAAAUCUUUAUGACGCAUUUUUAACUUGGUGAAAAUUUUCAAUCCCAAGAACUUUAAGCAUACGAAAGAGUGGAUUCUCUCAUUUCCGCCAUUUGUGAGGAUGAUAGUAACGAAGAGAGAACUCACAGAUUUAGUAGUGACGAAGCGAGCAACAGCAGCAGGAGAGAGAUAACAGCAGCACGGAGGAAGAUCAACAGCAGUGAAAGAGACAGAGCAGCAGCACCAGAGUGGUGAAGAAGAGAGAAUAGCAACACGUGCCAAAGAUGGAGAAAAAGAGCGAUUAGAUCUAUGAUAAGGGAGAGUGAAUGGGAAGAUCGCGAUAAGAUUUUAGGCGAGAGAAAUAGCGGUCACGGAUAAGCCUUGGAUUCUCUAUUUUUUGAUUUAUUUUAGCUUUAUAUUUGUAAUUCAUUGAGAAUAAGUUAUACACGUUCUCAAAUUUAUAACUAUAAAAGAAGAUAUGAAUUAUUUGUUUUACAAUUUGUUUUUUGAAUUUCGGCCAUCAAUCGCGCAUUAACUUAGAUUUAUAAAAGGAAAAUGAAAACAGGGCCCAUAAAUAUUACCGAACAUGCCCUAAUAUUCUCCACUAAUGUGCCAUUUUAACCUCCUACAAAAGAGCUCCCAACGGCGUGGUUGGGUUAGUUGCAGUGAAGUUAUAUCCUCUACCAAAACUCGGGUUCGAUUUUUGGGGUUGGUAAGGAGGGUAAAAAUUGUAUUUGGGCUUGCCCACCCCCCGUACCUUUAAAAAAAGUUUAAAAAAAAAAACCUCUUACAAAAGCGGCUACUCAGAAUUCAUAAUUGACCUCAGAACUGCAGAUCAUACGAGAACCCACCAAUAAUGAAUAGGCGCUUAAUGCAUUUGUUUCGAUUGUGAUAGGCCUACUAGGGCCGAACCUAGUGCAAUCGAUGCCAAAAAAUGUCUAUAUAUACCUAUACUAGUUUUAUGGGGUGUUGAGGAUCCAUUCACCCUCUUUGAUGGACCUGCUGGUUAAUACUCCUCAUUUCUACCUUCUUAACUCUCAAAUGUGCAAGUUAAUUGUAUUGGAAGGAGUGGGACAUCAUCCCCAUGACGACAGACCCAAGGAGAUCCAUGAAAAGCUGCUUUCUCGGUUGGCUGAAACAUUUAAGUGCUGAGGAAUUUACUUUCUCAUCUGCAAGUUUUGAUGAGCAUUAUUUAUUAUUCCUAAUGUAAAAUGACAAACAACUCUUGUAUUUAUAGUGUUAUAUUUUUUUUUAUUCAACCGCUUGAAUAUCUUUUGGCAUCGAAAGAAUGUAGGAGAAACUGAUCCCUGACAAGUUGUAAAAGCUCCAAAUUGAUUCAAGAAAUGUACCAAAUUAUUCAAUAAAAAGUCAAAUUCAGCACAAUAAUAAAGAACAAAUUAAUCUAUAUUGCUCAUGUUAAUGAUAUGUGAAUGAUAAGAUUCAAUUUUUCAUAUGAAAAAGAUACAAUAAUCUAAAUAGAAAUAAAGGUUCAUGGGCAUCUUUAACCUUUCCUUACAAGCUAGUUUUUUAAAGGUAAAUUCUACCCAUAGAUGAUACCACGUCAACUAUGGAAUCAAAUGAAACAUUUCGAAUAUGGAAUUGGUAUAAAUACUUGAAAGAGUGGAUACAUGUUUGUUGAUACAUAAAUCUAGUUGAGCUAUGUAGCGACCAGACAACCAGGCCAACACUUAAAUUUGUUGUUAUUGGAGAGACGGUUCUAUGCUAUUUCCUCACUAUCGAAUAAGUUCUUGCGACCUCAAGUACUUCCUUCAAGAACACCUACGUUUAUAACAUCUAGUUAGAGGAUGCCUGAGGUUUUUCCGGCGUGAACCCUCCGACGCUUAAGUGGGCGAUCUGGGUCUACUUGAAAAAACUCGUGACAUGAUUCACGUGACUUAAUUACAACUACUCUGAAUGAAAAAAAGGUUUAAUUUCAUAAAAAAGGAAAAAUAGAGAAGAUAAAAUUGUGAAUAGAGAGAGUAUGAAAAAAUUAAGUAAAAAAUUAUCUAAACCCCUUACCUCUAUUCUCUAAAGCUUUAAUAUCCAACCAAAAUUAUCGGCCUCCUCUCUCCCCCAACACCGUUGCUGGGUUGGUCACAUAACUGUGGGAGAGUAGGUAGCGUAACUGCUAGUGAGUGGGCUUCAUGCUCGAAUUCUUUGGAGGAAACCCAUGGGUUGACCUUUAACCAAGUCGUCGAUUUGACUUAACUCUAGUCUCUCCUCGUGCUUCCUCGAGCCGACUUUGCUCAUGUGACCAGCCACACACCUCAUCGGGGAUAAUCUUUCUCGAUGAGUCAUUUUAGGCCGAGGGGAGCACAUUUUGCUCAUGUGUGCCUGAUCAUGAUGUUUUUCACCCCAAAAUAGAUGUUUAAGCAAACUGAUUCAUAGAAAAAUUGAGUUGGUGAAAAUGACAUCUAUCAUGUUCUUUUUUUUAAAAUCAAUAUACAAAUAUGUUUUUUAAAAUAUAUAAGAUUUAACGGAGUUUAACUGUUCCCUCUUUAUUGCUUUUGCUUCCACAUGAUAAAACUUUCCCAUAUACAACAAUUUAGAUUUAACAAAAUAUAAAAUUUUCAAAUGUGAUUGCGUUAUAUACAUGAGAGUUGAUGUAGUGCGCAACGGGAUGAGUGGCAUGUGUUCAUUGGUUGAGAUAUGGGCCAACAACAUACUCUGUAAGAACUCGUUGCGCGUCCUGUAAUAUUCCAUGCCGCUGGCAAAUGAGUUUUUUCACUAGUUUAUAAUUCACAUGCUCACCUAAGUAGAUGUGUUUUGGGUUGCAAAGUCCAAUAACAAAUCGUUGUGGGUGGUGUGUGCAGAGCCAGAAAGAAGGCCAAUAGUUUUAAUUUUACAAUAUACAUCAUGUGCUUUUCAUACAUUAUACUCUUCACCUAAUAAGGUAAAGUUCAAUACUCUAGUGUGAAUUUGAAAGAAAGUUAAAAGCUGUUUGUUUCAAGAGAAAAUUUACAGAGGAAAAUUAAAGUUCUUAUUUCUUUUACUCUUUUUCCAUUACUUAACAACUGAACAUAUACAGCUUAUAUACUCGAAGAUAUUUACAUACACAUGCUAAAGGAACUAGUAACAAACAUUAACAACUUAUGCUGACUUAUUAAUUCCCGUAACUAAUUCUGCUGAUCUGGCACUGAUGAGCUGGCACAAUUAACUUGCUUCACUAACUAAGACUGAGAACUUCUUUGCCUUCCUGUUCUUCAUAAACGCAGCACAAUGAGCUUCCCUAAUAGAAUUUGCGUUACAUGCACCAGAUCCGUCGAAAGUUAUAACAUGAAUGUUUUGUUCCAAGAACUGAUUUUGGCACUUUCUUCUAUUAUUAAUAGUGAUUUGAAAAAGGAAAACAAUAAAAAUACAUUCAUGAAAAUCUCAGUCUUCUUCGUUAUAGUUGAAACAUCUGCUUGGGUCUUCCAUUGAAUUCGUAGAGUCUGCAAUGCCAAAAAAUUGGAUCCCACAUUUUUUCACUCCGCAACACUCACACUCCAAAGGUGGAAAAACAUUAAAGUGGAUUGUCUCAGGAAAGCAAUUGCAUUUCCAAAAACCAUUAAAAUCCUCUUCAUAGAACAAAUAGUAUCCCAAAUGUAAGUGAUCUGAUUCUAAAUAAUUAACUCUUCUUUGAAAUAACAGUGUGUCAUGCGGAUCACAAUCUUUGGUGGUUUCCACUUUGAGCUCACAAGAAAAUGAAAACCAUCUACCAUAAUCUACAUGACGGCCUGAAAAUCCUAAAAUAGCACCAAAUGCAAAGCCCAGUACUCUGUUGUUAUUGAAGAAAUCUGGGGGCAUCUCUAACGUUAUAAAAGAUCCCACACUUUGAAAAUUAAACCACCUUGGAAUUUCAUUCCCAGCUAGUACGUAAUGGCCUUCCUUGGGAAAACCUCUCUAUACCAAAAGAUCAAAAUUUUAAACCCAAAAAAAAGGUAUAAAUUGUAAGGAGAAAGAAUUAAGACACACCUUUUCCCGUACUUCUUUCCAAUGGGCAGGUACCACAUGGCCCAUAUAUUGAAUUCUCAUGUCAUCUUCAAUAAUUCCUGCAGUAGUAUUACCUUGCAAUUAAAAAUUAUUGCUCUAGUAAAAAAACAUUGCCUAUAAGAUUCAGAACUUAGAGAAUAAACCUGUUAAUGAUUGUGGUGCCGAGUAAUGAUCGGCAUCUAACCAUCGUACAAGGAAUAGAGGCUUUGGUAAGGAUUGAAGCCCCUCACAAUAAUCGAAGAGGAUGUAUCGCAACAUAAAUUGUUGGAUAAUGCUUUCUGGUAUUCUCUCAAUAUUGGUUUUCAAUAGAUUCACUACUAAUGGCGACGAUAACUGGCCAAGCCAUUCGGGCAAUCUCUGAAGAUUUGAGCAACCACGGAGACUAAGAAGUUCAAGAGACUUCAACUUACAGAGGCUGCUUGGGAGACUCUUAAGCCUUUUACAAUCCGAAAGGUCUAACAACCAAAGCCUAAGUAGAAGCUCAAAUGAUGAGGGCAGUUCUUCAAUUGCAGUUCCACUUAAAAAUAGCCGGCCUAUGUUACCAGAUGAGAUCUCUGGAAGCCUCUUCAACUUUGAACAACCCGAAAGAUCAAGUUCGGUAAGAAAUUCCAAAUUAAACAUUCCAGCUGGAAGACUUUUCAGGGUUUUGCUACCGCUUAGAUUCAAGAUAACUAGCUUGUUCAGAUGUGGAAUCAACGUGGGGUUUAGAGUUUUGGGAAUUAGCUUCUUGCAGGCAGCAUGGAUUAGCUGGUUUAACUUACUAUAAUGCUGCUCGGUCAAAAAAGAGGCAAAGAUAAAAUCAUUAUUAUGCAUGAUAAUUUAAUGUUCUUAUUGAAAUAUUGCACAUAUAUAUUAAGAUAAACAUACCUUCACACCAUUCCAAAGUUGUUCAAUGUCGCUAUUAGGCACUUCAAGAAACACAAGCUUCUCUGCACUAUGGUUUGAAGGCAAUGACUUCAACGGAUAUCCAUGCCAGUGAAGAUAUUUCACUUCAGCAAAUCUGAGGUCUUGCAAAUGAGACACCUUGCAUUUGUUCUCCCCAUUGAAUGAUGAACUAUAGAAUUUUAAAAAUCUCAAUUUACGCAUCUUUGCGAAAGUAAUGGGAUUUAGAUGGAUCUCUUUUACUUUUGCCAUAUCCAAACAGAUGCCCUCAAUUUUUUCUGUCCCCUAAAAAUAAAUAGAAAAAUCAAUAAAGUUAACAUCAAAUGAAAAAUGAUAUUUAUAUUCCACUAGUGAUUAACACUUCAGCUCCACCAAGACAAAUUUUUGGGGCAAGUUUGUCACUCAUUCACAAUUAAAGGUAGCUUAGUUAUUAAUUCAACUUUAAUUUGUCCUUGUGUGGAGUUUAUGUCAGAUUGGAGUGGGGUUCUCCAUCAUUACUCAAAUUAAAUUUCAAUAAUUCAUGUUUAUUGUUAUUGCUAGGCAGUUAAACUCUUAAUUGCAAAUGCACAAAGAAACAUAAUAGUACAAGUAAUACUUAACAUAAAAAUUCUGUAUGUGUACUAUACAAAUUUAUAUAUCAAUUAUGCUUGAAAACGGUUAUGCAAGUUGUCAACCGCAUUUAUAAUUUAUUGCUACAUCACCUAACCACUAUUGUUUUUUCCGAUCAUUGUGACUCUUGUAUUAAUUCUAAGACUCAUUUGUUCGAGCGUAAAUAAAUAUAUUCACAUCAAGUUUUGAAACACUACAAUAUUCCAAAAUAAUAAUCCACAACAAGCUGCUUACCGUAUUAUACGUAAGAACUUCAUAGAUAUCCUCAUGAUGCCACAAUCUACUGCGGUUUUCAGGAUUAAUUGAUUCUUGUCGAACAAUUUCCCUACCCAAUUCUUGUAGUAAAUCAUGCAUUGUUAUCUUUUUGUGUGAAUCAAUAGCGAUGAGAGACUUAUCAACAAGAACACUUAUUCCUAUUUCUGGGUAGAAGCCGCUUGCAUUAAAGAAUUUCAUUAUAGGAUUUACAUGCUCACCUCGAAAGAAACAAGCAACAUCAAGGAAAAUACUUUUCUCUUUAUCGUCCAAAUCAUCAUAACUUAUUUUUAAUACCUCUAGAAUACUUGGAUGGAGGAUUCUUUGCAAUUUAUCUAUUGCGCUUUCCCAGACUUCUUUUUCCCUUUUAUGUAGAAAGCAACCCAAAACUUUAAGAGCUAAAGGAACACCUUGUGCAUAUUUCAUUACUUUGCUUGAAAAAUCCUCAUAACCAACAUCAGGAUGGUUUUGUUUGAAGGCAUGUCGACUAAAAAGCUCAAGAGCGUGAUGAUAUUCUAAUGCCUGCAUCUCAUAAAUUUUCCUCACCCCCCAAUUUCGAAGCACUUGUUUAUUUCUGGUGGUUAUUAUAAUUCGACUCCCAGGCGUCAACCAAUCAAGACUUCCGAUUAAGGAUUCUAAUUGGUUGAAGAAAGUCACAUCAUCAAAAACAAUCAGAACCUUCAUACGGCUGAGCCUUCUAAAAUUGAGGUCAAUAUAAGGCAUCACAUCUUUAUCCUUCAAUAAAUUUGAAAGAAGUUUUUGUCGUAAGCAAGCUAAUCCUCCUGGUCUUUGUGACUCUUCUCUAACAUUUUCGAGGAAGCAAGAACCUUCAAAAUCACCCGAGAUUUUGUCGAAAAUAGCUCUAGCAAUUGCUGUUUUGCCUAUACCACCAAUGCCCCAAAUCCCUAAAGCAUAAACAUCUUUCGACUCAACACCUAAUAGGGAUUCAAUUUCCUCAACUGUUGAUUCCACUCCAACCAGCUGGUUUUUGUUAUCACGGGGCUGAAACACUUCAUCCAAUCUCUUCAAAAUGUGAUUAACAACUUCAUUUGUAAGUUCCGACUCACACCUAGCAAAUACAUAAAAUUAGCCAAAGUAACUUCAAAUUAAUACGAGGAAUUUGCAUUAAGUAUGAAGUAAGGGAGAUUGUCAGUUUUCUUAUUGAAAUUAAUAUAUACCACCACUAGUCUACAAUCUCCCAGUAAAUUAAUAACUCUUAAAUUACAGGAAUAUGUGUGAGUUUUUUUUUUUUUUGGAAAAAUUAUCACUGCACUACCUCUCUUUUGUCUUAUAUUCAUCCAACCACCACAAAAUUAUAACAUAUUCUUUACACCACCUUUUUUUUUUAAAUUUAUAUCAAUUAGCCACUUUUGCACUAACACCGUUAAAUAAUUUAAACAAAAUGAUAAAUUUACCUCUAAAUAAACUAAAAGAUCAUUUUAUUUUAUAAAAGCUUGGAAAAAUAAAAAAAAAUUAUAAUUAAAAAAAUACCCCUAAAUUUAAUAAAAAAAAUCUCAAAUAGAGGUGCUCAGCUAAUUUUAAUUAAAUUUAGAUUUUAUAAAAUUUUAAUAAUUAUGUUUUAUUAAAAAUUAUAAUUUUGUAAUAUUUUAAUAAAAAUAACUGAAUUUAUUAUUAAAAAAUUAUAAUUUUGUAAAAUUUAAUUAAAAUAACUGAAUUUAUUUAUUAAAAAAUAAAUCCUAAAAUUUUAAUAAUUUAGGGGAUUUUUAUUAAAUCCCAAAAUUUUGUAAUUAUUUUUAUCAUUUUAAUUUUUUAUUAAAAUAAUUUUUAUUAUAAUAUUGGGAUUUAUUUUUUAAUUAAAUUUAGGGAUAUUUUUAUAAUUAUAAUUUUUUUAUUUUCUUAGUUUUUACAAAAUAAAAAUGGUCUUUUAAUUUAUUUAAUGGUAAAAUUUUCAUUUCAUUUAAAUUAUUUCAUGGUGUUAGUGCAAUAGUGACUUAUUGAUACAAUUUUUUUUUUAAAAAUGUGGUGCAAAGAACAUGUUAGAAUUUUGUAGUGAUUGGAUGAACAAUAGGUAAAAGGAAGGUGGUGCAAUGAUAAUUUUUUUUUUUUUUUUUUCCUAAUGGUGGUGUAUGAGUGAGAGGUUGCAAUUGCUUAAAAACCGACAGACCACCACUAAUUUUGUUAGAUGUAUAUUGUAAAAUUCUCGAGCUUUUAUUAUUAAUUCUUUCAAAAUUAUUUUAUAAUUAUGGGAGCACAAAAGUGGGGAAGUCAGGAAGUCUAGAAUUUGAUGCUUAAAAAUUUUUAAAAUUGUAGUUUAGCAUCCGGAAAUUUAACUAAGAGUGCUGCGUGAAUUUUAUUUAUUGUUAAAUAUUAGUAUGAGAAAUUAAAGGUUUAACUUUUCACCUGAUGUUAGGAGAAUGAAAUCCACACAAACUUGCUGCUUCCUCCAAAGCAUUCCUCCAACUCUGCAGCUUCUCAGUAUUCUCCUUUAAUCUUUCUUCAAGCUUCGAAAAUGAAUCUCCAAAACUCCCAGUUUGGUUUCUCACGUCUGAUGGAUCAACCCGAUAGAAAACCGGAAUCACAAUCUGUGCAUACUCCUUCUUGCAGUCGAGGAUCUUUACAAGUUCAUCGAGACACCAUCUGGAAGAUGCAUACCCUUCUGAGAAGACGAUAACUGAAAUGGCUGAUGCUUCAAUUGCAUUCACAAGUGACUCUGAAAUUUCAUCUCCUCUGUUAAGUUGGUCAUCAAUGAAAGUUUGGAUAUUUUGUCGACACAGAGCAGAAUAGAGAUGGCUAGUAAAGUUGUCGCGGGUGUCCUCUCCUCCGAAACUAACAAAAACAUCAUACUUCUUGUUGUUUCGAGAAGAAGAAGCCAUAAUCAACAGAAACAGUUGAAUUGAUUAGAGAGAGAUUUUGAUUCGGAUGAAAACAAUUAUUGAACCAAAUGUGAGCGACUCUGUAGAAUAAAUCGAUGCCAUGAACCUUCCUUCAAGUUCCUUGAUAAUUUUUCAAUUUCGUCUCAUUGUCCAAGUACCGUGCACUCCACGAUGAUUGAUUAAUUCCACUGCUUUGUAGACCUCUAGCUGAAAAUUCCACAUGAACACCAGACUUUUCAACACACGGCUUCUGUGCUUUCAUACUCAUAACUAUCAGCAACGAGGGGCUGAUAUUUUAGUUUUUAUCCUCAAUUUAUCUAAAUUGGCAAGACGCAUUUUAGGGUGUAUAGGCACUCUAAAAACAAAAUCGUGCAGACCUUGUUAAGGCCCAAAGCUACACAAUGUAGGAGAGAAGGCCAAUAAUUUUAAUUUUACAAUACACAUCAUGUGCCUCUCAUACGUUAUACUCUUCAUCUAACAAGGUAAAGUUCAAUACCCCUCGAAAGUUAUUACAUGAAUAUUUUGCUCCAAGUACUGAUUUGGACAUUUUCUCCUAUUAUUAAAAGUGAUUAGAAAAAGGAAAGAAAUAAAAAUACAUUCAUGAAAAUCUCAGUCUUCUUCGUUAUUGUUGAAACAUGUGCUUGGAUCUUCUAUUGAAUUCGUAGAAUCUGGGAAGCAAAAAAAUUGGAUCCCACAUUUUUUCACCCCGCAGCACUCACACUUCAAAGGCGGAAAAACAUUAAAGUGGACUGCCUCAGGAAUGCAUUCGCAUUUCCAAAAACCAUUAAAAUCCUCUUCACAGAACAGAUAGUAGCCCAAAUGUAAGUGAUCUGAUUCUAUAUAAUUAACUCUGCUCUGAAAUAACUGUGUGUCAUGCGAACCACAAUCUUUAGUAGUUUUCACUUUGAGCUCAAAAGAAAAUGAAAACCAUCUUCCACAAUCUACAUGACGGUUUGAAAAUGCUAAAAUAGCACUAAAUGCAAAGCCAUGCACUCUGCUACUAUUGAAGAAAUCUGGUGGCAUCUCCAAGGUUAUAAAAGAUCCCACACUUUGAAACUUAAACCACUUUGGAAUUUCAUUCCCAGGUAGUACUAUAUGAGCUUUGCCCAUGGAAAAACCUCUCUGUACCAAAAAAACAUAAUUUUAAACCCAAAAAAACAAUUGUAGAAAUUUUAAACAAAGAGAGUUAAAGACACACAUUUUCCUGUAUUUGUUGCCAACGGACAGCUAGCUUAUGGUCCAUAUGCGGAAUUCUCUCGGGAUCCACAACAAUUCCUGCAGUAUAAUUGCCUUCCAAUUUAAAAUUAUUGCUCCGGUAAAAAAAAAUUGCCUAUAAGAUUCAUUACUUAGAGAACAAACCUAAAAAUGGUUGCAGUACCAGGCGACGUCGUUCAAGGAAUGGAAGCUUUGGUGAGGAUGGAAACCUUUCACUAUAACUUAAGAAGAGGUAUCGCAACACGAAAAGUUGGGUAAUUCUUUUUGGUAUUCUCUCAAUAUUGGUUUUCGCUAGAUUCAAUAAUAUUGGCGAGGAAAAUUGGCCAAGACAUUCGGGAAAUCUUUGAAGAUUUGAGCAACCACAGAGAGUAAGAACUCCAAGAGAUUUCAACUUACAUAAGCUGCUUGGGAGACUCGUAAGCCUUUUACAAUAUGAAAGGUCCAAGUACUUGAGCCUAAGUAGACGCUCAAUUGAUGAGGGCAGUUCUUCAAUUGCAGUCCCCCUUAAAAAAAACCAGCUUAUAUUACCUGAUGAGAUCUCUGGAAGCCCUUUCAGUUUUGAGCAGCCCGAAAGAUCAAGUUUGGUAAGAAAUUCGAAGUUAAAUAUUCCAGAUGGAAGACUUUUCAGGUUUUUGCUACCUCUUAGAUUCAAGAUAACUAGCUUGUUCAGACGUGGCAUCAACGUGGGAUUUGGAGUUUUGGCAAUUAGCUUAUUGCAGGCAGCAGGGAUUAUCUGGUUUAACUUGCUAUAAUGCUGGUCGGUCAAAAAAGAGGCCAAGACAAAAUCGUUACCACGUAUAAUAAUUUAAUGUUGUUAUUGAAAGAUUGCACAUACAUAAUAAGAUAUGCAUACCUUCACACAAUCCCAAAGUCGUUUAAUGUCACUAUCAGGCACUUCAAGUAACACAAGUUUCUCUGCACUAAGGUUUGAAGGUAAUGACUUCAACGGAUAUCCAUACCAGUGUAGAUAUUUCACUUCACCAAAUCCCGGAUCUUGCAAAUAAGAUAUCUUACAUUUGUUCUCUCCAUUGAAUGACGAACUAUAGAACUUUAAAAAUCUCAAUUUAGGCAUUUUUGUGAAAGUAUUAGGAUUUAGACGGAUCUCUUUUACUUUUGACAUAUCCAAACAGAUGCCCUCAAUUUUUUCUGUCCCCUAAAAAUAAAUAAAAAAAAUAAAGUUAAAAUCAAAUGAAAGAUGAUAUGUAUAUUCCACUAAUGAAUUGCACUUCAACCCCACCAAGAAAAACAAUUUGGGGCAAUUUUGUCACUAAUUUACAAUUAGAGGUAACUUAGUUAUUAAUUCAAUUUUUAUUUAUUCUUGCAUGGAGUUUAUGUGGGAUUGGAGCGGGGCUCUCUGUCAUUACUCGAAUCAAAUUUCAAUAAUUCAUGUUUAUAGUUAUUGCUACGCAGUUAAGAAACAUAAUAACACAAGUAAUAAUUAACAUAAAAAUUCUGCAUGUGUAAUAAUUUUACAUAUCAAUUAUGCUUGCAAACGGUUAUGCAAAUUGUCGUCGCAUUUAUAAUUUAUUGCUACGUCAUCUAACCACUAUUGUUUUUUCUAAUCAUUGCCACUCUUCCAUUAAUUCUAAGACUCACGAGUGCGAGCGUAUGUAAAUAUAUUCACAUGAAGUUUUUAAACACUACAUUGUUCCAAAAUAAUAAUACACAACAAACUACUUACCGUAUUAUACGUAAGAACUUCAUAGAUAUCUUCAUGAUGCCAGAGCCUACUGCGGUUUUCAGGAUUAGUUGAUUCUUGUCGAACAAUUUCCCGACCCAAUUCUUGUAGUAAAUCAUGCACUGUUAUCUUGUUGUAUGAAUCAAUAGCAAUGAGAGAUUUAUCAACAAGAACACUCAUUCCUAUUUCUGGGUAGAAGCCACUUGCAUUAAAAAAUUUCAUUAUUAUAUCUACAUCCUCACCUUGAAAGAAACAAGCAACAUCAAGGAAAAUAUUUUUCUCCUUAUCGUCCAAACUAUCAUAACUUAUUUUUAAUACCUCAAGAAUACUUGGAUGGAGGAUUCUUUGCAAUUUAUCUAUUGCACUUUCCCAGACUUCUUUUUCCCUUUUAUGCAGAAAGCAACCCAAAACUUUAAGAGCUAAAGGAACACCUUGAGCAUAUUUCAUUACUUUGCUUGAAAGUUUCUCAUAACCAACAUCAGGAUGGUUUUGUUUGAAGGCAUGUCGACUAAAAAGCUCAAGAGCGUGAUGAUAUUCUAAUGCCUGCAUCUCAUAAAUUUUCCUCACCCCCCAAUUUCGAAGCACUUGUUUAUUUCUGGUGGUUAUUAUGAUUCGACUCACAGGCGUCAACCAAUCAAGACUUCCAAUUAAAGAUUCUAAUUGGCUGAAGCAAGUCACAUCAUCAAAAACAAUCAAAACCUUCAUGCGGCUGAGCCUUCUAAAAUUGAGGUCAAUAUAAGGCAUCACAUUUUUAUCCUUCAAUAAAUUUGAAAGAAGUUUUUGUCGUAAGCAAGCUAAUCCUCCUGGUCUUUGUGACUCAUCUCUAACAUUUUCGAGGAAGCAAGAACCUUCAAAAUCACCCGAGAUUUUGUCGAAAAUAGCUCUAGCAAUUGCUGUUUUGCCUAAACCACCAAUGCCCCAAAUCCCUAAAGCAUAAACAUCUUUCGACUCAACACCUAAUAGGGAUUCAAUUUUCUCAACUGCUGAUUCUAGUCCAACCAGCUGGUUAUUGUUAUCACCCCGCCGAAACACUUCAUCCAAUCUCUUCAAAAUGUGAUUAACAACUUCAUUUAUAAGUUCCGACUCACGCCUAGCAAAUACAUAAAAUUAGCCGCGGUAACUUCAAAUUAAUUAAUAGGAGGAAUUUGUAUUAAUUAAGGUAGAUUGUUAGUUUUCCUAUUGAAAUUAAUAUAUUCCACUAUAAGUCUACAAUCUUACAAUUAAUUGAUUAACUCUUAAGUUACAGGAAUAUGUGUGAUUUUUUUUUUAAUGGUGGUAUCUGAGUGAGAGGUUGAAAUUGCUUGAAAAACUACAAAGCACCACUAAUUUUGCUAUAUAAAAAUUGUAAAAUUCUCGCGCUUUUAUUAUUAAUUCUGUCAAAAUUAUUUUACAUGAGCACAAAAGUGGGGAAGUCAGGAAGUUUAGAAUUUGAUGCUUAAAAUUUUUAAAAUUGUAGUUUAGCAUCCGGAAAUUUAACUAAGAGCGCUGCGUGAAUUUUAUUUAUUGUUAAAUAUUAGUAUGAGAAAUUAAAGGUUUAACUUUUCACCUGAUGUUAGGAGAAUGAAAUCCACACAAACUUGCUGCUUCCUCCAAAGCAUUCCUCCAACUCUGCAGCUUCUCAGUAUUCUCCUUUAAUCUUUCUUCAAGCUUCGAAAAUGAAUCUCCAAAACUCCCAGUUUGGUUUCUCACGUCUGAUGGAUCAACCCGAUAGAAAACCGGAAUCACAAUCUGUGCAUACUCCUUCUUGCAGUCGAGGAUCUUUACAAGUUCAUCGAGACACCAUCUGGAAGAUGCAUACCCUUCUGAGAAGACGAUAACUGAAAUGGCUGAUGCUUCAAUUGCAUUCACAAGUGACUCUGAAAUUUCAUCUCCUCUGUUAAGUUGGUCAUCAAUGAAAGUUUGGAUAUUUUGUCGACUCAGAGAAGAAUAGAGAUGGCUAGUAAAGUUGUCGCGGGUGUCCUCUCCUCUGAAACUAACAAAAACAUCAUACUUCUUGUUGUUUCGAUAAGAAGAAGCCAUAAUCAACAGAAACAGUUGAAUUGAUUAGAGAGAGAUUUCGAUUCGAAUGAAAACAAUUAUUCAAUUUCAUGAACCUUCCUUCAAGUUCCGUGAUAAUUUUUCAAUUUCAUCUCAUUGUCCAACCACCGUGCACUCCACGAUGAUUGAUUAAUUCAACUGCCUUGUAGACUUUUAGCUGAAAAUUCCACACGAACACCAUACUUUUCAACACACGUGCUUCUGUGCUUUAAUGCUCAUAACUGCCAGCAAUAAGUAGGGUGAUAUUUUAAUUUUUAUCUCUGAAUUUAUCUUAUCCGUCCUCAUCUCUCAAUUAAUUGUAUUUAGUUUCCAAAUUAUUCUUUUUUUUUGUUUUAAUAGCUCUUAUUCAUGUUCCUUAGCGUUUAAAGUCUAAAAAAAAUUAGUUAUUUAUUUUUUAUAACUUAUAUAUGAUUUUUAAAUAUUUAUAUUUAAAUUAAAAAGUAAUUUUUUUUUGUGACCUUUGCCUAAAUGAGAAAAUGUUUCAAUGAAAAAUAAAUACUAUAUUCUAAGAAUAUUUCUAUUCAAUAUUGUUAUUUCCUAAACUAUAUUGUCAUAUGUGGCUAAUUGUCAAAGCAAUAGCAAGCUGUUAGCUUAAAGCAAAGCAUAUUCAUGCUUCACCCAUGAGAAUACAACCAAUUCUAAUGCAUGUAUUGUGACGCACGUGCAAACUAAAAGGAGGCACAUGGGUUAAUUGUCAAAGCAAUAGCAAGCUGUUAGCUUAAAGCAAAGCACGUGCGUGCUUCAUCAAUAGGAUCUGUGAGUGGAUUAUUAUUAUUAUUAUUACUAUUAUAUAUUUCACAAAACAUUUAUGUUUGAUAGUAUGAUUUAGUAUAAUGUUAUGAUUAUAUGUACGUACAUUAUAUGAUUGACUGAGUCAUGAGAUGUAAUUGACAGGCACCAUAUGUGUACAUUUCCUCAUAGGCUCUACGCAUACGUAUUGAGAGUUAAAUUACUCGACCCUUGUGAUAUUGUAAAUUCUACUGAGUAUUGAGAGGUUUUUCUCCCUUUUUUACUCGUGUGAUGAUGAUCCCAGUGAGUAUUGAGAGUUAUUUUCCCUGUAUAUUAUUUGGUGCAAUUUUGUCAUGUGUGUAUAUACGAGUUCAUGUUUGCUUUUGUAAAGCGUUCAGUGUAAAGUUAUGUCAUACAAUUAUGACGAGCACUAAAGCACUAAUUUAUUUUUAUAUAUAAUUAUAUUCAUUCAUUGAGCCGCAAGCUUACUAUUUUCCUAUUUACCCCAUUUCUCUAAGGUUUCCAUAGGAUUUCGUGUAUUUCAAUUUCUGAUCAAUUGAGGUUGGGCCACGACACGCAUUACUGCACGAAUUACAUUUUGACCACGUUUAUAUUUAUAUGUAUAUUUUUGAAGUGUAUGUAUGUUCAGUGAGAUAUGAACUAUGUAAGUUUUUAAUAAAUUUUUGAAUGAGGCACAUAGAUUAUUAUAUGUUUAUAACAAAGGCCAAGGCUAGUGUUAUAUAUUCAUGAAUUAAGUUUAUGUCAUGAGCUUUAGAUAUAAAAUUGCAUGAUUCACCCCAGAUCCAACAGAAGGGUUGAGGUGAUUUGUGUCAUGUAUGAUAUGUACAUAUUUAUAUUCAAUAUAACCACCAUUUGAAUGAUAGUUUUUUAAAAUCAGUGCACAUGUGUCGUAUCAUAACUCACUUGUUGUAUGGCUAACAUGGUACUUCUGAUAUAAUCUAAAAUUUCUUCCUUAGUUAGAGGCAUUUGUUUUAAAAUUUUAUUUAAAAGAAGGUCAUUUUAAAUUUCAAAAUGUAAAGUGUAUUUUCUACAACACUAAAGGAUGAAACAUCCUUCAAUAUAGAUUUCUUAAUAAAUUUUAAGAGAACUAACAGAAAGUGGUUAUUUCAUUCAUGGUUAUUAAAUCAAAAUUUGAAUUAGAUCAUCACUGGUCCAAAAUAAACUAUCGUCAUUUCAAAUUGAAGCAUGAAACCGUGAAUGGAUGCAUCCUUAAAUAAAAGGAUACAUUUUUAUUAUAUAUGACACUGUUUAAUUAGAUAUAUCUUUACAGUCAGGACACAUUUUUAGAGCACCAUUUAUAUUGAAAAUAUUCCAGCAUAAAAUAUGUCUCUCUCCUUAUACGAGUAUUUUGCAAAUAAUUUGCAAAUAAUACAGAGCCACCACGAGUUCAAAAAUAAUAAAACAAUAACAUUGCUCACUUGCUGGACUGGGCUGGACUGGGCUGAUUGGGCUGGGCCUGCUUUCAUCAUCGCAUACACGGUGAGGGAAAUUGAAAUUGAUGAUGGCGUUGGCCGCUCAAUUCCUGCUUCGGAUUCCCCAACUCGGAAGGAAAAAUAUAAACUUUCCGUCGUAUAAGCAUCGCGGGAAUUAUCAGCCAUUGUUGUUGUCUUGCAAUUACAGCACCAAUGACAAUUGUUCUUCAACUUCUUCUUCUUCUUCUUCUUCUUCGAAGAAUUACUUAGAAUUGACGGACGAUGAGAUGUUUCGCGAAUGCUAAAUGGACGCGUACAAAUCGUCGGGACCAGGCGGUCAGCACCGCAAUAAGCGCGAAUCUGCCGUACGUCUCAAGCACGUACCGACCGGCGUCAUAGCACAUGCCGCCGAACACCGAUCGCAGCACAAGAAUCGCGCGUCAGCUUUGUCGCGCCUCCGCACUCUUUUGGCCCUCAAAGUGAGGAGCAGUGUGAAUCUUGAUGCGUAUUCGCCGCCGCCACAGCUUCUUCAAAUCCUUCCUCCUAAGUCUACUAUUAGAAGUUCAGAAGUUGGUCCACAAAUUGGACCUAACAAUCCUAAAUUUGCUUUGGUAUUACUCUAUUCACUCUUGCUUUGUUUUUUUGUUUUCUGUUAAAAUUUAAGUCAUCGUAAUGUUUUUUUUUUUGGUUAACUUCAGGGAAUGCAAGCUCUGCUUGAUCUAAUUUUCGUAGGUUAAGCACUGGAGCAUUGUCACGGUUGAUUCUAUUGGAUGAUUCUCUUCGAAUGGCCGUGAAUGAGUUCAGGACUUCUAAGGUAUGCUAAUUCAUAGCUGAUAGUGUGUAUUACGAUAAGAUUCAACCUGUUGGUUAAUUUAAAAUUGUUAUAUUCUUUCUUAUUUGUGCAACAAAUAUAAUAAGUCUGUUUUUUGUGGUUGAGUGUCUGCGUCAGUGCCUGAUGGCAUUUUUUGUGGUUUAAGUAGCUUUAUAGCAUAUUUGGCUCUCUGUUUAUGAAUAAUGUUCAAUAGCAACCUGCCCCAUUGAUACGAGAAAUGUAUGAUAUAAUUUUUCAAGAUACCUACCUGCAUUAUGAAUUGUUAUUGGAAGGAAGUACGAGAAUAAAUUAAGAGCAAAGACUGAUUAAAAGAUGUAUCUUUCAUUAUUAAGCGAAGUGUAUGUUCUGCUUCUCAUUCACUUUACCAGAAUUACAAAAGUUUUAUGUUAUUGAUGGUUGGAUAGUUUCUGGGUUAUCCUUGUUUUUUUUUUUUGUGUUAAUUGCUUUACAUACAUUAUGUGUGUAAUUUUUUAAUGGACAAUCUUCAUUUGAAACAUGAAAAUUUUAAAAAACUUUCCGAUUUGUGCAGGGUAUGAAGCCUCUUAAGUAGGACUUCUUAGGUGCUACUAUUGUGUUCGGCAAAUAUUUUCUUCUUUUAUUUUUCUUUUUUCAGUCACCAUAAUGGGAGUCAUGGUGAAACAACUUACUAAUCACUCUGGACAGGAAUGGGCUUCUGUAAGUGAAGCACACUUAUUUCACUCUUUCCUUAGUAUGGAGCUGCUUACCGUUGGGAUGAAGAUGGUAAUAGCUGCUUUAGAAAUUAGUUUUCUUCAGUAGGAAAAUUCUAAAUCUUGGAAAAUUUAAAGUUGUACUAGAAAACAAGCUGCCUAUUCAACCAAUGGCUAAAUGUAGCAUAGUAGUCUCCUUAGACGAUUAAUUAGAUUGCAUUCCUUUUGAUCUCUCUCUUUUCAUUUUUUCUCCUUUUUGACUUGCACCUCUCUGUUCCUUUCCCCAAAAAAAAAUUUGCACUUCUCUGCUGAUGUCUUCCCAAUAUCCUAUGAUGCACAAAUGCACAAAUACUCUUGAAAUGUGGUGAAAUGUUUAUGGUAUUACUUGUCGUAGCAGAAGCAUCCUCCUAAAAUUAUUUAUAAGAAACUCUUUUUACUCUCUAUGCCAGUGGAGUGGGCCUUCAAAAGGAAAGGAAAAGUAGUACCUAAAGUUGUGAAAAGGAAGAAUUUGCAAGUCAAAAAUGAAUAUAUUAUGCAUGGCUACAUAAAUUGGUACAUAUAGCUUUUGCACCUAAUCUGAUUAUCUCGAUUCCUGGACCCAGAACUAAUAGCCUAAUUAUUACACAAGAUAUUUUGCUGCUGUCAUACUACUUGCAUAUAUGAAUGCUGAUUUUUAAACGGAAAUAUUUAACAGAGCACUGACAGAAACAGAGGUAACACCCGAGCCGGGUUACCGUGGUAAUUGAAAACAAUCAAUUAACACGAUAAAUCUGGUGGGUUUGUAGUUAAUUCUGCCAGCGCUCUGUUAGCUCCAGUAUUUGACUUAUUGACCUAUCUGUGGUUGAAAGAAAAAUGAUUUAAGUAAACUUUCGAAAAUGUUUUAUCCUUGUUUUAUUUCUGAAUAUCAGCAGUGCAUCAUUUUGAAAAUGUGACUAUGGGGUUUCAGGAUCCUCUCGAGCCAGUUUUGUUGUUCACAAAACCCCUUGUGCCAGAAAAAUUGGAUGCUGCAGGUAUUGUUCCGCCAUCAGAUUCUUCUACGAGGAAUGGCACUAUAGCAAGAACUCACAAAUUUCAUGGAAGAAUUGGUCGAGGGGGGCGGAUAGUAUUUGAUAGAUGUAAUCCUCUUAUGCACUCCUCAACUGAUAGUGCCACGUCUUUUUACUUGCCACCAAAACCCCGCACAUCUAUGUACAGUUAAAUUGUCCGAGCUCGAGCAUUAUUCGUUAGGGAGCCAAGUGUAAUUAUGCUCCGGCUGAUAUUUAUGUAGUUAAAUUGAAUACUUCCAUUGUCCGAGCUCCAGCAAUUAUUUGUUUGGGAAGCCAAGUGUAGUUAUGCCGAGGGCAAGCAAAAUACUGGGCUUGAUGAAUCUUUUGAGGCUUGGUCACAGGUAUUUCAUGCCGUGCAUCAUCUUGCCUUAUUCUUUUUAAAGAAAUGACCUUGCCCUAAUUUUCCUUUCAAGUUUAAACUUAAUGAGCUUUUAUUACAUCCUUUAUUGUUGAAAUGCUUGUGCUAAUCAUAGUAUUUUCAAAAUUUCCGCGCCCCAGUUGAUUAUAAAUUUUGUGUGAAUAUUACAAGAUAAAACUUACCUUUAAAAUGUUAACGAACCUGUAAGAUUGGACUUCUCUUUAAGACCUUGAAUUAAGUGGAGGGUGUUUUGGGGUUAAUAAACCAGCAACUAUGCAUAUACUUGGCCAAUGAGGAAUCCUACUAGUACAGAAUAAGGUUGCACAAGACAGUUGAAUAGAUGACGCAAUGGAGACGUCUCUGUAUCGACUCAAUUCAAACUAAUUGUACAACUUCAUUUCUGAAGGAGUCACCAUUUUUAAUCCCAUUUGGAGAAUGUGUACAUCAGGUGCUAAUGCUUAUAAUGAAAAUGAUGCACUAUGUUUUGUGUUUUUCGAAUUUAAAAAUGUGUCUAAUAGUGUAUUUUCAGAAUUGGACUAUAAAAAUAAAAAUAGAGAAAACGAUAUAAAAUUAAGGUAAUACUGGACGAAAAAGUAUGGCCAAGGAAGCAGUAAUAUUUGGUGCAUUUCAUUUUUUCAAUAAAAAAAUGAAAACAAAAUUUUCAAUAUCUAUUCAUCAUUUUUUGGAAAAAAAAAAAAAAGCUUAAAGAAUAAAUGAAAGGGUGUUUUAAAACAAAAAUGUGAUUGGUGUUUGAAAAAUGACUGUCUCGGUUAGGUAAAACAGUCACAUAAUCAUUUUUUUUUAAAACACAAACCUUUUGGUUCAUAAAUAAUCACACAAAUUCUAAUGUUUUAUCUAAAAGAGAGUCUGUGUAUCUCAAAAGAGACAUGUGUGACAUUUUCUAAAAACAAAAUAUCUUUAUAGUUAUUUUGCCAAAUCACGUGUUGCCUUUAGAAAUAGAAUAGAUUUUAAUUUGCCCAAUUUACAAUAAAAAUCUUUAAUUUAUCACCUAAAAGUAAUUUACCCUAUUUAUUAUUAAGAAGAUUAAAAAAAAGAAAAUUCAUCAAUACAUUCCUUAUUUGCCCCUCGUCUUUUGGACGAAAAUGAAGAAUAAAUUGAGGUUUACAUUGAGAGCAAAUUAGAGAUUAUCAUUUUAUUUGGGAAUGAAUUGAAGUUUAUCCUUAGGAAUAAAAAUUCAAGAGAAGUACACGAAAAAGGUAAUAAUUUUCACUUUUUAUGGAGUAUUUGGAUAAGGGUAUUUUGCACCCCACUAUUUUUAUAAAUCCACCCUAUUUCUAGAAACUAAUUGCAAUGAAUUCACAAUAUUUUUUAAAAAAUACAAAUUAAUAAAAAUUUUGUAUAGUUAAUAAGUUAAAUCCUUCUAUUGAUUUUCUUCAUGAGUUCUUUGACCAUAUUUAAUCAUAAAGUUUAAUACAAAAUUUAUUUUAGUAUUUUAUUAUUAUGAUAUAUAGCGACUAAAUUACCAUAAUAAACAUGAGUUAUUGUAUCUAAUAAUUUAUGUAUCUAAUUUUGUGGCUUAUAAUAUAAUAUUUUUAAAUAAAAUCUAAUUGUGAUUUUCUCUACUUUAAUGUGUAAAUAACAUAAAAUUGACAUCCCAAUAAUUUACAUGAGUAUCAUGCCCUAAAGAUACUACUUUAGUUUAAUUAAAGAUUAAAACUUACACUAGUAAAGUAGUAUUAGAAACAAUGAGUUUGGUAUAAAAUUAGAAAAAUAUUUAAAUUAAAGUAAAUUCUUAAUAGUUUUACCUUAUAAGGGUAAAAUAAUCAAUUUAAACUUAUGACAAAGCAAUCUUUGUAGCUAAAUAUAAUAAAAUAAUCUAAAUCAUAAGAAAGUAAACUAAAAUAAAUCUAGUUAAUUAACUCUACAAAGUUCUUCUUUGUUUGAAAAUUUUAAAACAUAACAUGUAUGUUUUAUAAUUAUUUUUUAAAAAACGGGAUGAGUUUGCAAAAAUUAUUAGACGGAAAUACCAUCACCCGGAGUAUUUUAGUAAAGCACCUGAUAUUCGUUUCAGACGAAGUAUUAUUAUUUUGAUUUUUCAGGAAUAUCAGUAAAAUUUUCAUAUAAUAGUGGAAUAAGCCCAAUAAAUAAUUGUAUAAAAAUUUUUUGUCAUAGCCAUAGUCUCAUUGAGGUGGAAGCAGGGGAGGAGUAGGCCAAGCCAGGCCACAGAAAAUAUUCAAUUGAAAAAGCAAGAAAGGAAUGAGCGUGUGGAUGGUAAGGGCUCGGGCUCCCUCUUUCAUUAUUCCAAUAACAACACUCAGGAUUGGAAAUGGAAAUGGAGAUGUAAAAGGCCGGCGCUUGCCCCUAUUGAGCAAUAAGAAUUGGCAGUUUCAGUUGCAGUUGGAGUUGCAGCAGAGGAAUGAGGAGAAGAAGAAGAGACAAAAUGUUACCAUCAGUUAUACUAACAGUAGCAGUGGAGGGGAUUCUGCUUCUGCUGCACUGGAAUUGGAGGUUAAUGAGACAAAAUGUUACCAUCAGUUGUUCAGAAGCCAACUGUGCUUAUAGGUAAUUCUGUUGGAAGCCUAGCUUGUGUUAUCGCUGCCUCAGGUAUAUUUAUUUUAACUUCCCCUUGGACAUCAGAUAUUUUUCAACUUGCUUGCAAAGAAACACUUGUCGCUAAUUAUCCUUUUUGGUAUCUAUGGUUUACGAUAAACCUGCUAUAUUUUCUACCAUAAGAAUCCAGUCAAACCCUUGUUCGAGGGCUUGUUCUGUUGAAUUGUGCUGGUGGCAUGAACAACAAGGCAAUUGUUGAUGAUUGGAGAAUCAAGCUAUUGUUACCAUUGCUUUGGUUCAUUGAUUUUUUGUUGAAGCAAAGGCCAAUUGCUUCUGCUAUAUUUGAGCGUGUGAAACAAAGGUAUUUUCUCUUCUCUCUAUUCAGUCCAUUGUUCAUUAUCCCAAGACACUAGAGUCAAAAUUAAAAAAAAAAAAAACUCUAUGAUGUGCAUAUCUUGGUGCUGUAGGGAAACACUGAGGAAUAUUUUACUGUCCAUUUAUGCAAAUAAGGAAUCUGUGGAUGAAACACUGGUUGAGGUAUUAAUAUUCUCCUCUUAUAUGCCAUUUUAACCUGUUACAAAAAUGGCUACUCAGAAUUCAUGAAUAAACCUCAAAACUGCAGAUCAUACGAGAGCCUGCCAAUGAGGAAGGGGCACUUGAUGCAUUUGUUUCGAUUGUAACAGGCCCACCAGGGCCGAACCCAGUUCAAUUGAUGCCAUCCAUCUCUGUACCUGUACUAGUUUUAUGGGGUGAUGAGGAUCCAUUCACACCCCUCGAUGGACCUGUUGGUAAAUACUUCUCAUCUCUGCCUUCUAAACCCUCAAAUGUGAAGUUAAUUGUAUUGGAAGGAGUAGGACAUUGCCCCGAUGACGACAGGCCUGAGUUGGUCCAUGAAAAGAUGCUUCCUUGGUUGGCUGAAACAUUUAAUUUCUGAGGAAUUACUUUCUCAUCAGCAAGUUUUAAUGAGCAUUAUAUAUUAUUCCUAUUGUAAAAAGACAAAACAACUCUUGUAUUUAUGUUGUACAUAUCAAUUCUUAUUCAACCGCUUGGUUAUCUUUUGGCGCCGAAAGGAAUGUUGGAGAAACUGAUCUCUGACAAGUUGUAGAAGCUCCAAAUUGAUUCAAGAAAUGUAUCAAAUUAUUCAAUAAAAAAUAAAAUUCAGCACAAUAAUAAAGAAUAAUGAUUUAGUAAUCCAUAUUGCUCAUGUCAAUGAUAUGAGAAUGAUAAGAUCCAAUUUUAUACAUGAAAAAGAUACAAUAAUCUAAAUCGAAAUAUAAGUUCACAGGCAUCCUCAAUCCUUUCCUUACAAGUCAUUUUUGUAAAUAUAAAUGCUAACCAUAGACGAUACCACAUCAACUAUGCAAUCAAAUGCACCAUUCCAAAUAUGGAAUUGGUAGAGAUACUUGAAAAAGUGCAUACAUGUUUAAGCAAAUGGAUUCACAACUCAGGUGAGUUGAGUGAAAAUGACACCUAUCUCAGUCUUCUUCGUUACAGUUGAACCAUGUGCUUGGGUCUUCCAUUGACGUAGGAUCUGGGGUGUGAAGUAAAUGGAUCCCACAUUUUUUCACCCCGCAGCACUGGCACUCCAAAGGUGGAAAAACAUUAAAGUGGACAGCCUCAGGAAUGCAAUUGCAUUUCCAAAAACCAUUAAAAUCAUCUUCGCAGAACAGAUAGUACCCCAAAUGUAAGUGAUCUGAUUCUACAUAAUUAACUCUGCUCUGAGAUAAUCGUGUGUCAUGCGUACCACAAUCUUUGGUGGUUUUCACUUUGAGCUCAAAAGAAAAUGAAAACCAUCUGCCACAAUCUACAUGACGGUCUGAAAAUGCUAAAAUAGCACUAAAUGCAAUGCCCUGCACUCUGCUAUUAUUGAAGAAAUCUGCCGGCAUCUCCAAGGUUAUAAAAGAUCCCACACUUUGAAACUCAAACCACUUUGGAAUUUCAUUCCCAGGUAGUACUAUAUGACCUUUGCCCAUGUAAAAACUUCUCUGUACCAAAAAAACAUAAUUUUAAACGCAAAAAAAAAAAAGAUUGUAGAAAUUGUAAGUAGAGAGAGAGUUAAAGACACACAUUUAGCCAUACUUCUUGCCAACGUACAGCUAGCGUAUGGUUCGUAUGCUGAAUUCUCAGGGUAUCUUCAACAAUUCCUGCAGUAGAAUUACCUUCCAAUUUAAAAUUAUUGCUCCGGUCAAAAAAAAUUGCCUGUAAGAUUCAUAACUUAGAGAACAAACCUAUAAAUGGUUGCAGUGACAAGCAACCUCGUUCAAGGAAUGGAGGCUUUUGUACGAAUUUGAACCUCUCACCAUAACUUAAGAGGAGGUAUCCCGACACGAAAAGCUGGAUAAUGCUUUCUGGUAUUCACUCAAUAUUGGUUUUCGCUAGAUUCAAUGUUAUUGGCGAGGAUAAUUGGCCAAGACAUUCGGGCAAUCUCUGAAGAUUUGAGCAACCAUGGAUAUCAAGAGCUCCAAGAGAUUUCAAUCUAUAGAGGCUGCUUGGGAGACUCUUAAGCCUUUUACAAUCUGAAAGGUCCAGCCACGAAAGCCUAAGUAGACGCUCAAUCGAUGCGGGCAGUUCUUCAAUUGCAAUCCUCCUUAAAAAUAACCAGCUUAUAUUACCUGGUGAGAUCUCUGGAAGCCUUUUCAGUUUUGAGCAGCCCGAUAGAUCAAGUUUGGUAAGAAAUUCCAAGUUAAAUAUUCCAGAUGGAAGACUUUUCAGGCUUUUGCUACCUCUUAGAUUCAACGUAACUAGCUUGUUCAGACGUGGCAUCAACGUGGGAUUUGGAAUUUUGGAAAUUAGCUUAUGGCAGGCAGCAUGGAUUAUCUGGUUUAACUUACUAUAAUGCUGCUCGGUCAAAAAAGAGGCCAAGACAAAAUCGUUACCACGUAUAAUAAUUUAAGGUUGUUAUUGAAAGAUUGCACAUAUAUAAUAAGAUAUGCAUACCUUCACACAAUCCCAAAGUCGUUCAAUGUCACUAUCAGGCACUUCAAGUAACACAAGUUUCCCUGCACCAAGGUUUGAAGGCAAUGACUUCAACGGAUAUCCAUACCAGUGAAGAUAUUUCACUUCAGCAAAUCCGGAAUCUUGCAAAUAAGAUAUCUUACCUUUGUUCUCUCCAUUGACUGAAGAACUAUAGAACUUUAAAAAUCUCAAUUUAGGCAUCUGUGUGAAAGUAUUGGGAUUUAGACGGAGCUCUUUUACUUUUGACAUAUCCAAACAUAUGCCCUCAAUUUUUUCUGUCCCCUAAAAAUAAGUGAAAAAGCAAUAAAGUUAAAAUCAAAUGAAAGAUAUGUGUAUUCCACCAAUGAAUCGCACUUCAACCCCACCAAGUCAAAUUUUUGGGGCAAGUUUCUCACUAAUUCACAAUUAGAGGUAGCUUAGUUAAUAAUUCAACUUUUUAUUUAUUAUUUAGUCGAGUUUAUGUGGGAUUGGAGUGGACUCUUCGUCAUUUCUCAAAUCAAUAAUUCAUGUUUUUAGUUAUUGCUAGGCAGUUAAACUUUUAAUUGCAAAUGCACAAAGAAACAUAAUAACACAAGUAAUACUUAAUAUAAAAAUUCCGUCUGUGUACUAUACAAAUUGGCAUAUCAAUUAUGCUUGCAAACGAUUAUGCAAGUUGUCAUGGCAUUUAUAAUUUAUUGCUACGUCAUCUAACGGAUAUGGUUUUUUCUAAUCAUUGUUGCUCUUCUAUUAAUUCUAAGACUCAUCAGUUCGAGCAUAUAUAAAUAUAUUCAUAUCAAGUUUGUAAAUGCUAGAAUAUUUCAAAAUAAUUAUCCACAACAAACUGCUUACCAUGUUAUAUGUAAGAACUUCAUAGUAAAUCUUGCAUUCUUAUCUUGUUGUAUGAACCAAUAGCAAUGAGAGAUUUAUCAACAAGAACACUUAUUCCUAUUUCUGGGUAGAAACCGCUUGCAUUAAGGAAUUUCAUUACUAGAUUUACAUCCUCGCCUGGAAAGAAACAAGCAACAUCAAGGAAAAUACUUUUUUCCUCAUCGUCCAAACUAUCGUAACUUAUUUUUAAUACCUCUAGGAUACUUGGAUGGAGGAUUCUUUGCAAUUUAUCUAUUGCACUUUCCCAGACUUCCUUUUCUCUUUCAUAUAGAAAGCAACCCAACACUUUAAGAGCUAAAGGAACACCUUGAGCAUAUUUCAUUACCUUGCUUGAAAAUUUCUCGUAACCAACGUCAGGACGGUUUUGUUUGAAGGCAUGUCGACUGAAAAGCUCAAGGGCGUGAUGAUAUUCUAAUGCCUCCAUCUCAUAUAUUUUCCUCACCCCCCAAUUUCUAAGCACUUGUUUAUUUCUGGUGGUUAUUAUGAUUCGACUCACAGGCGUCAAACAAUCAAGACUUCCAAUUAUAGAUUCUAAUUGGCUGAAGCAAGUCACAUCAUCAAAAACAAUCAGAACCUUCAUGCGGCUGAGCCUUCUAAAAUUAAGACCAAUAUCAAGACUCACAUUUUUAUCUUUCAAUAAAUUUGAAAGAAGUUUUUGUCGCAAGCAAACUAAUCCUCCCGGUUUUUUUGACUCUUCUCUAACAUUUUCAAGGAAGCAGGAACCUUCAAAAUCGCUAGAGAUUUUGUUAAAAAUAGCUCUAGCGAUUGUUGUUUUGCCUAUACCACCAAUGCCCCAAAUCCCUAAAGCGUAAACAUCUUUCGACUGAACACCUAGUAGAGAUUCAAUUUCCUCAACUCUUGAUUCUACUCCAACCAGCUGGUUUUUGUUAUCAUUCGGCCGAAAAACUUGAUCCAGCAGUCUCUUUAAAAUGUGAUUAAUAGCUUCGUUUAUAAGUUCCGAUUCAGGCCUACCAAAUACAUAAAAUUAGCAGCAGUAACUUCAAAUAGAAGGGAUUUGCAUAAAAUUUGAAAUAAAGGAGAUUGCUAGUUUUCCUAUUGAAAUUAAUAUAUACCACUUAUUUUUUUUUCAUAAGGAUAAUAUUGCAAAGUGAUGGUACCAGGAGAGUUAUUAAAUAUUGUAAAAAUAGUCAGAAUAAGUAGUAUAUAUUGAUUUGAGUAAGAGAAUUUACAAUCUCCCUAUAAAUUAAUAACUCUUUAAUUGCAGGAAUAUGUUACAUGUGGAAGAGAUUUUUUUUUUCCUAAUGGUAUAUGAGUAAGAGAUUGAAAUUGAUUAAAAAACGACAAAACACCAUUAAUUUUGUUAAAAUAUAUUGUAAACUUCUGGAGCUUUUAUUAUUAAUUCUGCAAAAAUUCUUUUAUAGGAGUUCAAAAGUGGGGAAGUUAAAGAAGUCUAGAAUUUGAUGCAUGAAAAAAUUUAAAAGUGUAGUUUAUCAUCUGGAAAAUUUAACUAAGAGUGCUGCGUGAAUUUUAUUUACAGUGUUGAAUAUUAGUACGAGAAAUUAAAGGUAACUUUUCACCUGAUGUUCUGAGAAGGAAAGCCAGACAAACUGGCUGCUUCCUUCAAAGCAUUCCUCCAUGUCUGCAGCUUCUUUGAAUUCUCCUUAAACCUUUCUUCAAGCUUCGAAAAUGAAUUGCCAAAACUCCCAGUUUGGUUUCUCACGUCUGAUGGAUCAACCCGAUAGAAAACCGGAAUCACAAUCUGUGCAUACUCUUUCUUGCACUCGAGGAUCUUUACAAGUUCAUCGAGACACCAUCCAGAAGAUGCAUACCCUUCUGAGAAGACAAUAACUGAAAUGGCUGAUGCUUCAAUUGCAUUCACCAGUGACUCCGAAAUUUCGUCUCCUCUGUUAAGUUGGUCAUCAAUGAAAGUUUGGAUAUUUUGUCGACACAGAGCAGAAUAGAGAUGGCUAGUAAAGUUGUCGCGGGUGUCCUCUCCUCUGAAACUAACAAAAACAUCAUACUUCUUGUUGUUUCGAGAAGAAGAAGCCAUAAUCAACAGAAACAGUUGAAUUGAUGAGAGAGAGAUUUUGAUUCGGAUGAAAACAAUUAUUGAACCAAAUGUGCGUGACUCUGUAGAAUAAAUCGAUGCUAUGAACCUUCCUUCAAGUUCCGUGAUAGUUUUUCAAUUUCAUCUCAUUGUCCACACGAACACCAUACUUUUCAACACACGUGCUUCUGUGCUUUAAUGCUCAUAACUGCCAGCAAUAAGUAGGGUGAUAUUUUAAUUUUUAUCUCUGAAUUUAUCUUAUCCGUCCUCAUCUCUCAAUUAAUUGUAUUUAGUUUCAAAAUUAUUCUUUUUUUUUUUGUUUUAAUAGCUCUUUUUCAUUAUCCUUAGGGUUGAUUGUUAAACAUAUGAAGUCUAACAUUUAAAAAAAUAUUAAUUUUUUUUAAUAACUUAUAUAUAAUUUUUAGACAUUUACAUUUAAAUUAAAUAAGUAAAUUUUUGCGACCUUUUCUGAAAUGAGAAAAUGUUGGAAUGAAAAAUAAAUAAUAUAUACUAAAAAUAUUUCUAUUCAGUAAAUUUAUUUCCUAAACUACGAAGCCUAAUCCCUUUUACUCAUUUUGAACUUUGGAGAACAAAUUAAAAAAUCUAUUUUAAUUUACUUUUUGUGACUUAAAUUUUUUUAUUAUAUUUGAUCAUAAAGAUUGAUUUGACAUAAGUCUAAAUUGAUUAUUUUAUCCUUAUAAGGUAAAACUAAUUCUUUAACUUCAAUAUUUUCUAAUUUUAUAUCAAAUUCAUUAUUUUUAAUACUACUUUAUUAGUAUGAUUGUAAAACAUUAAUUAAAAAAACAUAAUGUCUUUAUGGCACAAUACUCAUGUAAAUUAUUAGCUUGUCAAAUUUACAUCAUUUACACGUAAGAUAGUGAAAAUAAUAGUUAAAUUUCAUUUAAAAAUAUUAGUUCACAUAAUUAAAUACCUAAAUUAUUAGAUACAAUAACCCGUGUUUAUUGUACAAUUUGGCCAUUUUAUAUCAUAAUACUAAAAUAGUAAAGUAAAAUUUAUAUCAAGUUAUGAUCAAAUAUACUCAAAGAAAUCUAAUAAAAAAAAUAAUAGAAGGAUUUAAUUGAUUAACUAUACAAAAUUUUUAUUAAUUUGUAUUUUUUUAAAAAUAUUAUGAAUUCAUUAUAAUUAUGGUAUACAACAUGUGAAUUUAUCAAAGCCUAAGUCAACCCAAACUAAAAUCAAAUUAAAAUGAUUUUAGUUGGGUUGCGUUGGACUGUUGCCCAAACUUUGGGUUGGUUUAGUUUGAAACUUGCGCUUGGAUCUUCGGUUGAAUUUGGGGCUUACAAUAAAUCGACCCCACAUUUUUUCUUCCCGCAUUCCGUAGAAUAAUAUUAUAUGUAAUAAAAUAACACAAAAUUUAUUACACAAGGCACAAAUGACAAAAAAUAAUUUUCAUCUUGUAGUGAACUUUUACUUUUCUUAUUGAUAAUGUACUAUUUUUUUAAUUCUAUUUACUUCUGUGAACAUAUAAUUGUAGGCAUCCACAAAUGUUAAGGAUAAGCAAUUAUUUCAUAUAAGUUAUUUCACAACUCCUGUACUUAUAUCAUCAAUUGCUUGACCUUUAGUUAUUUUCCUUGCUAACUUGAGUGAGACUCACCGAUGCAGCUAAUAUUGGAUUUCUUGGAUGAAGCUGCUCAGAAGCCAAUAGUGACAUGAAAAUACCAGGUAUAUUAAUUUAACUUCUACCUUGUGUUUUUGCUGCCUCAGGUAUAUUAAUUUAACUUCCUCUUGGGCAUCAGAUAUUUGUCAUCAUGCUUGCAAAGAAACACUUGCACCUGAUUAGCCUUUUCGGUUAAUAUGGUUUGCGAAAACCUGCUAUAUUUUCUACCAUAAAAAUCCAGUCAAACACUUGUUCGAGUGCUUGUUUUGUUGAAUUGUGCUGGUGGCAGCAUGAACAACAAGGCAAUUGUCGAUGAUUGGAUAAUCAAGCCACGGUUGCCAUUGCUUUGGUUCAUUGAUUUCUUGUUGAAGCAAAGGCCAAUUGCAGAUGCAAUCUUUGAAGAUGUGAAAAGAAGGUAUUUUCUCCUCUCUAUUCAGUCCAUUUUUUGUUAUCCUAAACCACUAGAAUCAAAAAUUAAAAAAUUCUAUGAUGUGUAUAUAUUGGUGCCGUAGGGAAACACUGAGGAACAUUUUACUGUCCAUCUAUGCAAAUAAG
RNAcentral lists this long non-coding RNA (112878 nucleotides) under Citrus maxima (pomelo). Its description in RNAcentral is "long non-coding RNA (CMAX_LNC002392)". Lineage: Eukaryota; Viridiplantae; Streptophyta; Magnoliopsida; Sapindales; Rutaceae. The record is from RNAcentral.